GUAUGGAGAGUGGGACUAACCUUGGAAGCAAAGGUCCCCUGAGGCCAGUUGAGCAACCCGGCAACCAUUUGCCCUGUUUGAUUGCAAUCGUCAUCAAUGGCCUAGAAAACCCAUGCCCACAUCAGAAAACAACAAUCCACCAUAAAAAGAGUCUAGGAUUUUCACGGAAUCCGCAAAUUUAUUUUUAAAUCGUUACCAAAAACCCUAAUCUCUGGGCACGAAUUCACAGACCUGUUUGCCCAGAAUAAGGAGGCCAGGCUUCUCCACAUCGACGAGAGCUUUGAGAAGCUUAGCAACUGAAAGUGGGUACAGAGUGGCGGAAGCUUCGACGUGGAUGGCCCUAUCGGCGCCCAUGGCGAGACCCGUUCUGAGCGUGUCGACGCACUGGCUGGGACCCACACUGACAGCGAUAACCUCCGACGCCAGACCCGAUUCCUUGAUCCUCAGAGCCUCUUCCAAACCUAUCUCACAAAAGGGGUUCAUCGACAUCUUGACGUUGCUGGUCUCCACGCCGCUCUGAUCGUGGGUUGGCGAUUGUUAUUGGAUGAUGAUGAAAUUACAGAUACUGAAUAACUUGAGAGUUUGGAUUUGGGUUACCUUGUCGGAUUUGACUCUGAUCUUGACAGCGUAGUCCACAACACGCUUUAUCGCCACCAUUAUCUUCAUCUCGUAUAUGGGUGGUUAUCUUCUCCGGCACAAGGGUAUUGGCAAAUGACUGAUGAUGAAGGACGAGGAUAUUCGCCCGAGCCCUACUGCACGACACCACAUCCGCUUAUAAAAUCUUUUGAUACGGAUAAGUACAAGGGAAGUGGAAAAAAAGGAUUAUUAAGAAAAAUAAAUAUAUUACCAAAAAAAUUAUUUAAAAUUUUGUUCAUGUAGAAAGAACCCGUGAAUCAGAUCGAAAAAAUUAUAUUAAAACUGCUGUAUAGCCGAAAAUUGUGUACAGAAUUUAUUUUAACAUUGUAUUAUUGAAUUUUUUAUUCAAAAAUUGCUUAACGUGAGAUAGAAAUUAAAAAAUCAUUAGUAAUUUUGUCCGAAAGUUGUUAUAUUUCAUGUGUUUUAAAAAUAGAUGUAAUUUAUUCCUAUUUGCAUUUUUAACGUACAUUUAAUUAAAUAACCCAAAAAGUUAUUGAGUUCACAUCAUCUAUGGAGUCUACCUCUCUUUGCUUUUGUUGCUUCCAAAAAUACCAUACUCCCAUAUUUUUUUGGUUCUACUCAUUUUACUUUAUUUUUUUCAUUCCAUUCAUUCCACGUGAAGUCUUCAAUCCUAAUAACAUUUACUAUAUUACAAUUAAGUUUAAUUUUUAAAAAACUUAAUUAGGGUUAAAUUUCCUUUGAGAGAACUUCAUUACAAUUAUUUGAGUUGUACGUUAAGUUUCAUUUAAAAAUAACUUAUUUAAAAAGAUGUUAAGCUUCCCCUAUUUUAUUUAUAAAGUUUAAUAUCUAUUUGAUUUUAUAUUUGAAAUCCAACUAAAACCUAAUAACGAAUUGUUGUAAAAAAACUCCAAUCAAAAUACUAACAAAAAUUAAAACAUAAAACUCUGAUAAAAAAUUGUUAAAAAAUCCAACAAAAAAACAAUCAUAAAAAACCCUAAUCAAAAACAUCAUGGAAGUUUAAAUGAAAUUGCCAAAAAAUAAAAAGUAUAGAAAACCCUAACAAAAAAACAACACCAAAACACCUGACAAAAAACAAUUACAAAUUCUAGCACAAAAACCCCCAAUUAAAAAUAUCUAUAAAGAAAAACCUAAAAAAAACCAAUUAUAAAACCUCCAACAAAAAAUAAAGAGAAAGAUGAAGAAUAUGAAAAAUUUUGAAGAAGAAAGAAACAUGAGAGAACUAUCAUUGAUCUUUAUUUGUUAAUCUUUGUUAUAUGUUUGAACUUCACUAGAAAAUGAGAGAGAGAGCAUAAACCUAAAGAGAGAAAGAGCUGAAAAUGAGAGGAGAAAUGAAUCACAAUGAGGGGAAUGACAAUUUGAGGAAAUAUAGAAGGGUUAAAUCAUUUGAACUAGGUUAACGUUUUUAUUAAAAAAAAAGAGUAAUGAAGGUCCUUGUUCUAAUUUCAAGAGUAUGUCUGUUAAUUACCAAAUGUGGCAACUCUAAAUAAAAUCCUUUGUUAUCAACUAAAACUAAAAGUCCCAUUACAUCAUAUCCAACUUUCAUUUGUUAUCAACAAAGUAAAACUAUAUACAACUAUUAUCACCAUCUCUCCUAUUUUGAUGUUAUUUUCUUAGAUGAAUUUGUAAAUCAAAAUUUACACCACCCAUAAAUUUUUUGAGCUUCCUAUUUAACACAACUUCAAUUUGUUAUACUUUGAACAUCACAAAGAUAAAGUAAUCAACAUUUUGCUUGGACAAGUUUUUCUUCUCUAAAGUUUAGAGUCCUAUUUCACUUCCCGUUUAUGGGUUGUUAGUUCAUCUAAUAUCUCACCAUCAUCCAUUCCAUGUACUGUGUUUCCGAAAUGAGUUGAUUCCACAUCCUAAAUGUCUGUGCAAAUUAAUAAGGAAUGUCGAGUUACCAAUUUUCUUAAAAGCUUAAUCUUGCAAGAUUUGGAUUCAAAAUGCAUAUCAUGCUCUCUUUAACACCCCUCCCCCCUCUCACAUGUAGCCCUAUACCCACACGUAGAGAAAUAGACUUAUAGGAAAAUUGGUAGUUUAAUAUAGUAUCAGCACUUGGUUUGGUGGGAGGUCUCCUGUUUGAGUCACCUCUCCACAAUUUACAUUUCUCCUAUUUGUUUAAUUUACAGUUCUUCCCUUAAUCUGUAAUUCUUUGGAUAUAAAUUUUCCCCCUAAUUUGUAGUUUUGUGGAUAUGAAUCUCUCUUCCAUGUUCAGGUAUGGGGCCACACAUAAGAGAGGGUGUUAAAGAGCAUGAUAUGCAUAUUAAACCCAAAUCCUAUAAGUUAAAACUUUUAGGAAAAUUGGUAGUUUAACGCUUUUAGGAAAAUUGGUAGUUCAACAUGUGUACACCCCAUUUUGGGGACUGCUAUUGCUCCCACUUCUUUUUGUCAAAUGGUGGAGCUUUUUAGGAGCACAUGUUGUAUUUGGAAAGGCUAUUAGAAAAUGGCAACAUGACUGUUAAUGGAAGUAAUGAUUUUCUAAAAAGGCAACCAUGGGAAGACACAUAACAAAGAUGUUUGGGGAGGAGGGAGAGUGUGCAUCAAGACUACUCAUGAGGGGUAAGAAACAAAAAAAAAAAAGUGUCGAAGAUAACUAAAAAAUUGGAGAAACAUAAAGGAAUAAGGAUUUUAGGGCUAUGGAUGGUGAACAAGAGUGAAUUAUGGGUGUCUAGGACAGCUAGGAAUGGUGAGAGGAGUAGGGAGCUGUAGAAGGUGAUGAGCUAGGUAAGAUGUAUUUUCGAGAAAGAAAAGAACCAAAGAAAGAAGGUGGUGAAUUAAGUGAGACACGUCUCAGAGAAGCAGAGAAAGUUGGCUUGAAGCCAAGCAAACUUUUGCUUGAGAUGAGCAUUGCCUAGUAAGAUUGUUUCGAUUCAUCGAUUAUUACUGAUCAUCAUACUUCUCUUGUCUUAUAUUCAUGUGAUUAUUUUACAUUGAUUGUGGGGUUGCUUUGGUUUGGUUAUUAUGGCUUCAUCCUCUAUUUCUUUAGUUUUAUUCAAGGAUAAAUCUAAUUGUGCUUUGAUUAGUUAUUCCAUAUUUGAAAAUCUUUGUGUAUUUUGGGUUUUUUCUCUUUAGAUAUUUUCUAGAUUAAUCCACUGACCUUUAAACCCACAAAUAAAGAAAAAUGAAAUGAGUUUUUUCAUAUUUGUUGGGUGUUUGGCCCUUGUUUAUCUUUUUUUAAAGCUUUAUUCCUUUAUAUUCUCUAUUUCUCCCCAUUUUGUACAUGGGUGUUUCAAUCAGAGUCUCUAUUUUGGCUUCCACAUUUGAGAUUUCUUUUAUGAGCGAAGACCCAAAAAUGGAGACUGGCUUCUUGUAAUUGAUAAAAUAGUUAGUCACCCAUUAGCUUAGAUGAAGCAUAGAUGUUAACCGGAUUGUGAACAUGGAUACUCUAUUUUGGGCCUAUUAGGCCUUCCAAUCCUCUCUUAGUUUCAUUAUUCUUGAGGAUAGUGUUUGGUUGUGUCUGCUACUUAUUCUGUGGCUUCGGUGGUCUGUUUGUUUAUUCUUGGCUAUUAUCAAUGCUAACAAUGGGAAAGAGACUGGUUUUGGUUAUGCUCUUACGGAUUUGAAGGUGAUCAAAGGGUCCAGUGAAGAGAAGAUUAGUAGGUCAUAUUAGGUUAAUUAAUUAAUUAGGACAUGUUUUGAGUUAUAUUAAGUAAUACAAGCUCUUAGUGGGCUUAAGUAACUUAAGCCUAGUGGGGAAUGCCAUAAAUACCCCUUAGGGGUUAGCAUUUCCAUAGGUUUUUCUAGAGAGUCAUCUUUCACCUCCAAAGAAGGAGAGUCAUAGCCUUUACCAUUUUUUCCAUCAUUAUCGAAGUGUGUCAAGAUUAAGGUUUAAGUCAUUGAGCGGAAGACUCCAGGUUUAUGAGACUUCAUACAACUUCGUUUUUCAUUUUCAUCAAAUGGAAUUAAUUUGAAAACAUUUGAAUCUGAAGUAUGGUUUUUGUUAGCAUAUUUCGAAUCCCUUUAAAGUUUAAAAAUGCAAAUUUUCCACUAUGUAUAGGAUUUAAAAUCGCUUAAGAUAGUUAAACAUGUUCCCCACUUGAUCUGAAUUGGGAAACGGAGAAAUCUGAUAUUUUCCCAUCACAAGGUAGGAUAAGAACUUGUGAUUGAUCUUUAUGGAUUGGACUAAUUAAUUAAUUGGAACCUAAUUAGGCUAAUUAAUUAAUUAAGACCUAAGCAAACUAGUUUAAGUUACACAAGCCUAGGAUGGACUUAAGUGACUUAAGCCCAUGGGAAGCUUAUAUAAACUCCUUUAGGGGUUAGGGUUUCAAACUUUUAUCAUCUAGUCUUCAAUUCCUUAAAGAGAAUAGAACUCGAGCCAACAACUCUCCUAAAGGAUUCUAUUGCUCCGUGUCAAGAUUCGAAAAAAAACUAUUUGAUGGAAGGUUGUUAUGUUUAUGAGAUUCGUUAUGUUUUUUUACACCUUUUCACUAAAUGGAAUUGAUAUAGGAAUGUUCAUAUCUCAAGUGCAACACACUUAUUCUCUUUAGAUUUAUAUUGCUUAUGGUUUUUUUUUUUUUUGUCAUGGUUUUCCGUUAAGAUUAGAUUAAGAGAGCCCUAUGUCAUAGAAUGCUUCAAAUGAGCCUCCCCGGGGGUUUGUAUAGAGCCCAUGAAGCUUCUAGAGACUCCUAUACUUAGCCAUUGGUGGGAAGAGUGUGAAAGGUUCUACAGAUGUCUAGAGAUAUUUACACAUCUCUACACUAUGGUGGAAGGCAUGAGAGGAGUCUAAGGCAUUCUAAAGAAUUAUAAAGAUCUCUUAUAUAUUCUUGUACAUAGGCUUGUACAUAGAAUUGUGUAGGAAGUUAUAGAUUAUUCUUGAGCUGUAAGGAACCCUCCAAGGUUCCAGAGAGUUCCAUUGGUGCCUAUAAAUAGGUGAAUGCCUCAUUUGGCCAAGACACUAAGCAAGUGAAUUCCAAAACACUUGUAAAGCUUCCUUUGAAUAAUAAAAGUUUCAAUUCUUCAAGAGUUGCCUAUUAUGCCUUCUAAAACUUCUAAGUCAUGAGCAUCUUAACCUAACAAGUUAAGCAUUGGGAGUAAUGCUAACUUAGCAAGAUCAAGGAUCUUGACUUGUCUAAGUGUUGCACGAUCUUAGGAAAAGAUUAAGUUUGUGACAGUUGGUUUCAAAGUGUGACUACGAAGUGAGCAUAGUAAAGGAAACAUGUCGAGCUUCAACAUGGAGGAAACUAGUGAGCAAACCCGUGGGAAAGAAACCGAGCCUACUGCAUAGGACAGGGACAUGAAGGAUAAAUCUCGUAAUGCCAUAGCCAACGUGGAGGCAAGGCUAGCCAAGGUGGAGCUAGCCAUGGCAGACACCCGGGAAGGGGUGGACUUAAUCGAGCAAGGCAUGGAAAAUGGCUUAGAGGAUCUAAAUGAGCAUAUCCAAGACCUUCAUGAGAGAGUGCUAGGCUUACAAGUUCGGCCGAUGUCAUAUGAGGAGUUCAUGUCCUUCCAAAACGAGGUCAUGAGCAUGUUUGCUAGCAUGGAGUCGAAGGUGGAGGCCUUGGCUGCACGCAUAGAGGCCCAAGACCAAGAGGUUCAACAAGAGCUAGCUAUCUACAAGACUGUCUUAUCAGCACGAGUCAUGGCCACUCAUGAGGCACUAAGGGUGGAAGUGCCCAAACCACACACGUUCAAUGGCAAGAGGGAUGCCAAGGAGUUGGACAAUUUCUUGUGGCACAUGGAGCUCUACUUUGAGGUUAUAACACUAAUAGAUGAAGCCACUAAGGUAUGUACCACAACCCUCUACCUCACCAAUAAAGCUACUCUAUGGUGGCGUCAGAGGUUUGCCAAUAUAGAAAAAGAAAUGUGCACCAUAGACACAUGGGAUGCCUUUAAGCAAAAGAUCAAAAAACAAUUAUACCUUAAUGAUGUGGCUUACCUAGCAAGGAAAAACACAAAAUGUCUUAAGCACACAGACUCGAUCCGUGAGUAUGUCAAAGAAUUCUCUACACUUAUGCUUGAGAUACCCAACAUGUCUGAGGAAAAGCUACUAUUCAACUUCAUGGACAACUUGCAAAGCUGGGCCGAGCAAGAGUUAAGGAGAAGUGGUGUCCAAGACCUAGCCACGGCCAUGGCGGUAGCGAAGUCCUUGGUGGAAUACAAAAAGGGAGACUCUUUUAAGCCCAAGCCACAGUCUAAGGGUAAUCAUGCUAAAGGUGGGGAAACAAGGGAUCAAGGAGGUACACUCCUAAGGAAUGAUCAAGCAAGACCUCUGGUGGCAAGGAUGGUAAGGGUAAGGAUAAACGGAAAUAGUUCACGCCUAAGAUCAAUUGCUUCCUAUGUGAUGGUCCACAUUGGGCGCGAGACUACCUCAAAAGAAAAGCCCUAAAUGCCAUGAUCGAGGAAAAGUAGAAGGAAGACAAUGCUCAUGUGGGAUCAUUACAACUCUUAAAUGAUAUCAAGGCUAAGUCAGUGCUUAAGACACCUCAAAGUAAAAGUCUAAUGUACAUAGAAGCCCUUGUAAAUAGGAAGGCUACCAAGGCUUUGGUGGACACUAGUGUCACUCAUAACUUUGUCUCGAAGGAUAAGACAAAGAACUUAGAGCUCCAAGCAUCUAAGGAAGGAGGUUGGCUCAAGGCAAUUAAUUAAGUUUCCAAGCCAUCACACGAAGUAGCACGCAGGGUGGCAAUGCACAUUGGCUCAUGGGAAGGAAUGGUCGACUUCACAGUGGCACCCAUGGACUACUUCAAGAUGGUACUGGGAAUGAACUUCCUAUAGAAAGACAAGGUCAUGCCACUACACUUCCUACAUUUAAUGGUUAUCCUAGAGGAUGAAAAGUCAUGCAUAGUCCUUACGGUCACCGAAGGUUCACCCAAGACCCCUAUGAUAUCGGUUAUGCAAGUAAAGAAGGGAUCAAAGAGGAAAGAGGUGACCUACCUCACCACUCUUAAGGAGGAAAAUGAUGAUGAGUUGGGGGAGCCCAUGCCUAAGGAAAUCAAGAGAGUCUUUGAUGAGUUCAAGGACGUGAUGUUGCCUAAGUUGCCUAAAAGACUCCUUCCUAGAAGAGAGAAAGAUCAUAAGAUCGAGUUAGAUGCAGGAACUAAGCCCCUUGCUAUGGGGCCAUAUAGGAUGGCACAACCCAAGCUGAAAGAGCUAAGGAAACAACUUAAGGAGUUGUUGGAUGCAGGGUUUAUCCAACCAUCCAAGACUCCCUAUGGCGCACCGAUUUUAUUUCAAAAGAACCAUGAUGGGUCCCUACAGAUGUGCAUCGAUUACCAAGCACUCAAUAAGGUAACAAUAUAGAAUAAGUACCCCAUUCCACUCAUUGUUGAUCUAUUUGAUCAACUUGGUAAAGCAAGGUAUUUCACUAAGUUGGACUUGAGAUCAGGCUACUACCAAGUGAGGAUUGUGGAAGGAGACAAACUGAAGACUACAUGUGUGACCCGAUAUGGCUCAUAUGAGUUCUUAGUGAUGCUCUUCGAUCUCACCAAUGUACCAACAAUGUUUUGGACACUCAUGAAUAAGAUCUUCCAUCCCUAUUUAGACUAGUUUGUGGUGGUAUACUAAGAUGACAUAGUCAUCUACAAUAGCAUCUUAGAGGAGCACGUGGAGCAUUUAAGGAAGGUCUUCAAGAUCUUAAGGUAAAACGAGUUAUAUGUAAAGAAGAAGAAAUGCUCAUUUGUUAAAGAGGAUGUGAGCUUCCUAGGGCAUCGCAUCAAAGAUGGCAAGCUGAUGAUGGAUGACAACAAGAUGAAGGUCAUCUAGGAAUGGGAUCCACCUACUAAGGUACCUCAACUAAAGUCUUUCCUUGGCUUGGCUAACUAUUACCAGUGGUUCAUCAAGGGUUACUCUACAAAGACAGCUUCACUCACUAAUCUUCUUAAGAAGAACAAGGCAUGGGUGUGAGACAAAAGGUGGCAACAAGCCUUUGAAGAUCUAAAAAGUGUUGUGAUUGAGGAGCCAAUGUUGGCAUUACCCAACCACAUGAAGGUUUUUAAGAUACACACAGAUGCCUCAAACUUUGCUAUUAGGGAAGUUCUGAUAAGAUAGACAUCUAAUCGCCUUCAAGAGUUGCAAGCUAAAUGACAUAGAGAGACGCUACAUGGUACAAGAAAAUGAUAUGACUGUCAUUGUCUAUUACUUGCACACCUGAAGACACUAUCUUCUAGGGUCUCACUUCAUAGUGAAAACCGACAAUGUUGUCAUUAGUUACUUCUAAACACAGAAAAGUCCUAAGUAAGCUAGGUGGCAAGACUUUCUGGUUGAGUUUGACGAUGCGCUGGAGUAUAAGACAAAAAGUACUAAUCAUGUGAAUGACGCCCUAAGCCGUAAUGUAGAGCUAGCAUUCAUGACGAGCCAGCCCCAAUGAGACAUAAUAGAUCUUCUAAGAGAGGGGUUGCAACAUGAUCUAGUGGCUAAGAGCCUUAUUACCUUGGCCCAUGAGGGAAAAACUAAGUGUUUUUAGGUAGAGGACGACCUACUCUACACUAAGGGGAGACUACUCUACGUGCUUAAGUGGGGGAACAUAAGGUAGAACUUGAUUAAGGAGUGCCAUGACACCAAGUGGGUUGGGCACCUUGGGCAACGACGCAUAAAGAGCACUACUCGAGUCAGCUUACUACUGAUCUUAGAUACAAGAUGAAGUUGAGGCAUAUGUGAGGACUUGUCUUGUGUGCUAACAAGACAAGGUAAAACAACAACAACCUAGAGGCUUGUUGGAGCCACUACCUAUAGCAGAGCGUCCAUGGGAGAGCAUCACCAUGGACUUCAUCAUCGGGCUACCUAAGUUGGAGGGCUAUGGCUCGAUCAUAGUGGUAGUGGAUAUGUUCUCUAAGUAUGUGACCUUCAUAGUAGCCUCUACUGACUGUACUGCAAAGGAGACAGCAAGGCUAUUCUUGAAACACAUGGUCAAAUACUGGGGGUCGCCUAAUUACAUCAUCAGUGAUCGCGAUUUGCAUUUCACUAGGAAGUUUUGGACAAAGCUCUUUAAGCUUAUGGGUUUGAAGCUUCACUUCUUCACAAGCUUUUCACCCGUAAACAGAUAGGCAGAUUGAGAGGGUGAACGCCUUAUUAGAGUUAUACUUAUCCUUCAUGAGUGUCAACCAAAAGGAAUGGACUAAGUUGCUAGAUGUAAUCCAAUUUUCAUACAACUUGCAAAGAAGUGAGACAACCAACAAGAGCCCGUUCAAGCUAGCCAUAGGGCAGCAACCAUUGACUCCUCACACACUACCAAUAGGCUAUACGAAGAGAAGUUCAGCGGCUUUGAAGUUCACUAAGGGGUGACACGAGCCAACUGACAUAAUAGCUCAUACUUGGAUAGGGCCGCUAGAAAGAUGAAGAAGUGGGCUGACAAAAAGCGACAUCACACUGAGUACAAGGUCGGAGACAUGGUCUUUGUCAAGCUCCUUCCUAAAAAAUUCAAGUCACUAAGGCCGGUACAUAAAGGCCUUAUGAUGAGGUAUAAAGGACAUUUCCCCAUACUUGGAAAGGUCGGCAAGGUGUCCUAUAGAGUUGAGUUACCACCGAGGUUGAAGAUUCAUAUCGUCUUCCACGUAAGUUACAUAAAAUCAUAUCACGAAGACAAGAAUUAUCCAAGCCAAGGGAUGUCCUAGAUGACACCUACAUCGAUUAUGACCUUCUAUGACAAGGAAGUAGAACACAUCAUUGCAGGCUGAGUCAUCAAGAGAUGAGGCGUGCCUCCUGCUACGGAGUACUUGGUGAAAUGGAAGGGACUACCAGAGAACGAGACUAGCUGGGAGCCAAUAGAUGCACUAUGGCAAUUUCAGGAGCACAUUAAGUGGUUCUAGGUGGAAGGUGCGACAAGGACGUUUACGGUUUAGGUAGGGGAGAGUGUCAUAGAAUGCUUCAAAUGAGCCUCCCCAGGGGUUUAUAUAGAGCCUAAGAAGCUUUUGGAGACUCCUACACUUAGUCAUUGGUGGGAAAAUGGUGGAAGGUUCUAAAGAUGUCUAAAGAUAUCCACACAUCUCUACACUAUGGUGGAAGGUAUGAGAGAAGUCCAAGGCUUUCUAGAAAAUUCUAGAGAUCUCUUGUAUAUUCUUGUACAUAGGCUUGUACAUAGAAUUGUGUAGGAAGUUUUAGAUUAUUCUUGAGUUGUAAGGAACCCUCCAAGAUUCCAAAGAGUUUCAUUGGUGCCUAUAAAUAGGUGAAGGCCUCAUUUGGCCAAGGCACCAAGCAAGUGAGUUCCAAAGCACUUGUAAAGCUUCUUUUAAGUAAUAAAAGCUUCCAUCCUUCAAGAUUUAUCUACUACGCCUUAUAAAGCUUUCAAGUUGUGAGCAUCUUAACCUAGCAAGCUGAGCAUUGGGAGCAAAACUGACUUAGCAAGAUCAAGGGUCUUGACUUGUCUAAGUGUCGCACGAGCUUAGGAAAAGACUAAGUUCAUGACACCUAGGACUAGUAGCAUGCACCCUAAGUAAUCCAAGGCUAGAAAUGAAAUGAUACAAGGAUUCCCAACACUUGACUUAAUUCCUUAGAAAUUGAAACUCAAUAAAAAACAUUAGUGUCAUUAACCUCAUUUUUUUUAUUACCAAUACUUAAUUAGGGGAAACCUUGAGCUAACAACCUCCUCAUUUUUUAUGAUGAUAAAACUGUACCAUCUAAAGAAAGCUUUCCUUAAUGUAUGCAUAUUAUAAGCAAUUUAAACAUUCAUCAUAAAAGAUGGAAAACAUAAACUCAAAUGGAGACAUGGAUAUAUAGAUAUAAGAGACAUCAUAAAGGUUGCAACAUGAUCGUAUAUCCGAAAUAGCAUCCAAAAGCAUGUCAUCCAAAAAAAAAUCAACCAUAAUAACCAUGUUCAAAUUGUCCCAAAAAGGAAAAAAAUAUAUAUAUGAAACAAAAAGUAUUAAAUAGUUUACUAAAUGUUAUGCCCUAGAUACCUAAAGAUAUCUCCCCCUUAGGCAACAUCGAAACAAUGAGGGAACUAUAUGGCUCAAGGUUGAGGUGGUGGAAACAAGGAACAUAGGACAGCUAUUGAAGAAGCUAAAAUUCUUCAUAAAUGAUUGAAUUUUAUUUCACCAUGAGAAACAAUACAAAGAGGGAUUUUUUUUUUUUUUUUUUUUUUUUUAUCAAGGGGAAGACCCCUUUCUCUUUACUACUUAUCCCUUUUAAUAAAAAUUCUUCCACAUUUUUCCACUUUAUUUUGCCAACAUUCUUUCAACCCCUUUUGCACAAAAAUGCCAAAGAUAGUAUUAGGAUAACCUUUUACAACCAUUGCUAACUUUUGACACAAGUUGCUAAAAAUUGUUGAAGAUUUGCUUUUAAUGUCAGGUAGGAUAGCAGAUUGGUUCUAAUUGAAGGUCAUUUCUUGUGGAGGACCUUACUUAUAAGUGAGAUGAUUGUUCCUAUCUUCAUGGUUUUAUGUUGUAUAGUUAUAGAGACUUUUUAGAGGCUAUCAGCUUUAGAGCAAAUUUAUGUUGUUUGUUAGGGAUUAAGUAUUUUAUUCAAAUUGGGUGAAUGGUACUACCUCUUUACUUGAGAUGGCUUUGAGAUUGGGUGGUUGAAUAGUAGUACUUUGGAAUGGUCUAGUUUUUGUUCGCUUUAGCUAUCAUUUUCUUAUGCUGUGUCUAUAGACGAGUGGAGACGUCAUUUGGAAAUUGGUCAAAUUGCCCGUGAAAUUGAUCAAAUUGUCAAGUUGUCAUCCUAAAAUUGACUAAACCUAGUUUGUAAAAAUGAGAAACGACCGUCACUAGCGACUAACAUCUUCUCAAGCUAAGUAUUAAUAGAUCCAAUCUGAGCAUAAAGGGCAUCUUAAUGUUGCAGGUUCAAUGCUCAUGAAGCAUAAUAUUUUGGAUACUUGGUGUGAGACACCUCAGCAUAAGUCUAAUCCAUAAGGAUAGUCUCCUCAGGAGGUUGAGAUGUGGGCAAUUGAAUGGUGGCAUCCAUGCCCUUGGUUUGCAUCUCCUGUUGAACAUCCUCACCCCCUAAUCCUUUAUGGUCACCCUCAGUCUCUAUCUAUAGAAUCUCUGCCUCUUACUCAACCCGGUCUUCAUUCAUAGCAGGACCCUUUCUUUUUCUUUCCAAUGAUCCAUUAGGCAAUUUCUCAAACAGCAUUCGGUCUGGAUUUUACGUUAUAGGUAUCAUAGGAUGAGGCCUGAAUGUUUUUUUCUCUUCUUAUGUCCACAUUGAAUGCUUUCAGGAUUUUUGUGAUCAGUCUUCUUCCGUUGGCCACUACUUUAGAAUUGCUUUUACAACAGUUUUUCAUGUGUUGAAAGAUGAUAAGGAAACCUUAGAAUGGAUCGGAGUCAAUAGAAAAUGCUACAUAAUAGGACACCUUGUCUCUAUGUCCACCCUUAGGUAGAAAAAUAUGUUUGAUCAUGUGGUGGUGCACCCUAGAGAUAAUGCUCAAGGCAUGGGCAUGGAGCUUUGAAGUCACUGUGUCGAUGGGUAAGUUACAUAUCCUCUAGAAAGCCCUACCUAGGUUAAAACUAGACACUAUAGGCCAUCCCUUCGUCUCAAAUAAACAAAGUCCCCCACAAAGGAUCUCCAAAAUAUCACAAAGCAUAUCAAUAUUUAGUUUAAUUCAACUCCUCUAACAAAUGUGCUAAUUGGCCUUCAUAUAUUUUAGGUUCAAGUAAAAUACCUGAACAAGGUUGGGGUAUGUAGGCUCUCUUGAUGAGAUGGUAUUGGUGAGUAUUUUUUUUUCUUCAAUACAAAACUAUUACAACACUUGGUUUUUUUUUUUUCUAAAAAAAAAAGAAAAAUAAAAAUAGUUUUAUAUUAUACUUAGUUUCAAGAAAAAUAAUAAUCAAAGCAAAAUGAAAAAAAAAUUCUCAUAUUGGUUUCUCGUGAAAAAUAUAAAAGCAAAUAAAAUACAAUUAAAAUUAAUUAAAAUCUUAUGUAUUUUUAAAUUAUUAAUUUUUAUAUAAAAAAUGAAAAAUAGUAUAAUGAAUUUAGAAGAAUAUAUAAAAAUAAUGUAUUAACUUUAAAUCUUUUUUUCUUUAUAUAUAUAUUUUCCCUUCAAUUUUCUAAUACCAACACAUAAUAAGGUUAAUGUCUUCUAGCCAACCAAUUGUAAGUCAAUUUUCAUAGAGCUUUUUUUUUUUUUUUUUUUUACAUGCCACCAAGUAGUUAUAUAAGCAUUUUUGCAUGUUAUUGUUAUCCAACAUACAAUAACUAUAACAUCCAAUUAUUAUGAACAUGAACAAUAAAAUUAGAUGCAACUAACUAUUUAGUGUAUAACAAGAAGUUGGUGAAGUAAUUCAUCCUAACAUGAUUCAACAAUUUUUGUUUAUUUUUCAAGAUUAAUUAUAACAUACCCAUUCUAUUAAAGUUGUUGAGAUAUUUGAGCAAAACUAAAAAUCAACAUUAAUUCAUUUUAUACCCACAAGAGAAAUAAGAUUUGUUUUUUUGUUUGAUAAUAAAGUAGUUGUAGUUAUUAAUGAUAAUUUUGAUCCUAAUUUAAUAGGUAUCCAAAAAAAAAGGAAAAAUGCAAGUAAACCAAUUCUUAUCUAACACAAUUAUUACCACCUUAAAAUCCUGAGGGGUAGCUCAGUUGAUCAGUUCGAGUCCCUUUAGGACCAUGAAAAGCUUACCCGAUGGUUCACCUUAAGAAAAGCAAAGCAUUUAUAUAAUUCAACUGGUAGUUGAUAAGUCUUAGAAAGGGUUUUGCCAUCAUUGGCUUCUCAGUAAAGGGCAAAUUUGGGUUGUGGCUGACAAUUAUUGAAUUUGUGAAGAAAUAUGUGAAGAAAGGAAACAAAAAGAGUUGAGGACAGAAUUCUUCAAUUAAAAAAUGGUUAGCCCAUGAACCCAUUCUUCAAACAGUAAGCCAAUGAGCCAAUGAGCCAAAAAGAAAGAAGAACAGCUGGUUUCAUCUUUUUAUCUUAAUGACUUUGACAACCCAUCUUUCUUUUAAAUACUUGUGACUUUGGAAUAUAAUUAAAAUGAAACUUUGGAAUGCCCACAUCUGAUUCACGGCCUUUUUACCUGUUUUCUUGUUUAACAUUUUUUUAAAUAUUAUAACAGAUGGAAAAACAUGAUUCUAACAGGCUGGAAAAUAGUGGAAGUUGGAACACCAACCAUAACCAAACUAUACCUUCCAUCUUUCUCCAACACUCGGAAUUAUUGAUACAAGUUGGUGGUUUUAUGAUUGUUUCUAUUGAGGGGACCCCUCUCCAUUUCCAAUUUCAAUGGAAAGGUUCUUCUUUCCCUACUUUUUUUUUUUGUUUUUCAAAUUCUUGUAGUUUUGUCUGUCUCUCUCAACAAAGCAAACUGCAAUCACUAAUUCAAAGAAAAGGAAUCCUAAAUGAAAAGAAAAGAAAGGAAAGGAAUGGUAAUUUAGGCUAUGAUGAUGCUCCUAUAUAAUGGCUGUAAGUCAAUAACAACACACUGGACCCGCCUCCUAUCUCAAAAGAUCACAAACCCAAAUAUCAUAUACUUCCAAAUUUCAAUUUGGUUCCCUGUUUAUAUCACAAUCUGUCCUAUAUCCUCUUAAUACAUCUAAAAUCUCUCUAUAUCAUAAAAAUAAUGAUGGAAAAAAAAAUUAAAAAGAAAGAAGGAAAAAAUGACAAAAAAAAAAAAACCUUGGUGCUGCUAUGGGUCCAUAGGAAUUGGCAGGACUGCACUUCUGGAUCCCCUUCCAUGGCCAAAAGAAAAGAAUGAUCUUCGGAAUCUGCUGCUGCAACCUUCACUAGGGCUGAAGUCACUGACAGGCCUGUUCUGUUGCAAAAUCUCUUGAAUUGCUAAAUACAGCUGCCUGUCGUUGGAUGAGUCCAUUGAAAAAGACCUCCUGAUGGGUUGGAUUGAGAACUGAUCAUCUUUGCCUCUAGUGUCAAUGCACUCAUCACCCAUGCUUGCAACAUGAUGAAACUUCCUUGCCUUUUUAGGCACAAUUCUCUGCUCUAGCUUCCUAGGUGAUGGACUAAUUGAUGGCGCAGAUAACUCUCUGGAAUUCAGUCUUUCUGGUGGCCUAAGCAGUGAUGAAUCAGCAGAACUAUCAUUUCCCAAUUCAAUUACUACAAAAUCUUCAUCCCCUCCUAUGUAAUUAUUGGCGUAGGGGCUUGGAUCUUGGGGGGAAGAGCUAGGAGCAAUGAUUUGGUGAACAGGAAACCGGGGUGUGGUUGAAAUGCUUGUUCUGCAAAGUGGGCAAUUAGCAUUGCUUUGAAGCCACACGUCUAUGCAAUCUAUAUGAAAUAUGUGACUGCAGUUUGGUAUGAUUCUUAGCUUCUCUUCUUCUUGAAACUCAUUCAAGCAAACCGCACACUCGCAAUGGCUUCUUUCUCCAAACUCUCUGCCACCUCCUUUCCUGAACUGGAAUAUUGGGAUUGAUCUGAUGACUGACUCGUCCAGGCCUCGACUCUCGAUUGCUGGGGAGUACACCAUUAAAGGGUCUUCCGGGUGCCGACUCCUUGAGAAAGAAAAUCGUCUCAGCAGAUCAAUCCGGUGCCAAUUGAGGCAGCAUUUGAUUACAAAGAUGUAGUAGCUCACCAGCAAGAAAGCAGUGGCCAGGAUUCCUAUUACGGCAAUGGCUAUAAUGGGGAAACUGGUGUCCGAGGAAUGAGAGGGAGAAGGAAGCACUGAGCUCGCCUGGCUUUUGAUGGGAGAAAAGGCUUGUGAUCCAUGGAUGGAGGAGUCUGUGCUCACAAGAUCCAUGAGAGAGGCUAUGAAAAACAUUUAGAAAUGAGUCUAUUCGGAUCUUCAAUUCACAGAAACAUGCAAAUGCUAGAAUAAAAUCGACAGACACUCAGAUAUAGACCCUACAGUUGUAAUGCAGCAUACCAUAAAUGUGAUUGAGUGAGUGAGGCUGAAACAGCAAAUGGGUCACUUCAAGAUCUCAACAAGACAGAAAACCCAUGUUGAAUUCACCAGGAGAGUAUUGAAAAGGGAAAAAUUAAGGACAUAUAGCUGUAUUGAAAGUUGAAACAAAUGCAGAAACAUAGAGAAGAGAGAGAGAGGGAGAAAACCCAGGAGGGUUGAAUGAGAGCGCUGCUGGGGAAGACAUCAAAACGCUUCAAAUUCAAUGAGAAUCUGUUGGGGACCUCUUUAAGAGGACUGCACAAAGCCUGAGCGUAGGGUACGUGGUUGGUUGGUGAAUUUCUCGGCUUCCAAAAGAGAAAUUUGGUGAGAAAAUUUUCAAGUCUCUUGAUUAUAGUAACGUAGCGUUUAUUUUAAUUUUAUGUAACCGAAACUAAUGGGCUGGUUCAAAAAAAUAAAAAAUAAAAAAAGGAACUUUCUAGGAUAGGCCAGCAGUCCACCGUUGGUCAUGUGGUUUCUUUUGCAUGUCCACAUCUUCCAACUAGUGGAGGUCCCUGUCACAACAGUAAGAAAACACCCAAUUGAAUAAAAGUAUGAACUUUUGGCUCCCAAUAUUACUUAUGCCCUCAUUCAAUACCUCAAAUAAAGCAGAGAUUUUGUGUCCCAACUUUUAUGAUUUCAUUUCAUCUUACUUCAAAUGCUAAUGACAAAAGUCCAAGUAUAUUCUGUAAUCACCCACACCCCAAUAGUUUUGAAUCACACUUGAAAUAGUUCCCAUGCUUUCUUAAUAAUUUAGAUAAUUAUUUACAGAAAAAAAAAUUCAGAACAGGAUGAUAAUCAUUUUGUGAUAGCAUGGAAGAAACUUUACUAGCCACUUUGGCCCCAUGAAGUUGAGUACUUGAUGCCAAUUAAUGGCAGGGUGGAAAAUAGAGAAAAGGGAUCAUAGUCAAAUCUAGAGUACAAGGCAUUGAAUCUUUGUUAAUAAUUAACAAAUGGGUAAAGCAUGGGUCACAGGGUCUACAGUUUGGAUUGCAAAAACCUCAGGCUUCUAUAAAAAGCUCAUCCAUUAUCAAUCAUCAAUCUGAAAGCCAGAAAGUCCAAGGCACAUGCAACCCACGACAGGGGUAAGAUUUCUGCAUCAUGUCCCUGAGUUGCAUUCACAUCAUAUGUUUCCCUCCGGGCCGUUCCAAUUUGAAAUCUCAUGGAAAUCUUCAAGAGCAAGGCUACAGAGUUUAAGAUAAUACUAGGGGUGGGUCCUGAUGGGAAAAGAGGUAGUGUAGGAUAGUCAAUAAAGGGCAUGUGUCUCUGGUGUGAAGUCAAAUCCAGUGUACCAUCCUCAAUGGAAAAUUUAGAAAUAGAACCGACACUCUACAGACUGCCGUGUUGACAGAUUAGAGAAAGACAAACCCACUUACACUUGCCUCAAAACCCAGUCCUGCCAUUUCAAAGGCAAAAAAAAAGGGUUUCUUUUUAUAGUCAAAGGUUGAGGCCUGGCCUGGCCUAGCAAAGAAACUUCACCUACUCUUUUCUUAUUUUUCAAAUUAAGGCCAUUCAACUUUUCCUGUUUGCAGGCUUGCUGCCAUAUCUUACUCCAAAAAAGGUGAAAACCCAAAAGAAAAAGAGUGUUUGCUUCAAUGGAAAACUCAUGUUUAAUAAAUUCACCGCACGAGUUUUGUUCCAGCUUUUCCUAUGAAAGCUGUGAUGCGUUUGGUAUGAAGUUGAUUUUGUUCCUAAAAAUUUUGAUCUUGGCGUGGAAGGCAACUUUUUCCUUUUCCCCCUUUUUCUUUUUGAAAAGUUCGGCAUUAGUUACCAAAUGUCCUUUUACUUGCAUGUAGGACAGCGGAAGCAUUACACAUCGCAGCAAAAUCCCAUUUACCCGAAUUUUCCACUAACUCUUUUUAUUUUUUACCAUCAUUUUUUAAUAGAAGUGAUGCACUCUUCAAAUUACAUGAAGCUUUUAAGAAGGUAAUAACCCGUUUCAAAGCGAACUUAACCUACAGAGUAUGUUUUAAAAAUAUUUAGGUAUUUGAUAAAAUUUAAAAAAUAUUUUUUAAAAUCUUUAAAAUGAUUUGUAAUAUUGAAAAUUUAUUUAUACUUUUUUUAAUAAAAAAACAUUUUAUAGGUAAUUUUUCUAAAAUACUUUUAGAGAAAAUGUCUUCCCUUCACUAUAAAUAUUAUAUACUAUCAAAUACACUUUAAAAAUCUGUUUAACAAUAAUUUUAUAAAGUGUUUUUAAUUUUAAAAAUAUUUUUAAAAACAAAUUAAAUUUUUGAUAAAAUUUAAAAAAUCUUUUUAAAAAUUUUGAAAAAUAUCUCGUAAUAUUAAAAAAUAUAUAUAUUUAUAAUGUUUUUUAUAUAAAUACUCAAAAUUCAUUUAAUAGUGAUUUUAGGAAAUGUUUUUAAUAUUUCUAAUACUUGAAAAUUUUUUAUCAUUUAAGUAUUAAAAAUAUUAAAAACACUUUAUAAAAUCACUUUCAAAUGGACUCUUAAUGAUUUUACUAAAAACACUUUUCAUAGAAAACAUUUAUAAAAAAUAAUUAUGAAAUACACUCUAAAUUAAGUAAAAGUUGUUUUUAACAUUACCACUAUUUAUUAAUAGUGCAUUUGUUUAAAAUAUUUAUAUGAAAAAUUCAUUAGGGUGGGAUAUAAAUAUAGAAGUGUUUUUCUUUAUAUAUUUUUUAUAAUAAAAAAUGAUUUUUGAAAUUAUAAAAUUUGAAUUUAAGAAUCAUUUGAUAAUAAUUUUUGUUAAAGCACCUUUAAUACGUGGUGCUUCUAUUGAUAGCGCUUUCAUUUCUAUGAAUGGCUAUAAAUUAUAUUUGAAUAAAUUUUUUAUAAUGUAUUAUAUAAUAAAAAAAAAGUCAUUUUUAAAAAAAUUAUACAUUAAAUGAUUAUUCAAAUAGUAUUUCCUAAAUUUUAUUAAACAUUUUUUUCAAAAAAAAAAAAAAAGUUUUCAAAUACUAGAAAACGUUUUUAAUCUCUCACACGAUCACAUCCAAACAAGUCCUAAUGCUACUCCUAGAAACACUCCAAAACAAAAGUCUUCCUCUAUUAAUGUUCAUAAAAUCCACAUAUAUUCUUCCAUCGUUUUUUCAAAAUUCAAAAUCAUUUCUAAAACAUCAAAUCAUGUUCUUUGGAUUGGCUGACUUGUUUUUUGAAAAUAGAAGGCUCAUUAUUGACGUCCGUUGACUUCAUAACCCAGUCUUGAUCUCUUGAUGGAGGGCAUAAAUGUAAAUUGGACGAAACCCUAGGGUGCGCUAGAGUGUAGAGGAUGAAAGGUUGGAAAAAGGAUGAGGUGGGGGUGUAAUAAAGAGGAGGGUUGGGAGAAUGGGACAUGUGUAGGUGAAGCAUUAAAUUCAAGACUAUGCUUACCAACAACAUAUAAAUAAAUAAAUAAAUAAAUAUAGGAACAGCACAUGGGGUGAGUAGGAGACAUCAGAAGAUGUGAACAACCCCUUGUCAGUCCAAUUUGCGUCUUUUAUCUACUCUAUUAUCUAUAUCGAUUUUCGUAUUUAUUUAUUUAUUUAUUUAUUUUUACCAUUUGAUUUUGCAUGGAUGUCGAAGGGUUUAUUGGCUGCCACGUGUAGGGUUAUGGUCAAGAUCACGUGGGGUGCCUACAUGGGAGUCACGUGAGUGCAUGAGGCAGGCUUGAAUUGCAGGAGGAGCAGGAGCAGAGCAGUGGCUGUUGUCUUAAGACUUUGCUCUCUUGGUGGAACUGCAGCUUAAGCAGCAUCCACGUGUUGUCACGUGCAAUGCGAGCCAUCCACACCACCAGUUUCUUUUUAGUGAUUUUCUAAAGUCAGUUAAGGUUGCAGUCAAUACCUUCAAAUGUUGACAGAGUUAGGGAUCUUUGUUAAAUGGAUUUUAUUAAGAUAUUAGUAAGUUAAUUAAUUGAGGGUCAACAUAACAGAUGGGUCGGGUUGGGUUGAAUCUGAAUUUAAAACGAUUUAAUUUAUGUUUAAUCAAAUUUAACAUUUAACUCGAAGCACUCAACUUAAGUUUAAUUGAAUCUUAGUUUUCAAAACAUUAUUUAAAUUUGGGUCAUUUGGAUUAAAGUCAAAUGGGUUAGAUUAAUCGGGUUAUAUGGUUCAAAAUCCACUUACCUUAUUUUUUAUACAUUAAUAUUAAAAUUUAAAUAAAAAAUAUUAGAAGAAAUUUCAAACUUGGGAUUAGUUGAUUGUAGCCAUGCAUUUGGAUGUUGGUAUUCUUGUUUCUUGUCUUGUUUCCAAAUACCCUUUCAAAUCGCUUUGUUAUUCAAUAGCAUCCUCCCGAUCAUUUAAAAAUUUAAAGAGCAUUGGUAUGAUGGAGGAAUUCAGAAAUUUUAGUUGAAUAAGUAAAAUUUUUCUCUCAUAAAACCAAAUAGCCUCUAUAGCUCAGUGGUAGAGCGUCAGUCUUGUAAACUGAAGGUCUGUAGUUCGAUCCUGCAUGGAGGCAACUUUUUAUAUUUCAUGAUCCAUUAUGCUCUAGUGAUUUAGUUUUCAUUAUAAUUUUAGAUUAAAAAAUUACAUCAACAUUUGAUAAGUUGGUUAUGACUUUGAUAUAAGGAUGAAACUAUCAAUAAUAUAUAUAAAUAUUUUGACACAAAAUAUCUAAUAUAUUAAAAAAUUAAAAAAAAACUCUAAAAAACAUUAUAAAAUUAUAUAUAUAAUUUAUCAUAUUUAAUAAUAAUAUCUUCUACCCUAAUAAAAAAUAUAAAUUUUAUAAGCAUACAUUUAUUAUUACAUUGUAUUAUAUAUUAUUUUACAAGAAUAUUAUGAUAACAUGUCUAAUUUUAAAAUAUAUUUAAUAUUAAAAUUAUCAUCAAUUUUAAUUUAAAUGUAUUUAAUGAUAUCAAAUAAUAUAUAUAUAUAUAAUUUUUUAAUAUUUAUAUAUUUUUAUAUUUAAUAAAUAUAUAAAUUAUGUAAAAAAAAAAGACCUAUUAAGAAGAUUAUGUUUUUAUAUUUGGAUCAAAAUUAAGUUUUUCCGAUAAAAUAUAUGAAACUAUUGAUAAAUUAUUGAUUGAAACGUGAAAAAAAAAAUUCAAAAAAUAGAUGAGAUAUUAGUAAAAUAUCCGAAAAUAUUGAUUGAUGAAUAUAUCAUUUCAAAUUUUGCAUCAACAUCCACAUAUGUUGGAUAUAUUGGCCAAAUAUAUUUAAACCUUGUUUCCAUGAGAAGUCUUUCCUUCAACAAUUUCAAAAGGUUAAUGAGGUGGUUUCCAAGAGAUGUGUGUAGGGGUCUCCAACGGGCGGGCCGGGCCAGCGGGCUUUUUGAAAUAAGCCAAAAUGGCUUUCAAAAAAGGGAAGGGAGAGGAUUUAAACCCCUUCCUUCAUGCUUAAAUUUCAAGGUUCUAACCAAUUGAACUACAUUCCUUUAAUGUUUAUUAAUUGAGUUAGUUAUAUAUAUAUAUAAAAAUAAAGUAUAUUAUUUUUUAAAGGGGCGGGCCUACGGGCUGGGCCGGGCCGAAAGCGGGCCACGGGCCACGGGCUUUUUGGAGACCCUUGGAUGUGUGCAAUCACAUUUGGUAUUAUAGGUGACAAAGUUUGAUAAAUGAGUAAUUAUUAGGUUAACUUAUAAAAUCCGAAUUUGAUUUAAAUUGAUUCAUUUAAUAAUCCCAUUUAUUUACCCAAUUAAAACUUUAAAUUAUUUAACUUAUAUUUAAUUUAAUUAAAAUUUGUUUUUAAAUAAAUAGAUCAAUUAAAACAUAAACAUAUUUGAUUGAAACAUUAAUAAUAUAGAUUUAAAUAAGACCUAAUUCAACCUAACGAUCAAAUAGAAAUAUCUAAUUAUUAAAUAAAUUAAACAUGUUACUUGCUUAAUAAUUAUGUGACAUUUGAAUUUAUGCUUUUGAUAUAAUUAUUAUUUAUAUCAGGUUUAUAUAAUGAAAUAUCUAGACUUUGACACCAGUCAACAUUGUCCACCAAUACAGAUUGCAACUCUUAUAUGCUACAUCACAUCAUGUUGAAGGAAGAGGAUGACGUUCAUUGGCAGCAGAGCCUCCAAUCAUAAGGAGCUUGAGCAAAUUCAAUCUCAACACUGAAAUUCACUAGAAAAAAAGUUUAUUAUUGAUACUUCAUUUGUGUAAAAGCAUUAUAUUUCUUGCAUCAAUCGUAAAGCAUGACAUUCCAGUAGGUACGGAAGAGAAAAUUUGUUAUGAAUUGAAAAAUCUGUCAAGCUUAAUUUGGAGGGCCCAAAAUUGACACGUUUAAGAGCUCUAUCAUUAGCCCAAUGAUAAGAGUCCAUUUCUUGAGUUUCAAGGAAGGCCCAAGUUUAACUUAGAGGGCCCAAUCUUGGUACCUUCUAAAAGGUGCAAACUUUGGCCCAAUUAUAAAAGCUUAUCCUUGCUUCCUAAGCAUCAAUGAUAUAUUUGAUCGAAGUAUUCACAUAACUAUCACGAAAUGAAAUGAAAUGAAAAUGUAUAAGUAAAUGAUGAUUUUGAGUUAUUUACUGACAAUAAAGAAUUAGGUGGUGUUUGUUUUUUUUUUUUUGGCUUUUUACUAAAAGCAAUUUGUUUUCAGAAUUUAGGUUAUUUAUUUUUCUAUUUUUUCAUGACUUAUUAUAAACUUUUUACUAAAUAAGAAAAUCCAAAAUAUAUAGUUUUUUCUAAAUAGAAAAAAUAACAUAUUGGUUUUCUUUUUUUUUUACUUUUUAAUAUUUAAUAGAAAUAAAAUAUUAUAAAAACAAACAACCUAAUAUUUAACACUAUUAAGUAUUAAGGUUUUAUUUAGAAUUAAGUAAAAAAACAAACACUACCUUAAAAUGAAAAGUAUGUAUAAUGACCUUAUACAAAAAAAGUCUCAUUAUUUUCUUCCAAAGAACUCAUACUUUUGUUUUUCAACUAUUACUUUGUUUUUAUUUUUUAAAUAAUAUUUCAAGUUUUUUUUAAUAAUACCUUUCUCUUUAUUAGAUAAUUUUAAUGACUUUAAAAGUAUUUUAAUAUAUUAAUUUAUUAUAUAAUUUUAAUGAUUUAAAAAUAUUUAAAUGUUGAAAUAUUUAUUUUCAAGUCUAAUUUUAAUUAUUUAUUUUUUGAAGUAUUUAAAUAUAUAAUAAAUGUGGGAUUAUGUAAAUCUAGUUGUAAUUAUUUAUUUCAUUCUAUUCAUGUUUUUAGUUGAAUUUGCUCAAAAUUUACACCUCUUUAUUUAAAGAUCAUGGAUUAGUUAGGUGUCUUGAGAUUUUUUUUCUCUCAAGACACUACUUGUUACACUAGAAAAUAAUUUGUGGCUAUAUUUUUUAGGCAAAAAGAAUUAUAUGUUAAAACUUCCUUUAUUGACUAGUUUAUCAUAGGGUGUAGAGGAAAGUUUGUGAUGUCUUUUUAUGUCAACUUUGGGAGAAAAAUAUCACUUUAGCAUUUUCCUUAGAAAAUUUUCAUACAUAAUUGAUUUUGGAACUAUGGAGGAGCAUAAGUAGGGAUAGAUAAUUCGAUUUUGGAAAAAUUAUAAUAGCUUUUCAACUUGGUGUUAAUGAUAUAUUGUUUAUUUCUUAUUUUUUUUCCAUUUUAAUAUAUAAUUGGGGAUUUUAAACUUGUAGAACAAGGCUUUUUCAAUUGAAUUGACACGUACAUAUGAAAGUUCUCUUUGGUUGCUAAUCACAUUUUUUUUUCUUUUGCUUUUUGUUUUUAUCAUAAUGAAUAUUGAACUCGAAAUUCAGUUUUUAAAAUCUUAUGAUGUUUUAAAGUUUAUAAAUAUUAUUGAUUUUUAUAAAUGAUGUUAUUCAUAUCUUGGUAAAGACAAUAUUUUCAUAUCGGUCAAGAUGAUUAAUAACAUAUAAGUUCAUAAAGAAAAACCUAUUGAUUAAUGGAUAUUUAAUGAUUUUUAUUAGGAAUGUUUUUUAAUUAGUUUCAAUACUCAUCUUUUAGAGCAUACAUAUAGGGUUUUAGAUGCUACAUUGGUUUUCAGCUUGUGAUUUAAAUUAUUGAAGCAAAAAAUGAGGGUUUUGCUUUAUGGAACUAUCUAAAGGGAGGUGAAUUAGGCGGUCUUCCUUUUUAAAAUCCAAAAAUUAGAUUUUUAAUACUUAUAUUAGUUAUACAUGUGUUCAAUAAUUAAAACAAAGAACAAGUCCAUAAUUUACAUGUGAUGUGCAUGGAAAAACACCUACAAAUUCUCUCAAAUACUUUACAAAUGAAAAAAAAAUCAAGGAUCGAUCAAUCACAGAGCAACUUCACUAAAUAUGAAAACAUGACUAUACAAUUUUACUUGGAUGAGGUGCUACCUUCUCUUAAGGGUUUUUACACUAGCCAACAAUUACACUCACCUUCACUCUCACCAUGCACCUCUAUUGUGCUCCAUAGUAAACACUUUAAUGACUGUAGCAAGAUUGCGAUAAAUUACUGCGAUUAAUUUGAGAGUGUUGAUAAUGAACAAAAAAUAAUGAUAAUUAACUAGAGAGCAUAUGAUUUUGUAAAAACACCAAAAAGAGGCAUAGUUAUAAGUGAAAACUUUAAUGGAUUGGAUUGAAUAUAUAAUUGAAGUAUGAAUGAAAAAUUACCAAAACAAUGUUCAAAACCGUGCUAAUCAAAGCACAAUCACUUGAGUACUCUCAUGGGGCACUUGAAUGCUCCUUUUAAUCACCGUAAUGCUGAAAUUAAUAAUUUGUCUCAAAUUGUUUUUCCAAAACAUAAAGCAAAAUAUUAUAAAUUUAUAUAAUCAAACCCAAUUUCAUCUUAAAGCUAGCCUACUUAGUCUUAAUUCAUGUCCAAAAAUACUCAUACUUGUCAAAGAAUGAAUAUGGUAUAAACAAAUUCUUUAUUUUCAAUUAUAUUCAAUUAUUGAAAGAAUAAAUCGGUUUACAUACAUUUUGAACAAAGGUAUAUACACAUAGACUAAAUCAAGGAAAUGAGGAAAUCAAUCACAAUCAAAUCAAAAUCAAAUGAUAGGUUGAUAUCUAGGAGAAGGUUAAGUUAGAACCAACUCAUGUAUUCAAUAUUCCCCCUUAAGAUGGCAUAUGGAGAUCAUGAAUAUCAAACCUAGAAAGUAAGGGAUAUGAAAUAUCUAUACCAAGGGAUUUUAUGAAAUAUCAACCAAUUGUUGUUGUGAUUAAACAAAUUGAAUAAGAAUAAUUUCAUUUCGAAUCUUUUCAUAGAUCAAGUGACAAUCAAUUUCAACGUGUUUAUUCUGUUCAUGGAAAAUUAGAUUAAUAGCAAUGUAUAGAGUUGUAUUAUUGUCACAAUAUAGAUGCAUUGACCAAGGAUGAUGAACUCCAAAAUCUAUAAGUAAAUAUUGCAACCAAUGCAAGUAGUAAUCAUUAAAUAAUAUUUCACUUUUCUUCAUGAGUGUUAUAUCAUUGAUUGCUUUUUAGAUCUUCAAGAGAUUGAUAGGCCACCAAGUAAAAUACAAUACCCUAUAAUUGAACAUCAAGAUUAUGCACAAUAGGCAUGGAGGAAGGCAAAAGAAUUCCUUGACCUAGACGAUUUUUUAAAUAGUAUAACACUCAUGUACUUGUGAGAUAAUUGAGACUACAUUGGCUUGUCAAGAAUUUGAACAUAAUUAGCAAUAUUAAGCCCUAUCAUUAUGAGUCAAAGUAACUUCCCAAUCAAAUGCCUAUAAUAAGAAGCAUCCAACAAAGGUUCUCUAUCUAAUUUACUCAAUUCCAAAUUUUGUUUCCUAGGAGUUUUUAAAGUUACAUGUUCCAAGAAAACCAAAAUCUUUUAGUACUUCUAGAGCAUGUUUUCAAUAACUUAAAUAAAUCUCAUUCUUAAAAUAUGUCAUUUCAAUGAUGAUGAAGUACUUUAAUUUUCCAAUCUCUUAGUUAGUUUGAAAAUGCUAUAUAGGUUUUCCUUGACCACCUUAAUUCCUUUAAGAUCAUUCAUUGUAAUAAUUAUAUCAUAAAUGUAAACAAGAAUGAUUGUGAAAUAGUUAUUUGAGGCUUGAGCAAAUAAGAAGUAAUAUGUACGUCUUGGCUUGCUUGUAAACCAUAAACAUCAAUGUGAUAGAUAAUUUGGCAAACCAUCAACGUGAAGCUUGCUCAAGGCCAUAAAGGGAUUUUUUAACUUUGCAAAUCAUAUUUUUGGUUCUAGAUUUCCUACAAACUUGGUGGAAGCUGCAUGUAUACCUCUUUAUCUAAGUCUUCAUAAAGAAAAACAUCGUUGAUGUCAAGUUGGUGAAGAUGUCAAAUUCUAAUUAUACAAUAAUUAGGGGUGACAAUGUGUCUUAUCGUGUUGAGGUGAGAAAUAGUGAAAAUUUACUUAAUCCGACUAUGACCCGUUUGAUAAUCGUGUCAAAAUAACCUAACAUGAAUACAAUUAGUUUAUUUCAUGUAACAUGACCCUUUUAACAUGUUUAAUAAAUAUAUUAACUUGGAUUAUGUAUUAAUUGACAUGAAUAACUCAUUAACUUGAUUUCAACCCCUUAAACUCAUUAACACAAUUCCAACCCAAUAAACUCGUUAAUAUGAUUUAACUCAUUAAACUUGUUAAUAGGAUUAUAACCUCUUUAACCUAUUUAAAAUUUUAAAUUUAUAAAUAAUAAAAUACUUCUAGAAAGUUUAAUUUUUAAAAUUUGAACUAUAAUACAUGUAUGCACCAAUUUCAUGAAGUCCUGAAAAAUUAGCAAAAUUAUAGAAAAAUAAUAUAAACAAAAAUUUGUAUUAAAAUUAAUAAGUAUGGGCUACAAUAUUAGUCAUAGUACUGCUUAUUUCUGAAUGACUUUAUUAAAAAGCGAAGAAUACAUGUGUAGUUCUUAUGUGAUUUCUUAAACUUGUAAGGCGAUUUUAUAAAGUUUUUUUUUUCUUUGUGAAACCUCUUUUUCUAUGUGAAAUUGUUUUGCCGAUUUGAAAUCUUCAUUAAAGGAAGUUACUAUUAUUUAUAAUUGAAAUUAGAGAAUGAAAUGUGGAAUCCCCAUGAUUUAGUUGCUUAAUUCAAGGAAUUUGAUUAAUUGAUUUUGGUAACUUGUCUCAUAAAAUUUUCUAACAAGAAUAUUUAUUUUUAAUCUCUUUUAUUUCAAUUGGAAUAUUUGUUUCCUUUGUAAAUUUGUCAAUAGAAUAUUUAUUUAUUUAUUUAAUUCUCUUUUGACUACAAUGAGAAGAUUUGAUUUUGUUUGUAAGACUAAAUUUUAUAACCUUUCAAAUUUGGCCAAGUGACACCUUUUGAAUAUAUGUCACAUGUCAAAUGUGUGUGACUCAUUAGUUGUUGAACCUAAAUUUUCUUGAAUUAGAAAGCUAUACUUUUGAAGACUAAUUUAGUGAUAAUUUAAUUCAUUAAAUUUUUUUGGUGUCUACAGUAUAUUUAUAAUAUGAAAAGUAAAUUAAAAUUUUAAUUUUUUUACUUGUUUAUUAUUUUAUUUAUUAUUUAAUGAUAAAUAUUUUUAUUCUUUAUUGAAAUAUAUAAAAUUUUAAUUAAUAUUUUAAUUUUUUUAAUUUCUAUAUAUAAAAUAUAUAGAUUUAUAUGGUCUAAUUGAGUCAUUAAAAUAAAUAGGGUAAAUAACUCACACAUAAGUGAUGGAUCAUUCUAACAUGAUUAAAUUAACAAGUUAGAUGAAUUGAGUAGUCAAAUACAAACAUGAUUUGUUUAUUAAAUAAGUUAUAUGAAUUGAUACGAUUAUGACAUCAACUCAAUUAAACUUAACUCAAAUAAGCUUUGUCUUUUAUUUUAAGUUGUCUAGUUGUUCACACAAAUUUUCUCAAAAUAAAGAAAUUAUAUAUAAAAUUGUAAAUUUGAUUAUUUGAGGGGACCAUUUUCAAUACUCUUUUUUAAGUAAUCUGGUGUUUAAUUUUGAAUCAAAGGGGCUUUCAUUAACAAAUAAUAGACUGUAGUUUUCAUAUAAGAAGAAAUCUCAAGCCUUUUUUUCUUGAAGGAAUCUUUAAAUUUUCUUUGAUACUUUAAAAAAUCAAUCUUCUUUGAUUUUUUAAGAAAUCUUUGAAUUUUCUUAAAGUCUUCAAAAAAAAAAAAAAAAAAAAAACUGAGUUUAAGGAAUUUUUUUAAUAACUCUCCAAAUUUCUUUGAUAUUCCAAAGUGUCCUUUAGAAGGGGACAAAUCCUCUAUUUACAGGAUUGAGAGUUUUAUUUUAAUAUUAUCUCUUAAUUUUUAAGAAAUAACUCUCUUAUUUAUGAUAAUUACUAUUUAUUUUAUUUAUCAUAAUUAGUUGCCUAUGAUAAUUAUCAUAAUUAAUUUUUCUAGAGAUAAAUAAUUAUAUAUAUUUAAUUAAUCAUGAUAACUAUAAUAUUUAUUUAAUUUUUUAUUAAAUUAUUUUACAUAACAUAUCAAUAUAUAUUAUUAGUCAAUUAUUAACACCGAAAAUUAAUGAGUUGGCAUAAAAUUUAUCUCUCUAUAAUAGUAUCAAAGCGAGCCUUAAUAAUAACAUUGCUUAUAGUCAAUUUCACAUGCCAACUUUUUACUGGGCAUUGGCGAUUUCAAUUUUGAUAGUCCGGUUAGAAAAAGUAGGUAAAGAUUAUUUGAUGUGGUAGGUCAUUUCUUUCAUAAAGACGAUGGCGGUGAAUUCAUGAGACAGGUGAUAAAGGAGAGAUUCUUUCUUUUGGCUUUGGAAUUUUAAUGAGGUCCUCGAUCCUCAUCCAAAAUACACCUCUCCAAUUAUAAAAAUCUUAUUAAAAAAAAAAAGAUUUGACAUGUGCCUUUCGAACUGCUGGUUUUCUGUUCCAAAAAUGAGAAUGGUUUCAAGUGGAUGAAGGAAGGUGAAGAACCCUUGGUUUUGUUAAGCGAAAAGCCACAUGAUUAAAUAAACAUAAGGCGGCAAAGGCUGAAAAUUUAAAAUUAUACUAAGGAACCCACCCCACAGGGCGACUACACUUUUGGUGAAGCCACGAGAAUGAAAGAUAUCGAAGGUGACACCAAGACAUUAAGCAGCACCAAGGUUUCGAUAUAUUAUAAGAUGGGAUCUUAUGAAAGACGAUCUCUAAUCUCUCUCCAAUCUCUUCUUUAACCUUUUCUUACUUAAAUCCAUUUCCAUGGUAGGGCACAUGUCCAGCUGACCCUACCCCCUCACCUACCUAUACUGCUAUACCCUUUUGUAUAAUUUGAUAUGGAUUGGAAGCCACCCCAACAUCUUUCUAAUUGCUCGUAAAUGUUGAGGUGCCUUUCCAUUUUGAGGCUGCCCUAAUGUGUGGCUGAAGUACGUAGGAAAAAAAAAUUGUGAUACAUGCACUGACGAAUCAAAUCCCAAUGUCAAAUUAUUAGACUCACCUGGUUCUUAAAUUAUUGUGAAUGCCGCUGGCCAUGGAUAAAUGGAAUUAGUGCGUGGCUUAAUGAAAAUUUAUUUUGAAAGGGAUAUUAAUUUGAGAGAAUUUUGGCUGAUACUUGGAGUUGAACGUAAGCAUAUAUGACCUCAUUUCGGGUGUGAUAUUGUGCUUAUAACGAACCUUUCGUUCUUUCCAAUUCCAGUGGGUAUUAAAUAAUUAAAGAAUUCAUGGUUCGAAGGCGAAAGGUAGAAGACCAAAAAGGGAUUACAAAGCCAUCGGCUUGACCAUCCAGAUGCAAUGGAUACAAACUUUGGACUCUAUCGAAAGUUCUUUGGGCACGUGCCCAAGUGUCCUACCCAUAUGAUAAGUUACACGUGGCUAAUUGCGGACCGGUUGCUCGUGCUAAACAGGGUACUUUUUCUACGCAUAUAAGAUGUUUCACUAGUGGGGCUUCACCAUGCAAACUCAUGGAUGAAGACCCUGAGGCCAAGAUGAAGGAACAGAAAGAAGGCGGAGGAGAGGUUCGGUAUCGAGGCGUUCGGAGGCGGCCAUGGGGGAAGUUUGCUGCGGAGAUACGUGACUCGACUAGGCAUGGAGCGCGCGUCUGGCUCGGGACUUUCAAUUCUGCGGAGGAGGCUGCAAGAGCAUAUGACCGAGCUGCUUAUGCCAUGAGGGGUUCCUUGGCGAUUCUCAACUUCCCUAAUGAGUAUCAUACACCCGGCACGGCUAGCUCUUCAGCUUCAUCCUCAAUGCCCGAAGGUGAUCAGCAGGGAAAACAAGUCAUUGAAUUGGAGUACUUGGAUGAUAAGCUGCUAGAGGAUCUUCUCGACUCUGAAGACAAAAAGAACAAGAAAACCUGAAGUUUCUGCUGCCUCGAAUCCCCUGAAAUCUAGUGCUUCAUCGAAAAAAAAUCCCCUCGCUCCUGAUUAACAACAUUUUUAUUUUAGUCAAUGAAUGUGUUCUCGGAUCAUUAUAAGUAUUUCUGCCGAAGUCCAUUGAUUUUUGGAGACUGAAAAAUGUCAGAAAAAUUGGUGCGAACAGGUUUACUCCUUUCUAAAUUAUGCAAUUGAAGUAUUUGGAUUAGUGCGCAGUGUAAACAUCAAGGAAAGCAUGAUCCACUAUUUUAAGGAGCCUAAGUGCUUUCCCCUUUACUCUUUUAGGAUGUCUUUUCAGUGAAGAAAGUUGGGAGACCACCACUUACCCUUUUGAUUGGUAUAUAACUGCCAACUAAUAACUGGACUAACAUUUGGCCCGUCUGGCCCUACUUCUUUGACUUUGUUGUUAAUUUAUAACUUUAUGUGAAGUGGGGGCUGUUUGGGAAUGUGUGAAGCAAGGAUUUGAGCCGACUUCGCCUAAUCUGAUUCUCCAUAAGUGACUUCAUUUUAUCAUAUUGGUGUUUUUUUUCUUCUUCUUUUUAAAUGGCUGGGGAGGAGGGGAUUUGGGAGGGAUGCAAUGCCAUGGUUGCAUGCUGGAUUAUCCUUCCAAAUGAAACAUCCAUUUGGUUUCUAGUAACUAAUUGCAAACAAUUAAAGAGAAUAAAAUUUUAAGAUGAUUAAACAAUAAGUACCUAUGUCCAUGAAAAGGAGAGAAGUUCACUCAUGGGUGUUCAUGAAAGACAUCACAAAGAACCAUCAAUAUGAGAAGAAUCCUGAUACAAUUAACUUUCAUGCAUAAGAAAAGACGCUCAAAAAAGAAUAAUGCUUACAAGGAAAGAAUCUCACUACGAUCAACUGAAAAAAUAUUCCAAUUUAAUUGGAAAUCCUUACAUGGGAAGAAUAUCAAUAAAAUCAACUAAAAAAAUAUUUUAAUUUUAUAUCAAAAUAUUUGUGAUUUAACCCGUAUCAUUUCAUCAUGACUUCUUAUAAAUUUUGUUCCUUUUUAUCAACACCACCCCUUGAGUUGGAGCAUAAAUAUUUAUUAAGCUAACUUGAACAAGAUCUUGAGAAAUUUUGUCGCAGGAUUUGUUUGCACUUUUUUUUUUCAAAUAAAGUCAUAAUUAACUUUAAUAUGUUUAAUCAUUUCAUGAAAUACUAGAUUUUAAGCAAUGUUGAUAGCAUACUUAUGCCUGAAAGCUUUAUCCCAAAUCACAUGAGUACAUGAAGUGAUUGCAUCAUUAAUGGUAGUAUUAUUACUUUAUAUUCAACUUCUCCACUUGAUAGGAUGCAUGAAAGCAUUGUGCUUUCUUCUGUUUCAAGUAAUAAAGAUUAUCACCAAGAAAGGUGCAAUUAAUACCUAGUAACAGAGUACCUAGUGGUAGCAUGCACCUAUCCACUGAACUUGUACUCGACUCUAUGAGUGUACGUUACAUAGUCCUUUUUUCGAAGUCUAAAUGUCCCUUGAUAAAACCUUCUAAUAUUUGAGGUUUUGGUAACAUUCAUGUAUCAAUGAACAAAUUAAUUUACUAGCUAAACUUUAAAAUUAGGCAAUGUUUUUCAAUGGGUGAUCAAGAUCUUGGAAUUUUCAAUGUUGUUUGAAUAGCUUCCACACACAAGCAUAUUUUCUCCUAUUUAGGAAUAAUCCCUUUUUUGAAGGUGUGAUCUUUAUGCUCAAAAAAUAAAGAUACUCAAAAAUUUAAUAUUGACCUUCUCGUGAAGGAAAAGCUUUAUAACUAAUUUUUUUUGUGCAUUAUAUAUAUCCUCAAUAUAGACUUUAAAAAAAAAAGAAGUAACUCCCUCUACAAAGAGUGAAGAGUCAAUUAAACUUUUUUUUUUUUAAAAAAAAGGAACCAAUUACUCGUAAAAGUAAUGAUUAUUUUUACAUACCAAACUUGAGGAGAUUACUUAAGAUCACAAAAGUUUUUAUUAAAUUGCAAGCUAGAUGCAUUUGAAACGAUCGUUGAUGUCUUAGCAACACCUUAUGUAACUCAUCAAUCUUUAUGUAAAAAUGCAUUUUUAACACCCAUAUAAAAUAAUGAUCAAUCCUAAUUUAAUAGAAACAAAUGGUAAUACAUGAAUAUCAUUCAUAUUAAUGAGAAAAGUAAAUAUUGAUUUAUAAUCAACUUCUUAAGUUUGUGUCAAUGCCUUAAUCAUUAGUUUAACUUUGUCAUUCAAUGAUACCAUCAUUACGACAUUUAAUUAACUUAGAUUUGCGUAAAUCCCUUAAUCACUAGUCUAGCUUUAUGUCAUUCAAUGGUACCAUCAUUAUGGUAUUUAAUUGAUCUUAUACCCCCAAUUUGUAUACCCCAUGUUUUUCUUAAUUUACCAUACAUCACUUAACAAUGUUCCAUGCAUGGAUUUUGUUAAGUGCCUUAAGUUCCUUUUGCAUAGCCUUUCUCCAAAUUGGAUGAGGAUUGGCUUCAUUAAUGUCAUUAGACUCAUGAUAUAUGGAACUCAAACAAUUGUUAAGUGAUUUUGUAUAUAUAUAAAAAAAAAAUUGUAAUUAAUGUGGUAGGCAUAAAAAUCUCACAAAUGAGGAUUGAUUAAUUGUUAUAAUUGAGCAACAUGCUUGAGGCUUAGUCACAAUACUAGAACUUGAAGUCAGACAUUCUCUUCAAAUAAGGACGUAUAUACAUUAUAUUGGAUCUCCAUUAAACAAGUAAAGAACUAUUUAGUAGACAAUGAAACCUCAUUGAUCAAUGGUGGUAGAGAGACACAUGAUGACCAGACUAUUCCCCUGGAAAUGAGAAUAAAAAAUAUCAUUAGCCGCAAAAAUCUCAAAAAAAUUUAGAUAAUGGGAUAUAAAGAGUUUAUGAAUUUUACAAUCAUAACUCUUAUACUGGUUUAAGUGGUAGAGUAAUCAAGAACACAAAACGAGUUUGAUGAGUGGUUGAGAUAUGAACAAAGCAAAGAUUUCCAAAGACACCAAAAUCAGAAAUCUCAAUUUUUGGGCUAAGGAUUUCAAGAAGAAAUUUAAAAUUAACUACAUGACUAGAAAAUUUGUUCAUCAAGGAAAUAGAAGUAACGAUAUCAUAACAUCAUAAUUAAUCAAUAUUUUUAAUAACAUGCAUUUGGAACAUGAUAUACCGGCUUUCUAAUAAUCAAUGAUUUUUGGUUCAACCACACCAUUUUGUUUUGGGAUGCCAAUACAACAAGUUUAACGAANNNNNNNNNNNNNNNNNNNNNNNNNNNNNNNNNNNNNNNNNNNNNNNNNNNNNNNNNNNNNNNNNNNNNNNNNNNNNNNNNNNNNNNNNNNNNNNNNNNNAUGUAAGUGCCAAAUUAGGUAGUGUCGACAAUGAAAUGGAAAUUUUGGAAUAUAGAAACAACCUCAUUUUUAUGUUCUAAUAAGUAAACCUAUGUAGCAUAAGAAUAGUCAUUAAAAAAAAAGGUAACAAAAUGUUGAUUUCCAUCCUAUGGAUCAAUUAGGACACAACCCCAAGGUAAACUAAUUUGAAAGUUGCAACAAAAAUGGAAAGAGAUGAAAAAAUAAUAGAGGAAUUUAAGGUUGUUUCAAAAUUUCAAGACAUGCUAAGAAACACAUGAGAUUAUAGAUGAUUAGGUAACAACCUUGGUUAAGUAUAUUCAACAUAUAUAUCCCACGAGGAUAAAUAUCUUCACUAAACUUUUCCUAUUAUUCAAUCCCCUAAUACCAUACAAGUGAAAAAUUAAUGUCACGGUCAAAAAUUUUAAUAAGCUUCCAAAGAGAUAAUAAUUUUGGGGAAAAAAACAACCUAAGAAACCUAUGAAUUGAGAUAAUUUAGGAAAAAACUAAAUGUUCGUUAGCUCUAGAAGGGAAUUGAAGCUCAUCAUCAAUAAAGAUUGUUGCUAUCUCGAAUAAUAUCAAGUAAACCAUUAAGAUCGCUAUUAAUGGUAUGAUUAGCAGCACCAAUUAUCGACAAAAAAAUUAUUAAAAAUAUAAGAAAUGAGAGCUUUAAGAUUAUCUAAUUGAUUUGUAAACCUAGGUAAGUGAAUCAGUAUUACGUUUUGUUAAGGAAGCUUAGAUCCAAUUGGUAUCAUUCACCAAGUUAUUGGAUUAAAUUACACUAUCAAACUUUGGCUUUAAAUGAGAAUGAAGAAUCUAACCACAAUCCUUAUUGGGAUUAGAUAUGUUAUUGCAAUAAUGUUUACAAUCGGAUGAGUGCUAAUUUCUAUUGAAAUCAUGAAGCAAUCUCUGAUCAUUGGUCUUCUUUGUAGAAACAUGAGCAUUGAAUUUAAAAUUAAUAAUUGUUACUUGGGAUUCAACCUUCAUAAUCAUUGCCUGGGUUUCCUAAUCACUUUCAAGAAUUACUUAUAUAGUGAAGGCACUCGAAACUAAUCAAAUUUGUCCUCUUAUAAAGUUGUCAUAUUCAAGCUUCAGAAUAGCCAAUAAUUGAAAAACUUAUCAUACUCCGCAAUUUGUUGAAGAAUAUUUGGGUCUAUUGAAGGGGACAAUAUAGGGAAUAUUUGUCCCAUAUGCUCAAAAUGUUCAAUUAACAAAGUGUUCUGUAUGUUUAGGGAUUUGUUAGCUUUAAUUACACAAAACAUUAGCAGUUUUAGAGAAAAUUAAUUUUUUUUUGCAAUCUUAGGUUCCAUGAAAUUAAAAAGCCAAUAACAAGUCAAUAUGGCUUGAGACCCAGUCAUCAUAUUCAAAGUCAUCCAACUUAGAAGCAUUCAUUUUGCCACUAACAUGUGCUAAUUUCCAUUUUCUAUCUUUCAAGAGAAAAAGACUGCUCUUAACCAUGGCAAAUAAUUGAACCCAUUAAGAAGAUUGAGGAAAGUAUCAUAUGAGGGUUGUCAUUUUCCUCCAUGACAAAGAAAAAGCAACAGAGAAAAACUCAUAAUAUUAGAAAGAGAAUGAAAGAAAUUGAGUCAUAGAUACACACAGAAGAAUCCAAAAAUAAAGCAAUAAUACAACCACAAAUAUGAGAAGAAGCUCAAUUACAAAGAAAGGAACUCAAUACAAUCAACUAAAAAGCGUUCCGAAGUUCAUACGAAAAUAUUCAUAAUGUGAAGAUCAUUUCAUGAUUCCUACAAUUUCUUCCUUCUACCAGUCCACUCCAUACAAGGUUUGAUCAACAACUUCUUCAUUGAUUUUCUGGUCUCUCUCCGGUGUAUCAUAGAGCAUUUUUGACAUGUUUCUGCAAGAUACACUUGUUAACUUUAAGCGACAUAAGUGCAAAAAAAUAAGAUCAUGUUGUAUUGCCUGUGCUUCCACUCUGCCUUGUUUAGUACUAUUAUGGAGCAGUACUUCCAUAUAGAACCAGUGAUCUCCAGUUCAUUAUGUUGCCUUCUUUAAACUAACUUUAAUUAUCUAUACAUAUAAAACAAAGUGGUCCCAUCAAGGGGCUAAAUCAAGAAUCAAGUGGGGCGAACAGGAAACAGUGGCAUCAAUUUUUAAGUCCAUAAGCUUUAAUAAAAGGAAUAAAACCAAGGAUAUGAAUAUGUUAUUUUUUCAUUUGUUCAUGCACUGGAAGAUCUUUCCUCUUCAAGCAUUGAACCAGCAUCCUUCUGUGCAAGUUGCUGUCGGAACCUUCUAUAAUUGUCAGAAGUCUGUUUCUGAAAUAUACAGAUAAAACUUUUAGCAAGUCUUGACAUUGCUCAUCACUAGGACAUUGUACUAGGAUACCAAUUCAUCUAAUUAGGGUUAAGUUGGCAUCUCGUACACUAUUUUUUAUUUUUCCUUCAUCUUUUGUUCCCAUUUGCAGUGGAAGUGGCACUUAGAAUAUCUGAUCAUGAAGAAUUAGCUUUCGGUGAGAUGAUACUAGGUCAAUUGCCAUUAUCUUUUUGAGUUACUGUGCGAGCAAUCUUGAAAAUAUUUUGGGAUAAAUAGAAUUUGUGCUUAUCAUAAACAUGCUAAACAUCCAAAUCAAGUGCUUUUACUAUUGAUAUCAAAUCAGUAAUUGAUUUUAACCUUUAUGCUUAUCUUUCAGAUUCUCAAUUAUGUAUCUUGAAUAAUGAUAUUAAGCAGAAAUCAUGAAUUGAAUUGCUUUAAUUAACUGUGCCUUAUCAAGCUUGUCAGCAGUGCUAUUGCUACCGCGAAUCAAAUUCGCUGUGCUUCCCGCCUUCUCCAAAUAAGCCACAAGCCCAAUUAUAUCCGCCCUCCUCCCAUCUCCAAGGGAUCAAAAAAUAAAAUGACUUCAAUCAAUUUUCAAGUUUUCCAUCUUGAUCAGUAGACCACCCGGCAUGAAUGUUACCCUCAGUUUAGGAAUAGGAAUUCCUUUUACUAAUCAUUUGGCACUAAAAACUAUGACCCCUAGCAAUUCAUUCCCUCCAUUAGAUAUCUGGGGGCAUCUUGGCUCAGCCAAAAAUGAUAAGUCAUUGCAUUUCACAUUGCAUUCAUUUGUAUUAAUGAGCUAAUUUUUUUUCACAGAAUGUGAUGUGAAUCGAAUUACUUCCAACCAUGUGUCUCUAUAAGGGUUUAACAAAUGUAAUUUGCAUUGUCUGUACACUUUUUUUUCGGUUUCUUUUCUUUUUUAUGCAUGAUUCAUUAGUCCACGGAUCUUCUAUGCAAAGUGUGCAGGCCAAACACCUCCUUCAAUGCAUUAUUCUAGAAGUUAAGACUCAGUUUACUCCUUAAUUGAUCUGUUCCAUUUACUUCAAAUCAUUUGAUUACAUUAAAUGAAUCUUGAAAUUCAAAAAUGCAUCAAAGUUAAAAGACCUUCCAAUGCAUUAAGAAAUCAUCUGAUACAAAUAUAUGUGAACCUGCAACAACAAUAAUGUCAAAAUGGAAAACUUAGGUAGAAAAUAUUAGAACGGAAACUUACGACGAACUCAAUUUUUGGCGCCUUUCUUCUUCUCAUCUUCUGAUCCAAGAAGCUCUUCCAACACCGUGUCAUCCAAACACUCGAACUCAAUGACUUGCUUUUCUUGCCCAGAAGAGGAACCUCCCAUCUCUAAACUCCUACAAGGCCCAGAAGAUGACGAGGAAGACGAUGAGGAUGGUGAUGGUGGGGGGCGAUGGGAGCCCAUGAUUUCAGAAUAGUACUCAUUAGGAAAGUUAAGAAUGGCAAGAUGACCCCUUAAGUUAAAGGCCGCUCGAUCAUAGGCGCGAGCUGCAUCCUCCGCCCUGUCAAAUGUGCCUAGCCAUAGACGAGCACCUUGCCUAGACGGAUCCCUAAUCUCGGCUGCAAACUUCCCCCAUGGCCUCCUCCUCACCCCUCGGUAUCGAACUUCUUCCUUUUCCUUCCCUUCCUGCUCCUGCUUCUCAUUCCCUUUCGAAUGAUCUUCCAUGCUAAACGUGUCGAUUUGCUAGGCGCAAUUUUUUUGGUUUCAAAUGUGCUGGUUUACGAGAGGCAUGGAUGCUUAUGUAUAUAUAUGGUUGCCACAGUCAGGUCUGACGUCACCGCUCAAUGUAUGUUCCACAGCGUGGGUUGACGAGCUUUCUGAGGGGGUUUCCUCGAAUUCAAAGCAAGUAUAAAAAUUCGAUUCUCCGACCUUUCCAAUGAGGAUCGAACAGGCCUUUUAUUAGAACCGUAUGAUAACUCCACACUGUUUUCAAAUAGUCAAUGUGAUCUAGAUUCUUCGUUAAUUUUUUCCACCUGACUGAUUGUUUACAAUUUUAUUUUUCACCGUCCCAAAUUUAAACCAUUUACGCGAUUCCCUGGAUUGCAUUUUUCUUUAAUGUUGACUUUACGAGGCAAUAGGACCCCCCAGCAACCCCACUAGGGCGACUUCAUGGGAACCAGAUUACUUUUGGAUCCAGAUAUGGUCCAGAAGAAAUAAGACAAAUCAAUUAAUGUCCACUAAAGUUUUGAUGGAACCCUUAGUCCGUGUUUCCUGUGGAUGUAUGUAUUGUAUGCACCUCAAUUUUCACCAAUCCCUGCUACGAGUCCCUUUAAUUUUGACGUUAUAAAUGUUUUUCCUGACAUUAGCAGAGUGUUUUUCUGCCGUCUUUGAGGACCUUCCACGGCCCAUAAACUAAUAAGGAUCGUCCAGUGAAUUUAGUCUUCCCCAGUUAAUUAUCCUGCGAGGGAAACUUGGGCAGUAAGUUGCCUACAUGAGUGGCUCCCGCCUACAUGAGUCAAGGGACCAUACGUCAGGACGACAACCAGUGUGGUCACACCAAAGUGGGUUGCCUGGACUCCAGGGUGGUCGCUUCAAAGUUGUCAAAUGAAGGCUAGCUUGGCAAGUUUUGGAAAACAAUUAUUGAAAAACAUUUUUCAUGAAUAACAGUUUCUAUGAACAGAUUUUAAGAAAGUUUAUUUUGUGAUUUUUAGGAAUAUUUUUAAUUUAAAUUUUUAUAUUUUUAAUUUUUUAUUAAUUUAUUGAUUAUUUAAUAUUAGCUUAAUUAAUGGAUUUUUCUUGGUCCCAAAUUAUUAAUUUAUCAAGAUUUAAUCGCAUCCAUAAUUAGUCUAAUUUCUUUUGGAGUGAGUGUGACAAAGUGCAAAUUUCUAGAGUUUUAUUAAUGUUAUUCAAUGUCAUAAUUUAACUAAUUAUAUUAAUUAUUUAUUAAUCAAAAUAAAUCAUUCACUUGAAAUAUGAUAAUUUAAAUUAAAAGUUUCAAUUAUUUAUUAAUUAGCAAAGUAUGAACUUUUCUUCUUGUUUUAUUAUUGUUAUUCCAUGUAUAUAAUUUAAUUAACUGUUUCCAAUAUUAAUCAAUAAAAAUAGAAUAUAAGCAUGAGAAGAAUUAGUAAAAUUCAUUGAUUUGGAAUUAGAUAGCUAGAGGAAGAACUUCAUCAUCUUCCCAUUACUUAAAUUUGUAUAAAUUCUAAAUAUUUAAACCCCCCCCCCCCCCCCCCCCCCCAAAAAAAAAAAAAAUGGUAAAGAAAGACUCCCCAAGCUUUCUUGGUUGGUGUUACCCUAAAAUUUGUACAAUAAGAUGAACCAUUUGGCUUAAAGCUUGGUGCGAAACCCCUUAUCAAUUGAAAAUAUCAAUGAAGUUGUUGAAUGGUUUUAGAGGACUAUUCUUAUGCAGAGUGGCAUAAGAAGCGAGGAGAUGAAGAGCGGAGAGACGUUAACAUCGGAUGCUGCUACGAAGGUGGGAAUACGGUUAAUUAAUUAGAUUUUGUGAUGGCUUUGAGUUUGAAGGAGUUAGUUUAAUGGGUAUUAUUAGUGAACUGAUAAUUGGAUUUGAUGUAAAGAAGGUUGGUCCAUUGGAUUAGCAAUUGGUUUGGCCUUUUGGGGGCCCCAUUUCCAAAUGCAUUGCCUUUUACAAGCAUUCAACAUCGCUGGACGUAACCAGGCUUGGUUCACCUAAAAGUAUCGCAUGGAUUGAAUUGACUAAGUUUUCAUUGUAGACUAGCCUUGAUUUUCCCUUGACCUGCCCACCAAAUCCUGAUGCCCACGCGAGGGAAUACCUCAAUUUUCUAAUAAUUUAUGCAGUUUCUCUUCAAAGCUCGUGUGAUCACUUGGGUCGGUAAAAUAAUGCAUUCCUCUACUUUUUCUCCCUUCCUAGAUGCAUGUUAUACCAUUAAUUCAAAUGUGAACAUGGGCUUGGCUUUGAAACUUGGUUCAAGGCCCAACAUGUUGACCCACAAUUGAGGUGUAAUUGAAUUUGUACACUUUUCGACUUUGAUACCAUUUGUCAUUACCAUUGACAUUGGGUCAUUGUUGAUUUUGAGUCCACAACUUUUAAGGUUGUUAUUACAAUUUUAAAUUGCGCCCACCCAAUUUAUAUGCAUUAUCCCUUAUAAAUACCGAUAACCUCUCUUUCUUCGAUAAUAUAAAAUGUCACAUAUAUUAUAUAUCUCAAUGUUUUCUUUUACUUUUUUUUUUUUUAUCGAUCGACAUUCUCUCUCAGAUGAUAUGAGAUGUCACAUAUAUUAUAUGUUUCAAUGUUUCUUUUACUUUUUCUCUUUUUCCUCAUGAUUGACAUUGUCUUUCUCAAAUGAUAUGAGUUGUCACAUAUAUUUUAUGUCUCAAUGUUUUCUUUAACUUUUUUUCUCUCUUCUUUAAUGAUCGACGUUCCUUUUCUCAGAUGAUAUGAAAUGUCAUAUAUAUUAUAUGGCUUAAUGUUUUCUUUUACUUAUUCUUUCUUUAUUAAUAAUCGACAUUUUAAGCAAUAUGUGAAUAUAAAGCAUUAAAAUUAUCUCCAUCGUUUUUGGAUGUGGUAUAAAUACACAAUUCUUAUUUUUGUUUUAAAUAUUUCUAUUGCUAUCUAUUGAAAUUUUAUGCAUGAAGCUACCAAGUUAAUUAUACAUAUAUCUUAAGAUUUUUUUUUUUUUUUUUUAUAGGAUAUAUUGUCCAUGAAUAUUUUCUGCAAUGGUAUCUUGUUUGAUUACUAUAAGAAAUAAUAUAUAUAUAUAUAUAUAUAUAUAUAUAUAUAUAUAUAUAUAUAUAUAUAUAUAUUAUAUUUCAAUGUUUCAUAUUUGCUUAAAAUAAAAAUUAUAUUUUAUCACAAUAUUUGGUAUUAAAAAAAAUGAAAUCUCUCUCAUUUAUUAUUACAAAAAAAUUAUAAUUUAUAAUUUUCUAAAUAAGUUUUAUUUAUUUGCUAACUAUAUUCAUGAUUAAAAGAUUUAAAAUUUAUAAAUAAAAAAUAUUAUGUCAUGUCAUUAAAUAAAUAAAAAUAUAUGUAUAUAUUAAAAUUAUGUUUUAUUGUAGCUUUUAAUAUUUUUUUUUUUAUUCUUUUCUUUUUUGAACUACAAUUUUAAUUUUUUUUAAUCAAAAUUUUUUAAUUUACAAAACGAGUAACAUAAAACUUGCCUUUGAACUUUAUUGGAAUGUUAUAUACUACCAUUUGGCUUUCAAGACAUUAGAAAAGGCAUAAGUGUCCCUUUUAUUUUUCCGAAAGGCAUAUUAGACUAUAGUAGGAAGUGUUGUAUAGAGGCAACUAAAAGUUGCCUUUAACUUUAUGAAGUCAUAUACUCCUCUUUGGCUUUGAUGACAUCAACUAGCAAAUUGGAUUUUGUUUCCUUUGCAACAUUUUUCCAUCCAUUAGCCAGUUUUUUUAUACUGUUUGGUGCUUGCCAACAUGGCACACACUAUGGUUCUUAAAAAGUAUUUUUUUUUUUAAGAUACUACGAAAUAAAAUACACGAUUGAAAGAUGAGUCACAAUAAUUUUCAAAACUAAAUUUUUUAAUAUUGUUAAGAAAAUUUGACCACCAAAUGAUUGAUUUUAAAUUACAAAUACUUUUGUUAGCUAAGAAAUUUGUUGUUCUAUUUGUUUCCCUAUAAAUAUGACAACAAUCAUAAAUAUUUUCAUUUUAAGAUAAUUUUCAAAUAUCUUCCAUUAAUAAUAUAAUAGAAUUAGGAAUUUUUUUUUUAGUUAUAACAAUCUAUAAUUAUUUAAGAGUCUUCCUCAAUCUCUAGGUUUAAGAACUUAUUGUUCUUAACAACUAACAUGUCAUCUCUUAAAAUAAUACAUUCUGCAAUAAUUAUUGAAAUAUGAUAUAAUAUAUAUAUCUACUUACAACCAUUUUUGUAGUACCAUUAGAAUUUUUAAUUACCCAUUCUAAAGUAUUUUUAUUCUCUAUUCUUAAACCAUCAAAAUUUAAUUUAAAUCUUUCAUUAAUUGGAUAAAUCCAAUGAAUCUAACAAGUUAAAGGAUUAUGAAUCCGACAAAACAGUUGAUAAUAAAUUAAUAAUGCCAUUAAUAUGAUUUUAAUGUGAAACACAAUUAUCACAUUUAAUACAGUUAGUCCUUGUAUGAUUAAUGUUUUGGAAGCUAAAAUCAAUCUUUUGACUAUAAUAAGAGUUUCUACUAUUUCUAUUUUUGGAUGAUUUUAUAUUUUUCUUAUUGUUUUAGUUUAAUACAAAAAAUAAAAAUAAAAUUACAUUAGUAGAAUUUUUUUAACUUACUCAAAAACCUAUUUUAGUUGAAUGAUUUUUUUAAAAAAAAUAUAAAUAUUUUGUUAAAAGGGAUAAAAUAACCUUACCUUGUGAAAAAGACCUCUUCACCCAAGAUUACUUGUUCAUAAUCCUUUUAAGACGAAAAUGCCCCCUUCCUAAAAAAUAUUUCAUCUUAAACUUAUUUUUCUUUUUAUUGCCCUUUGUUCCAUCCUUCCGGCUUGGGAGAGAAAUUCAUUCUUCUUUUGCGAAGAAAAAUUCCUAUUGCGAUUUUUCAUUUCAAGUGGAAAAAAAAAUUCUUAUUUCAUUUUAAAGAAAUUGUACAUUUUCAAUCUUUCUCUUUGUUCCUAGUUGAGGGUUUUUUUUGUAAUUUUAUCUUAACACUACAAAUUUAAAGGUGAGAUUAAAUCUUAAUGGUUAUUAGUUAAAUCACAUAUCUAACUUUGUUUUUGUCAGGACCUAUAAUAUGAUUGGAACCACCAUCCAAACUUCAUUAGGUGGGAUACUCCCCACCCUCCCCCUCCCCCCGCGAAAUCCUUGGAUUUUAGUUUUGACUUGGAUUUCAAUUGCCCGUAUCAAUUUUUCUUUAUUUAUUAAUUUAUUAAUUUUCAACUUUAACAAAAGCCUUGAAUCAUAUUUAAAUUCAAAUAACUUAAUCCUAAUUAAGUUCUUUUUAAAUAAAAAUUAAUCAUUGAAAAGUUCAUGUGACUAUUAUAAUUGAGAAUUUAUCCCAAGUUGGGUUUUUUGCAAAUAAAAUUUUAUUAUAGGACAUCAUGAUGCAACAUAACAUAAGGUUGUUACUUAAGUUUGUUUUGACCUUGUAAUAUGUUAAAAUGAAAAUGAAGCCAUUGUAACAGGAGAGAAUGAUGAAGCUGUGGAGAGAGCUUAACAAAGCUUGGGUUGGAGAGACUUCACAGGAAGAGAGAGAGAGAAAUAAAGGGUAAAAUUAUCAAAAGAGAAAAGAAAAAAAAAAAAAAAAAAGAAGGUUAUGUCUUCAAAUAAUCAAUAAGAGAUGUCAUUUUUCUAAUUUUCAAAGUUCUUUUGGUCCUUCUCUACAAAUAUCCCUAUAAAAAUAUUAUAAUAUCAAGUUAAUUUGUCAAUACCAAAAUUUAUAUUUUAUAUUAGGGCGACUAAAUAACAUAUAGAAAGAAUUUUAAAUGAGUAAAUCAAAUCAAUUUUGAAACCAAAACUUAAUAAUUACCAAACUUGUAAUCUUAGUCAUUAAAAGUGUACGAUGAAAUCUAAAUUAUUAAGCAAUGAAACAAAAAAUUAAGAUUAAAAUACAAAACGUUAAAAUCAAGAUACAAACUAUUAAAAUGUAAGUGGGAUAUGAGAUGAUAUUAUAAAAAAUAGUGUGAUCCAACAAAAAGUCUAGUACAUCAUUAUCUUCACUUCCAACCAUGUUUAAAAGGUCACAAGUUCUAGCGGUUUCCAAGGACAAUGUUAAAAAUAAUAAAAAUAAAUCCAAUUAAAUAUUAAUUAAUUUAUUUGAAUUUGAGUCCGACAAAAUAGUUGGUAAUAAGUUAAUAAUGCCAUUAAUAUGAUUUUAAUGUGAAACACAAUUAUCACAUUUAAUACCCGUUAGUCCUUGUAUGAUUAACUUUUUAGAAAUUAAUAUCAAUCUUUUGAUUAUAAUAAGAGUUUCUACUAUUUAUAUUUUUGGAUGAUUUUAUAUUUUUCUUAUUGUUUUAGUUUAAUACAAAAAAAUAAAAAUAAAAUUACAUUAGUAGAAUUUUUUUUAACUUAUUCAAAAAACCUAUUGUAAGGUGAAUGGUUUUUUUAUUUUUUUUUUAAAUAUAAAUAUUUUCUUAAAAGGGAUAAAAUAACCUUACCUUGUGAAAAAAGGCCUCUUCACCCAAAUUUACUUGUGCAUAAUCCUUUUCAGACGAAAAUGCCCCCUUCCUAAAAAAUAUUUCAUCUUAAACUUAUUUUUCAUUUUUAUAACCCUUUGUUCCAUCCUUAUGAUUUGGGAGAGGAAGUCAUUCUUCUCUUGUGAAGAAAAAAUUCCUACUGCCAUUUUUCAUUUCAAGUGAAGAAAAAUAUUUAUAUUUCAUUUUAAACAAAUUGUACAUUUUCAAUCUCUCUUUGUUCCUAGUUGAGGUUUUUUUUUUUUUUUUUUUUUUUUGUAAUUUUAUCUUAAUUGUACAAAUUCGAAGAUGAGAUUAAAUCUAUAAUGGUUAUUGGUUAAAUCACUUAUCUAACUUUGUUCUUGACAGAUCGUAUAAUAUGAUUGGAACCACCAUCCUAACUUUAUUAGGUGGGAUCCCUUUUUUUUUUUCCCCAAACCCUUGGAUUUUAGUUUUGACUUAUAUUUCAAUUGUCUGUAUCACUUUUUCUUUAUUUAUUAAUUUUCAACAAGUUCUUUAACAAAAGCCUUGAAUCAUAUUUAAAUUCAAAUAACUUAAUCCCCAUUAAGUUCUUUUUAAAUGAAACUUAAUCAUGUGAAAGUUCAUGUGACUAUUAUAAUUGAGAAUUUAUUCUUAGUUGGGUUUUUUGUAAAUAAAAUUUAGUUAUAGGACUGUGAUGAUCCGUUCUCAACCGUAUAAAUAUUGUUCGUUUUGAAUUCAAAAUAACUUUUACGGCUUUAAAACAUGUUUACAAGAUUAAGAGGAGUCCAUAUUUAUAUAGCUUCACGAACUUUCCCCCCUAUUCGAUGUGGGAUGUCACAAGGACAUCAUGAUGCAACGUAUAACAUAAGAUUGUUUCUUAAGUUUGUCUAACCUUGUAAUGUGUUAAAAUGAAGAUGAAGCCAUUAUAACAGAAGAGAAUGAUGAAGUUGUAGAGAGAGCUUAACAAAGCUUGGGUUGGAGAGACUUCAUAGGAAGAGAGAGAGAGAGAGAGAGAGAAAUAAAGGGUAAAAUUAUCAAAAAAGAAAAAAGAAAAAAAAGAGGGUGAUGUCUCCAAAUAAUCAAUAAGAGAUGUCAUUUUUCUAAUUUCAAAGUUCUUCUGGCCCUUCUCUACAAAUAUCCCUAUAAAAACAUUAUAAUAUCAAGUUAAUUUGUUGAUACCAAAAUUUAUAUAUUAUAUUAGGAUGACUAAAUAACAUAUAGAAAGAAUUUUAAAUGAGUAAAUCAAAUCAAUUUUGAAAUCAAAACUUAAUACCUACCAAACUUGUAAUCUUAGUCAUUUAAAGUGUUCCAUGAAAUCUAAAUUAUUAAGCAGUGAAACAAAAAAUAUAAGAUUAAAAUACAAAACGUUGAAAUCAAGAUUCAAACUAUUAAAACGUAAGUGGAGACGUAAGAUGAUGUCAUAAAAAAUAGUGGGAUCCAACAAAAAGUCUAUUAAUCAUUAUCUUCACUUCCAAUCAUGUUUAAAAGGUCACAAGUUCUAGCGGCUUUCAAGGACGAUGUUAAAAAUAAUAAAAAUAAAUCCAAUUAAAUAUUAAUUAAUUUAUUUGAACAAUAGAUAGGACCAAAAUAAUAUUCUAAAAGGAAUCAUAGGGAAGUCCUUGGACAACCUACGACAUUGAACAAAGGUACAGUGAGACAAUGCACUUAGCCCUUCCUUGUCAUUGCGAUGAAUAUAAAAAGACACCCUGAUUGAGGGUGCCCCACUAAGCCAAGAGUGAUUCUUUUGUAUUGUAUAACGUGAAUAUUUUUGAACUUUGAAUGACCCUUCCUAUAGUCAUCAUUGUCAAAACUAGAAAAUCAGAAAGAUGCGAUGUACGAAGGCACCAUUGAAUAAGAGGCUUAAUUCUCUUUGGCAAUUAGGAUAAAGUUUCAAAAUAGAAAAAUUAAACAAAUGUACAGUGUACGGACACUUGGGCAUUGCCUAUUUGUUUUGUUCUUCUAGAGUUGUAUAUGGUAAAGGUCAUAUUGGGUUGGUUCUAUUUGGUUAUUGAAGUCGGCUAGAAUAUUAGAUUUGGUUUCAAUCUAAUCCCAUAUGAUAUUAGAAUACCAGCCCAUACAGAAUUUUUGACCAAAUAUAAUAUUUCUUUUAAAUAUAAAUAUAGUAAUUAAUUUUAGUCUAAGAUUAAUUAUGUAGUUUCCUAAAGAGACCACUUCCUAAACGGUAGCUAUGUGGAAGUUGGGCCAGGUCCUGCCGAGAAGGUUUCCACGAGCUGAGCCCAAAACUGAGUAGCUGUGAUGGGAUCAUUCUAGCAUUCAGCCUGAAACUUGUAACAUAACGGAUCGAGAGGCCUGAACUCCAAGACCAUGGUUCGUCAGCCCAUUAACUUCAACAGCACGCAUUUUAGAGGACUGGGCUUGCAAGGGGUGAGGUUUCCGGGCCGCGACCCCAAAUAUGAACAGCCUCAGAAGUGAUAUUGCUUACUGGCACGUGAAGAGCGCAAGCGUAACUAGAAGAUUUGUAAUGCCGCUUUAAUUGUUUGAUUAUAGAAUCCCACGCAUUACGCAUGGAAAGUGUAAAAGAUAAAAGAUGUAGAAUUUUUUCUUAGAGAAAAGUUCGUUUGGAUAUAGUUAUUGUUUUUUUUUUAAAUAAUAAUUGUUUUUUUUAUAAAUUAUAGAUAAUCUUAGAAAUUUAUCUUUAAAAAAAUAGUUUUUAAAAAUAUUUAAGGAGAAUAAAAGUGAUAAAAAAAAACUUUACAAUUUCAAAUUUUUAAAAAAUGAAAAUUAUUUUUAAGAAUAUAAGUUAAUCUCCUGCAUUUAAAUCUUAGGUGGUUUUUGUUUUUUUUACUUUUCGCUGAAAACAAUUUGUUUUCAAAAUUUAGGUCAUUUGUUUUUUCUAUUUUUUCAUGAUUUAUUAUAAAUUUUUUACUAAAUAAAAAAAAUCAAAAUAUGUAACUUUUUCUAAAUAAAAAAAAUAACGUAUUGAUUUUUCUUUACUUUUUAAUACUUAAUAGAUAUAAAAUACUACAAAAACAAAAAAUCUAAUAUUUAACACUAUUAAGCAUUAAAGUUCUAUUUAGAAUUAAGUAAAAAAACAAACACCACCUUAUAUUUUAUAUAAAAGUUACUUAUAUUUUGGUUUUUGGAAAUAAAAAAUAUAAAGCAUAUCCAAACAUGAGCUUAGCUAUUUUAAAUCAUAUCAAAAUAAUAAUCCCAAUAAGGUAAAUGGACUUUUAUACGGAGAAUAAUCUUUAAGGUUUUCAUUUUUAUUGGAUUUUUUUUUUGUGGUGUUUUUUCAAUCCAUCUUCUCAAUUAAUUCCUUAAAAUUAUUUUACUGUUUUUUUUUUUUUCAGUUUCUAAAUAUUUGAUUUUUCCAAAAUGCUUAAAUGGAAGACACUAAUUUUUCAAGAUAUUUGGUAUUACAAUUUUCCCUGUUCUCCCUAUUAUCUAUCAGAUUCAUGGCCCUUUUGUUUUUUCAUUGGUUUUCAAUUUAAUUUUCCAAAUAUUACAUUGUUGUGUUUUGAAUUUGUGAAACCAAUUUUAUAUAUAUAUAUAGUAUGUAAGUCUACUUUGGGUAACAUGUACAGAGAGGUUUUCAUGUGUUUGAAACCUUUUACCUCAAAAAUUAAUUAUUUUUAAUUUUAUAAUAAAUCUUUUUUUAUUUUUUAUUUUAUUUAGGAAAGCCUAUAUUUAAACUACAUGUUUGCAACGCAACACCAUACAUACUCCUAGUGGAACUUACCUUAGUGCUUGAGGGGGAUGCAGAUCUUCUUCUAAACCUAACUAAUAAGCAUAAAAUUGUUCACUAAUUAGCAUAUCUAGUAAAUCAUACAAAUUGGCAAUAUUUCAUGUUUUUCAUGUUUUGUCAAUAAAAGGCGUCUUGACCAUUUUGUGAGUUUUGUAAUAAAUAAAAAAAAAAAAAAAAAAAGGGCAAAAGGUGACUAAAAUGAGGCACUUUGGAAAGGUUAAUAACCUAAAAGGAAGAUGAAUUAAUACCCCCUUAUUCCUCUUCAAAAACCAUUGAGAAAAUGCAAGAAAUGCUCUUAGUUGUAUGCUAGGCUAACAGCCUAGCAACCAUAAUACCCUUCUUUGCAAUUGUAAGCAUUUUUUUUUUUUUUUUGAAGGCCAAACAACGUUGCAAACUUCCCAAAUCCCUUCUUUAUUUUUUAUUUUUUUAUUUUUGUUUUUAGAAGGAGAAUGAAUUUGAUGACAAACUCCUUGUCAAUCUUAUCCAAACCACGAUCGAACAGAACUCCUUGUCAAUCUUAUCCAAACCGUGUUCCACCUCAAAAACAUGUGUAGGACUUAAGGCAGCAACUGGCAAGCAUGACUGAUAGGGCCAAGUGCCCUUGUCUCUACAAUCCAUUAAGUUAACCAAGGGCAGUGAACCAUCAUUCUUUUCAAAAGCUUCAUUCCGUGUUGAAAAUGUGAGACUGAAGCAUGGUGCCCCCAAAAAUAACGAUCUAUUUACUAGCAGCAUGCCUGGACCCAUUAAAAAUACUCUACUUUAGGAAUAGAAAAAAUUACAUCUUUAUCCAAUAAUUUUAUAACAAUUCAGACGUUUCAGUCUAUAAAUAAUUGUACAUAGUUGCCAACGUUUAGCUAGUUUCAAAUGAAUAGCCUAGGUUCAUGCACCAGUUUGGCUGGUGGAGGAAAGGGAUUCGAGACAUUGAACCCUCUUUUUAGUGUGCCAAAUAUUCCACAAAAAUCACUACCUUCUCUUUGUGUUUGUUCACUUUUAGUUUAUAUUUAAUAAAUCUAUGUUUUCGAGUAGAGGUUGGGUUCAGGUGCGACCCACGUCACCUCUCGGACGGUCUUGAAAAAGGAGACCGGACCACGUAAUUUCAAAUGUAGUGACCAUCUCACUUUUACCUCCAUCCUUGAAGAUGGUUUCCCAAAUCAAUAUUAAUCUUUUGUUUACGACAAUAUCGAUCACUUUAUGUCUAUAUCGUUGUUAAUUUACCUUUUUUUUUUAGCCACAUUAUUUGAAAAUUGAUGCAAACUUUACCAACAUCUUGGUACCAUUUUAAAAUAUUAGAGUUAUUUGAUUAAAAAAAUAAAAUAAUCUCGAUAACUUGUUUAUAAAAUAAAUAUCUUUUAACAUUUAGACUAUUCUCACGCAUGCUUUAAAAUUGUAAAGAUAUUCAUAAAGUGGAACUUUAGACUUAAUCAAUAUCGAUCACUUUAUGUCUCUAUUGUUGUUAUAUUUUUUUUUUACAACAUUAUUUGAAAAUUGAUGCAAACUUUACCAACAUCCUAAUACCAUUUUAAAAUAUUAGAGUUAUUUGAUUAAAAAAAUAAAAUAAUCCCGACAACUUGUUUAUAAAAUAAAUAUCUUUUAAUAUUUAGACUAUUUUCACCAUGCUUUAAAAUCAUAAAGAUAUUUAUAUUCAUAAAGUGGAACUUUAGACUUAAACAUGAUAAUAGUUUUUUUACAAUAUUAUAAUUAUUUUAUCGUUUUAAUUAAGCCCUUUAUCAUACAUAUAAAUGUAAAUUAAUGCUAAAUUUUUAAAGCAACGUAUAACCUUUUACAUCUUUUUUUAAGAUGGUGCGAAAAUCCUAUGAAAAAUAAUAAAAGUCGAUGCAUAAGAAGAUUGUUUUGAUAAUUCAAUAGAAAAAUUCUUUUAAAAUGAUAUUAAAAAAUACCCAUAGAGCCUUUAUUAAAAAAAUCAAUUAUUUUCAUAAUAAAAAUUAUAAUUUUUUAUUAUGUAUUAUUAUUUUUAAGUAUCUUUAUUACAAAUACUUUUUUUGAGUUUAUGAGAGGAAUCAACAGGUUGGUACAAGCUUAGGCGUCCUCGUACAUGUUCCCGCUGUGCAAGGUUUUUGUCUUGUUUCGAGCUAGUCGGAAUUUACGUGUUUGAUAACGUUUUGUCCUAUUUUUGUAACGCUUUAAAGGGCGGCCCACCGUUGGAACAGUUCAAGCCAUCCAAAUCAGCCCGGAGGGUUAUGGCGACGUGGCAUGACGCCUACCACCUUAGUUCACAUGAACCCUAUGAUCGUACUACCCUCACAUGACAUCUGUGAUUCUUCACCUCCAAACCCUCUUUAACUUGGUAAUGUAUUCAAAGCUUCAUCAAAUCAUAGCGAUUAGCGACCCUCUUCCACCCUAAUUUUAUAAUAAAAAAUAAAUCUUAGUGGACAUUAAAGUAGUAUUUUGUGGGGGGAAAGAAAAACUCUAUGGGCGUAUCCACUAAAUACGAGCCAAGUAUAAGAGUUAUCACCAUGGAAUCAAAUUAUGAAGCAUUGACAUUUUAAUUGUAUUCAGAUUUGAGGAGGGCACCGCGGCACCAGCUGGCCCAGUGUAGUCUGCUAGCCUACCCGCCAUAAUGACCAAAUUAAUAAAGUAAAAAGGAUUACAGGGAUAUUCCCAACUUUAUUCUGGGUCUGAGCUGGAACUUGGGAGUUAUCACGAUCAACGGGAAAGAUGGUGGGUAGGGGACGAGGAUUGAGGGCUCCAUAUUCACAUCAGUGAAAAACGAAAUGUAUUGAGACAAGUCUUCUAAGGAUUUUCUAGCGUAUUAUAUGGUUUAAAUGAUUAUAAAUCUGUAGUUACUGGUAAAGAGUAGAGAGUGAAGACGAAAGACGUUGAGUGAAAAGGAAGGAGGAGAGGGGAUGGGGCCAUCUUACCGUGUCGGGGAGGAUCCAUAAAAGGACUACGUUCCCUGAAUCUGUAGGCAUCAUGCCUCGCCUAACGGGUUAGUCAAAAUACAGUGAUGUGUGUGAGUUGGGGGCCUCACUCCUCAUUUCUUUCCUUCUUUUCACCCCCACCCCCACUUUUUUUUUUUUUUUUUCGAAUUUUUCUUUGUCCUUUUCUCUCACUUGCGCACGCGGGAGAAGGACCACAAACUAGACAAUUCCUCUGCUCACGUGACCCCGAGUUUUUAAAUAUUUGCCUAUUUGGAAAAUAGUCAUGAAUCAUGAUCGUUAACAAACAAUCUUCACUUUAUUUAUUUAAGAUCUAUUUUUUGGAGCUCUAGUUUAGUUUAUUAUUAUUAUUAUUAUUAUUAUUAUUAUUAUUAUUAUUAUUUAGUAACUCCUCUUAUAUUAAUGAAAAAGAGAGGAGGAAUCCAAACUUGUUUAUUCUUCCUCUUUUAAGGUGUUUGUUUUUUUUAUUUUAUUUUUAUGCUUCAUAUGUCUUCAAUUUCUUAGCAUUUGUCUUAUAUUUCUUCUUAUCCGAUUCAUUAUUGCAUCCUUGGUCAAUCUUUCACGAGGAGUGCCUACUUUUUUCCUUUUUAUUAUUUAAUUCACUUUAUCUUUAUAUUUUCCUUUUACACUUUAUUUCCAAUUCAAAACGUGUCAAAAAAAAAAAUUGGUAACAAAAAAAAAAAAAAAAAUCAAUUGUAAUGAUUCUUAUAUAAUUUUAUUUAAUUUUUAUUAAACAAUAAAGAAAUUAAAAAUAUAUAAAUUUUUAAAUAAUUAUUAUAGUCUUUCAUUUUUGUGUAUAAUUUCUUUUGCAAGAAAUAGUGUAGGCUUUCCACGGUCUAAAGGAAAUGGAAUAUCAAAUGAGAAGGUAAUAAUAAUAAAGUGAGUUAUAGAUACUAAUCAAACUAAUCCACUAAUGAAUUAUUUAUUUUUAUUUCACAUGGACAAAUCCUAAAAGUUGGAGUUCUAAUUUACUUUUAUGUUAAGCUUUUUUAAGUAAAAAUCUUUUAUUAUUAUAAUUUAUAGACAAAAAGAAACCCAUUAAUGUGAUGGAUAAAAAAUUUCAAUUUAAAAAAAAAAAAAUUAAAGUUGCUAAAUUUUUGUAUUUAUUAUUUCAAACUCAUUUAAAUAAUUUAAAAAUAUGUCUUCAAUUAAUUUUAAUGAAACAAAGCAUGAUUUUUUUUUAAUUUUUUUUUCUUUACCAAAUAAAGCAUUAUUAUAAUACGUUGAUUAAAUUUUCAUCAUGUCUCUCAAGAUUUGGAUUAAAUAUACUUAGUUGUCAUAAAUUUGAAAUUUUAUUUAAUGUAUUUUUUAUUUUAAAUUAAAAAGAUGAAUGCAAAUAAAAAAAAUAUGUAUAUUUUAUAAAAUUUUAAAUUAAACGAAGGAUACGUGUAUUUAACCAAGGUGAAUGAAAUUAAUCCAAAUACUUUUUGGUAACUUGCAAAAUAUCUUGACGAAAUCAUUAUGGCAGGCAUCGUACAAGCUCAACCCUUGUCGCCUUGCUAGAAAUAGAGAAACAAAAAGACCCCCAAAUUGGGUUGCAUCCUAAAUAUGAAGAAGUGGUAACAAAGGAAGAAAAAAUGCUGUGUUAUUGAAUAGUUAAUACAUUGAACAUGAUAUGUUACAUAGAGAGCCAGAUUAAUCCUAGUGGAAUUCCACUGUCACGAUGGUAACCUAGGGUUAUGUUUGGUUAUUGAAAAUACCAAGAAAAGAAAAAAAAAUAUAAAGGAAAAUAAUUUUUUCAUUUUUGAUUGUCUUAUAAAAGAUAUAAAAAAAAAACAAAUAUAAUUAAAACUAAUUAAAAAUUUAGGUAUUUUUAAAUUAUUUAAUUUUUAUAUUAAUGAGCGAAAAUAAAUAAAAUAAGUUUAAAAUAACAAAAAAAAUAAUUUACCGAUUUUUAAUCUAUAUUUUAUUUUACUUUUUCUUUGUAUUUUUUUUUUCUUAUAUUUUCCCUCAAAUUUUCUGAAUCAAACAUAGCAAAAAAGGAGCUACCCCUUUCGAAAGAAACUCCCAAGAAUUUCAAAGAAACCUGCUGAGAUAAUGAAUGAGGGAUCACUGUCGGUAAACAGUAUCCAUUCUUUUGGGAGGACUUUCAAACUGAGAAGUUGUUUUCAUGACUUGGAAACAAAAUUUUGAGCUCUAAGGGGGUCUGUAUUUGGGCCCUAAAAUUCAAUCCAUCAAUCUGAAAAAUGCUUAGGAUAAUGAUUUGAUUUAGCCACAAUCACUAAACAAAUUCCAGAGGAAAAUUUCGCUACUCAUAGGUGGCUGAUUCUCAUAAAAAGACAUCGUGGUAGGGUGUCUCAAGUGCAGGCUCACCAUCAACUUGCUGCCCUUUUUAGAUUAUUGUAAAAUGAUUUCACAUGAAGCCCAAUGCAAAACUUUGAAAGAAAAGGUUGGUGGAGACGUGAAGAAUAUGUAACCCAUAGGCCAUAACUAGUACCGAAGAUUAUUGAACAAACAUUCAAGGUUUUUGUAUAGACGAAACUGAAAAGAAUGUGUACCAGACUCAGGCGUUCAGAUCAGAUGAUGCCGUAAUGUGGAUUGUGGAGGAGCAUUGUGCAGACAGAUAAUGAGAUUCUGAAAGCGAGGCCACUGAUGGGCCCUUGGAAGGGGGGCGUGCCUUCAAAAUUAUAUAUAUAUAUAUAUAUAUGUCAUUGAAAAUUGGAAGCAACUUUUCUUCUUAAGUUAUUUUAAUCGAAGAAGAAACAAAAAGUUAAAAACAUACAUUAUUCUUCCUUCUUACGAGGUUUCCGGGUCUAAAUUACUAUGGUCUCUGCAACUGGCGUCGUUUUCUCUCCCCUCUCUCUAUUUUCCCUUUAUUUUUUCACUUUUAGAAAGAAGCAUCCCAUCAAGAAUCUACUACAACCCUACGCUUCCAUUUUGAUUUAGAAAGUUAAAAAUAAGUUUAAGUUAAAAAAAAAUAUUUUCUUAUAUAAUUAUUUAAACUUAUUUCUUUUCCUUUUUAUAUAAAGAAACAAAUAUUUUGCAAAUAAAUAAAUUUCUAAUUAUUUUCAUUAACAUAAUAAUAAUAUUUUUCAUAUGACUUUAAUCACAAUUUUUUUUACCACUUGUCCAAGGCGGUGAGAGGUGAUAAAAUGUAUUAAAAAAACGAUUAAAUUGCAUUAGGUAUAGAAGUUUUGUGCUUCAAUUAUCACUUAUAAAAAUAAAAUAAAAAUAGUCAAAUUUGAGUGUGCAAGUUGGUAUUCGUAUGUAGAAGGAAUUGGGGGAUUUGGGGGUCCUAACAAAUUUGAUAUGAUUGAUGGAAGGAAAUGAUUAUUAUAGGAUAAAGUCCGAAUGAAACGCUGACGAGGGGGGAAAAACAACAGUGGCAAUGCACUAUCCACAGAUCCAUGAUUGAUUUAUGUUAGCAAUAAUGAAUUAUUUUGACUUUGAUAACCUUGGUUAAGAGAAUUUGGUCUUGUUAUUAUCAUUUUUUCAAAAAAAAAAAGUGUAGGUAACUAGGUAGUUGAUUUAUUAGAAUUUAGAAAUGAGGAUCCCCUCCUCCUGCAAGAGCCGUGACAGACAUGCCUGCUUUCUUGCCAGAUUAUACCAAUGUGCCCAAAUAAUCCCCCAUCUAUCAUCUCUGCACCCUGGAACACGUCACUCCCUCCUUUGAGCAAUAAAAUAUCUCUUUUAUUUUCUUUUGAACCACUCUUCUAUUUCUUUGUACCAGACUGGACCCAUUUAAAUUCUUCGCUACGCUGUUCCCAAGGACUACGAGAAUCAAAAUAGCAAAAUUCUUGAAUCAUUUUAAUGGGUUCAGAAACCACAUGUUUCUCUAGAUCAUAAGAGGAAAAUCUUUUUGGAUGGUGUUUGUGUUGUGUUGUGUUCAAUAUUAAAUACUCAAUUAAAUAAGCUAAAUCAAAUAUCACAUGAAAAAUAAUCAAAUUAAAAAUAGGGAGAAUUAUGUUUUGAGGGUAGAUGGACCCCAAAUUAACAAAAGGUUCAUGUAACUCUUCAAAUUGAGCCCAGACCCAAUGAAAAUAUGGAAAUUGAGUUGAAGUAUAUCAUCAUUCAGUAUUUCCAAAAAUGUCCUUUGUUGAUUUUGAGAAAAAAAUUAAUAUUUUUGAAAAAUAUUUUUAUGUAAUUUAAUAUUUUUUUAAAUACUUUUAUUUAAUUUAAUAUUUUUAAAAAAUAAAUUUAUUUAAUUUAAUAUUUUAAAAAAUAUUUAAUUUAAUAUAUUUUUUAAAUACUUUAAUUUAAUUUAAUAUUUUUGAAAAAAAUUUUAAUUUAAUAUUUUUGAAAAAAAAAUUAUUUAAUUUAAUAUUUUUUAAAACUAUUUUUAUUUAAUUUAGUAUUUUUGAAAAAAAAUUAUUUAACUUAAUUUUAUAAAAUAUUUUAUAUGUGUUCUUAAAGGGUAUAUUUGUCCGUUACUAUUUCAUAUCCUUCAACUCAAUUUAAAGAGUUAUAUGGACCUUUUGUUAAUUUGGGGACCCAUCUACCCUCAAAAGAUAAUUCUCCCUUAAAAAUAUAAAUUUAAAUAUGACAUAAUUAUUAAAUAUGUUAGAUCUUGUAUGAGUUUAUAAGAUUUAUGUUUCAAAAUAACAUGUUUAUAAUUCAUCUAUUGAUUUAUAAUCAAAUUUUAAAUAAAUUAAAGUUAUUCAAGUUAAUAAAUAUGAUUUAUGUUAUAAAGACUAACUAAAAAAUAAUUUAUUAAUUAAACGGAUCCUGGUCAAUAAAAAUUUGAUUUAAAUACGAUCAUACUUAAUCAAAACUUAGGUCAAAUUGUAUUGAUAAAUUACAUCAAAACCUUGUUGUGUUCAAUAUUUUAUAUUAAACUAUUUUUUAAUAAAAUUAUUUUUAUAAAUAUAAUAUUACAUCAUUUGGAGAAACAAAAUAGUAUUAUAUUGAUUUUACAUAUAAAGCAACCAGUUAACCCCUCAUUAUUUUGAUCCAUUUCACAUCCAUAUCAUUCUCAUAAUUUUUUUAUAAUAUAUUAACAUGAUGGACGGUAAUUGAGGGUAGAAAAAAAAGAUGAGAAGAAUAAAAUAAUGUGAAUCCUCUCUAAAUGUUACAUCUUCUGACAAAUGAAGUCUAUAGAAAUGUGUAAAAAAAAAAAAAACACUUAAUUGUGAGGUUCACUUGAUUUAGCAAAAAAUUAAUAUUUUAUUUGUUGUGUGAUUUAAAAAUAAUAUUUUAUUUUUAAAAAUAAAAAAUUAUUUUUAAAGUUUUUUAACACUAUUUUACUAUUGUUCUUUGAAAUAAUUUUUAAAAUUAAAAUGAAAUAACUAAUAAUUUUUAGAUAAUAAAUUAAAGUUGUUUUUAUUAGAUUUUAAAAAUAAAAGAAAAAUAUAAAACCAUUUGAUCAAAUUUUUUUAAACUUAUUUUUAAAAGGUUUUUUUUUUUUUUUUUUUUUUUCUAUCCUAAGUUAAAAGAUAAAAAAUAAUUUUUAAAGAUAGGUUACGAGCAAAUGCCACAAACUUUUUUCUUCUCUUUCCCUUGUUCGGAUAGAAGUGAAAAAUAUCCUCCCAUGGAUCGACAUUACGUGAGCCAUCACCAUUCCCCAACUGCAAUUCAACCGCCAAAGCUGAGGUGUCAUUAUUAGUUUGAACAAAAGUCAGCAUUGUCCACGUGGUGACAAGCGGAACUGACCCAACUUGCAAGGCAAAAAAAUAAAUAAAAUAAAAUGAAAAAAUCAGAUCACCAUUAUGACGUCAGUCCAAUUGCUGACCUGGCCGCCGUCCCCCAUUUGACCCACGUGUUCAUUUAACCCAUUCGCCGUAUGCCGUGGCUCCCCACCCAUAUGGCCAUAUCUGCCAUUUAUUUUAUCCGUUGCCUCCAUUCGGUUUUUGGAUUUUACCCAUUCGCCCUCGUCUAUUCCCAUUUCCGUAUUUGCCCACCAAGGAAAUUCAAUUCCCAUGCUUUUGUUUUACAUUCAAAUCCUCCCCCCUCUAUAUAAAGGAGGGAGUAGGGCUUGAAAGUUUCUCAAGCCAACAUGGACUGUUGAGAGUGAAAGACAGAGGAGCCACAAACAAAUAUCACUCACUCAAACCAAAGCCAAAACCAAUACCGAAUUCAAUUCAAAUGACUUCUUUCUCUCUCAUCAAUUCCCUGAAUUCCGAUUCCGAUUUCAAUUUGUUAUCGGAUUCUUUUUCCUGGGAAAACUCCCUACCUUUCAAUGAAAACGACUCCCAGGAGAUGCUCCUCCUGGGCAUGCUGGCCAGCUCCACUCAGGAAACCUCAGAAACAGUUUCUUUGAAUCGAGUGAAGGAGGAAGAAGUGACUUCCCAGGAAAAUCCCGAGAAGGAGAAGUCAUACAGAGGCGUUAGGAGGCGGCCAUGGGGGAAAUUCGCAGCAGAAAUAAGGGACUCGACCAGGCAUGGCAUAAGGGUGUGGCUGGGAACAUUUGACAGUGCAGAGGCAGCUGCUCUGGCCUAUGAUCAAGCUGCUUUUGCGAUGCGGGGCCCUGCGGCAGUCCUCAAUUUCCCGGUGGAAAGAGUGAAGGAAUCGAUGCAGGAGAUCAAGUGCAUCUUGGAGGAGGGGGGCUCACCAGUGGUGGCCCUCAAGAAGAGGCACUCUAUGCGGAGAAAAAGUCCUUGCAAGAAACAUAAAAGUGAAGAGGUGAGGUUAGAAAAUGUGGUAGUGCUGGAGGAUUUGGGUACUGAAUACUUGGAACAGCUCCUCACUUUCUCUGAGACCUCUAGUCCUUGAUCAUCAUCAUCCAUCACCUGGAUAGCUUCUUCUCUUUGCUCUGUUUCUUACUUUUCUCUCUCUCUCUCUCUCUCUCUCUCUUUUUUUUUUAUGUAAUUUUUCUUAAUGUAUUUUUGGAGAUGGCGGGGGUGUAGUGGUGGCAAUUAUCCAUCUAGAAUUUUUCAAAAGAUAUGUUCUUUUGUUUCUUUGUAUAAAGUUGAAAAGUGGGGAUCAAUUGUGAUGGUGCUCUAUGUUCAUCCACCCAAUUUAUAUAAUCAAGGUGAUUAAUGUUUUUUGAUAUCAACAAUUUGUGAAUGACAUAGAGAGAGAGAGAGAGAGAGACCUUAUUUUCUACACUCAUUACGGUGGUUUCCAUUUGGGGAAGGAAAAGGAAAUGGCUAAGAAUGUUACCAAAAGAAGUGGGGUGGCUUUCAUAUGCGUGGUGGCAUACUUGCAUACAAACUUUUCAAUUGUGUUCUGCAUGCCACUCGGGUCAAUUUCAUUUCUUUUACUCCUAGUAGCCUAAUUGGAUUUCCUUUUUCUCAUGAGACAUCAAAUAAAUUUCAUUUUUUUAUAUUUAAAUAGUUAGGUAAGUUUGAUAGUGAGUUAUAUUUUAUACAUUAAUUCAUCUUUUAGAAUGUUGUCUACAAUAUAAACAGUGUAAUUAAUUUCAUCAUUACAGAACAGUCAUCUUAUAAAAUAACAUAAAAAUUAUUGGAUCACUUGUAUGGCACCACUGAUUUGGACUUGGUAUGGCUCUGUUUGGCUUCAUAGAAAAAAUUUGGACCCAAUUUGAAUGUCUUGCAUAAAAAGAGAUACGUCCCACUUUGAAUGAUAUUGAAGAAAAAAAUUUCUGAUGAAGAAUAUAUUGUUGGCAGGGUCAUGCAGGCCAAUAGGGAAACGAUAAAUUCAGAAGAAUGAGUCCAAACCAGUGGGCUUGAAAAUUAAGAAGAGAAUUGCUGUAUAAAACAAUCAUUUCUUAAUCGAGUUCACUUUCUGAAUAAUCGUCACUUUGAGAAUGCAUACUUAGGAAGAUGAUGAUCCUUAAUGGGAAUAAUCAAAGGCAUCAAAAAAUUGUUCUGGAACAAUUCUUGAUUGUCUCCAGUAAAAUUCAAAGUCAAAAGUCAAAAGUCCAGUCGGUCAACACCAAACCAGGCCAGUCCAAAAGACAUUAAUUUGCAAUCUAGAAUCUAUGAUGAGGUGGCGAAAUCAAACCUUGGCUUUUCACCAGGGAAUGGUACUCUGAAUUUGGUCAGUUCACUGUUUCGAGUGAAUAGGGUGUAGUAAUUAGUAAAUCAUAUUUUAGAUUUGUGUCACAAGUUACAAGGGAUAUGGGCUGACGUUCAAUUUUGGCGACAAUUUGUGGGCCCGUAUAUUUGUUGAGAUGUGGAAAUUGGGUGUGUGCUUUUUUCUGCUACCACAUAAAUAUAUUUCUUUGAAUUGAAGAGUGUUUCAGACCAUUUUUUUUCAAGUCACAAAUGGACAACUGAUUGAGAUUGUAUUGGUGAGAGUAGGAGUUUAUUUUGGGCUGGUUGAGCGAAGUUGAAAGUCGAGUUGGACCUAACCCUUGAAUUCAGCAGACUACAGUCCGAUCCUGUAUUUUGGAUUUAGGGAACCUUCUUUCCCAGAAGCUUCGUCUGGGUUUUAAAGUCUAAAUGUGGCUACUCUUAAACAUUGGAGAAAGGAUGAGCGUUCACAAGCAAAUGGGUAAUUGUGGAUGGUUCAAGGACCUGGCCAGCUGGUCUUCAAGUUUGGAUGCCGGUUUGGGCCUGAGAGAGUCUUUGCAAAGUGACUUCACUUCAGCCUAUGAGAUCAAGAUAUCAUGGUGAUGUCCGAUCACUUAGGUUUCAUUUUCACCUCGGAUUACCGUUACCAUGUUCAUGAAUAAAAAUAAAUAAAUAAAUGAAGCCUUAUAGAGAAAUUAAUGAAGUGAGCUAUACAAGCAACUGGGCCAGGAGCCUACAAGGCAGAAAUUCCCUGCCCUAGACUAGGCCGAAUAAAUUAGAUGAAUGAAUUGGGGAAACCUGGGCCAGCCACACAUCCUCCUGAAGGCUGAUGUCGAACUCGCUUACGAGGAAUGGACAUGGGAGAUUGGGCUGGGACCAAAUAACCAAUUGACAGCCCUAUCCUUGUGGCAAGACGUCAGUAAAAUGGUUCAUUCUGAUUUUACGCUGCCAUUCAAUUUAAUUUUAAUUUUUGUUUAAAGCGAUGUACAAAUUGAAUGGUGUCUAGUCACUUAAAGAGUGGUUCAUAAUACACUUAAUUUAAACAAAAAAGAAAUUAUUAGAUAGGGGAUUCUCCAAUAAAAACCACCCCAUCUUGUCAGCAAGUCCGGAAACUUCCUUCACUUAGGGCGUAUUUGUUUUUUUAACUUUAAUAUUAAAGAAAGUUGGUUAAACCUUAUGACACUUUUAUAUUAUUUUAUGAAUUUUUUUUAAUUUUUAUUUUAAUGGAAUUUUAACUUUAAUACAAGUUGGAGUAAUUCUUAUCUUAAAAACAAAUCAAAAUUACUUUAAUUUUAUAUAGAAAUAAACUUACAGUAAAUUUACCAUGAAAAUUUCUAAGUCAAAUACACCAUAAGUGCUAGUAUUUUAUAAUAUUUAGAAACAUGUUAAAUUAUUAUUAUUAUUUUUUAAAAUUAUUAGUUUUCAUAUUAGUUUUAGGGAAACUUGUGCUUUAGGUCUUUUAUUUGCAAAUAAUAUGGUUUUCAAAUCCUAAGAAUAGAAAAUAUGAGAAUCAACUGUUAAUGUGGAAAAUAAUAUCAAUUUUGUGCAAUCUCUAUUGACUCAUUUUUUUGUGCCUAGAUUGCCUUCACCCACUUCCAUGUCAACAACCACAUUAAUAGAUUGUUUUUUUUUUAUAAAACAAAUAAUUAUUAUGUUUAAAAUUUUGGGGAAACUCUCUAUCUCUCUUACUUCUUCACUACAUCCGAGACCCAUCUUCCUUAAACGUUUGCCUCUCAUUUUGCCCUAACCCCAAAUCUCAUAAAUUUCUCAUUUUCUUGCCUCAUUUGAAAUAUGAAGAUGACCGAUUCUCAAACAUCUCUGUCUCUCUCUUCACGUUUUGACCAGUCUAAUUGGAAACCCAUUUUCCAAAAACCUUCUUUCUUUCAUUUUGCCCUAACCCCACUAUCUCCCUCUUCAAGACCUAAUCACCCAAACUCGAUAUCUAUCUUCCCAAAACCUUCAAGCAAACUGAACUAGACCCAUAUCUUCUUUUUUCAUCAUCAAAGGUGAAAUUUUUUUAAGGCUUUUGGAAACCGAAUUGGAGCUUUCCCUUCUUCUGGGAUUAAUCAUUCGCAAGUGAGUUUUCCAUUUAAGGCUUUGUUUGGCUGUUGAAAUCUUGGGAUCAAAGGUCUUUUAUUUUCAGGUUUCUUGUAUUUUGCUUUAUUUUCUUGUAUAUAACAAUAAUCAUUGUAACAUAUGCUAGUAGUUACCCUUGGUGCAACUUUACAUUUCCAAAUACCCUAAAGUCCAAAGCUUUUAAUUCCCUUUUCAAAGCUUUCAACUUUGAAAGCAGACUAAACCAUAAGAACUAUGAAACUUAUAUCUCUAUCACCACUAAUUAAGCAUGUCUAUGAAUCCUUCCACUUUAAGUCACUUAUUCUCAAACCAAGAAGGGCUCCUCUCAUUCUCACCCCACCUCAUCUAAAUGAGGGAAAUGAUCAAUUGCAGCCAUGCUUUGCACCAAAUUAGAGAAGUGAUCCUCCCAAUCAUCCAUUACCAAAAAUUGAUCAUGCUGAUGAGAUCAUAAGAGUCUAUUCGGAACUCCCAGUUUACUUGCCUCUUAUCUCAGGAUCCUCCAUUACCCCCUGUCUUUCCAACAUCAAAUCAACUUGCAAACAAUUCCUUUGUAGAUAAAAUGUUUUUAAUAUUGCAAAAGGGGACUUAUCAUAAUGGUUGAAUCGAUUUAUUUGAUAUAAUCACUCAAAUUCAAGCUUAAAAUUGAUCAUAAUAAAAUGUUUUUAAUAUUGUUAAAAGGAGAUUAUAAUGGUUUUAUUUGAUAUCAUUACUAAAAUUCAAGCUUUCAAACAUGCUCUACAAAGAAGUUCUAAAAGACUACAAGAAAGAGUUUCCACUAAAGAAAAACAAUGAAACCAUUUCUACUAAAGACAAACAAUGAAACCACAGAUGCUUUGUGAAAUAUGUACCCGCACAAUCCAACAAACUUUAGAAAUUCACAAACACUACCUAGAAUUUUUGCUGACCAGCAAAAAAUUUAUGCAAUUUAAUUCUUAUUGUUAUUAUUAUUUUCAAUGUGAACAAAUAUGAUUGAAUUAUGAAGUAUUUGGCCAGAAGAGGAUCUUGCCUAAUUAUAGUCAUUAAACAACCAUUUAUACCAUAGCCUCUAGACUUUAAAAAGUUUAUAAAACUCAAGGGCUUCCACCCAAUUUCUAGAUAUCUCCAUAACAUUCUUCUGACUAUUAGAAAGCAAUUACCACUUUAAUUUUUCAUUUCAUGAGUGUUCAAUUCAGAAAAAGACCAGGAUCGAACUUGCGAUCAUGCAGUCGAAAAUCCACCUGUGCAUGAAACUAUUGCCUCACGAUUGCAAACUCAAGUUGGAGUCCAGUAACAACUCUAGGUUUGCUGAUGUGCUCCAUUUGAAAUAAAGGAACUAAAGAAUACUUUAUAAAGAUUAAUUACCUUCAUAUUUUAGGUUGGGGUUAAGGCAAAAUGUGAUAGAUUGAGAGGAAGAAAAUAUAUCUUGUUCAGGAAGCCAAUAUUUUGGAGUUCACCUUUCCAUUCGAGUCCACUCUGCUAUAGCAAAAUCAGAGUCACAACUAUGCCUCUUUAAGCUAUCCUUUAAUUGGAUGAAUUGCAGAUUUGGUUGCUGAGAAAGUGGAUAAGAAAGAAAAAUGCAUACUGUAGCUUGAGAUUAAGAGUUUGUUUUCUAAAAUGAGAGAAAGGGAAAGAGAAAAAAUGCAUAUUGUAGCUUGAGAUUAAGGGUUUGUUUUCUAAAAUGAGAGAAAGGGGAAGAGAAAUGUUCGACAACUUUGAGAUGACAAAUUUUUAGAUUUGGAAAAUUUGAGAUGAGUCUCAGGUUUUUUUUUUUUUUUUUUUGUCUUUGUCUUUGUUUUUUUUUUUUUUUUUUGUUUUUUUCCCAAAAACAACCUGUUAAUGUGGUUGUUGACAUAGAAGUGGGUGAGGGCAAAAUGGGCAUAGAAAAAAGAGUCAACACAAAGUGCACAAAACCCAUAUUAUUUUCCACAUUAAUGACUGAUUCUCAUAUUUCUUGUUCUUGGGAUUUGAAAACCAUAUUAUUUGCAAAUGGACCUCCCAAAGCACAGGUUUCCCUUAGUUUUAUGUCUCCAUCUACAUUUUACAUAUAAAUAGAUUAUUUUAUAAAAUUUGUUUUGUAGAUAUAUUAGUUAAUAAUUAUAUAAUUAAUGAUAUAGAAAACAUAUAAAAAUCAUAUUUAAAAAAGAUAAUUACAUAUUCCUCAACAAUCCAUCCCAAGAAUUCGAGGUUGAGUUGAAAACAUGUAGAGUCUUUGAUGUUAUUAUAAUCAUAUCCAACACAUAUGAUUAUUGUUUAUGAGAUAUUAUUAGAAAGUUUGUCUUAAAAUAAUUGAUUUAUUACCCACCUUUAGCAAAUGCCCAUUUUUGCGUCUUUCAAAAUUUUCAUUUUUUUUUUGUUUAAAAGAAGUAUUGUAAAGAAUGAUGAAAUAAGAAAUUUGUUGAGAAAGUGUGAGUAAAUAAUUUUACAUAAAAAGAGAUUUAAUACUUGAUAAAUAAAAUAAUAAAAUCAUGAUUUCUAGUUGUAUAGGGCCGGGUGGAUGGAGUGGCUAAGAUGUAAUUCUUGAAAUAGAGGAGACAACAUCAAUGUAUAAAAGUUUAACAGAGAAGGAAAGUGUGUUUGAAUGACUUUAUUUUCUUCAUUUAAAGUUUUGACGAUGAGUGUUUAUACAAGAUAAAUUUUCAAAUGAUAGGACUCCUAUUUACAUGGAGUUUGUGAUAUACUAUGAUUAUACAAAUUUAAAAUUCAAACAGAUUCAUGAGUUGAUAGGAGUCUGCUCAAUACGCCCCUUCAAAAUGGUGGGAGAUAGCACACCAAUCUUGACUCGAAGGGCCUAAACUCGUGCAGAAGAUGAGGGCUUUGUUAGAGCAUCGACAAGUUGAUCCGUGGUUGACAUAUGGGACACCUUGAGCUCACCUGAUUAAACCUUGUUUCAAACAAAAUGAAAAUCAAUCGCCGAUGUGUUUCAUGGAGAGUGAAACAUGGGAUUUGCACAAAGAUAUGUUGCACCCACGUUAUCACAAGAGAUAGGAGGUGGUGAUAAAUUUGAAACACUAAGUUUUGAGAGAAGAGAAUUAACCCAAAGAACCUUUGAGGCUGUAGAGGCCACGACGUGAUAUUUCGCUUCAGUGGAAGAGCGUGCUAUGAACUUUUGUUUCCUCGAUGACCAAUACACAAGAUUGUGACCAAGAAAAACAAUGGGAGCAUUGGUGGAGGAUCUGACAUAAGGAUUCCUUGCCCAUUCAACAUUCGAAUAUGCAUGUAGAUUGAUGGGCGAUUUCUUAUGCAAGAACAGACCAUGCACCAUUGUGCCGACUAAGUAUCUAAGCAAUCUUUUAACACAAGACCAAUGUGUUGAUGUUGGAUGGUGCAUAAAUUGAGAUAAUUUAUUCAUCAAGAAGGUGAUGUCAGGGCUAGUAAGAGAGAAGUAUUGAAGGCUUCCAACAAUUGACAUAUAUUUAGUGGGACCAGGAAAAGAGGUGUCAUCACACAGAUUUGGAACAUUGUUGAGGAACAUCAAUGAUUGAACUGGUUUGGUAGCCACCAUUUGUGUUUUCUUAAGAAGCUCUCGAAUGUACUUGAGAUAAAAAUAAUCCUUUGGAAGUAUGUAUCAUUUCAACACCAAGAAUAAAAGAUGAAGUCCUGAGAUCCUUAAUGGAGAAUUUGACUGCUAAUUGAGAGAUCACGCGAGCACGAAAAACAUUAUUGUUACUUGUUAAAAUAAGAUCAUCAAUAUAAAUAAGUAGGUAAACAAUGAGACCACUCUUUUUAAAAAUGAAGAGGGAUGUCUCGGUUUAGGAGUUGACGAAGGCUAUUGAGAGGAGAAAUUGGCAAAGUUCAUGAUACCAUGAUCGUGGAGCUUGUUUAAAGCCAUAAAAAGCCUUACAAAGUUGGCAAAUGUGAUGAUGUGUGUAUUCGUGAACCCAGGAGGUUGAAUCAUGUAAACAUCUUCAUGAAGUGUCCUAUGCUAGAAUGCAUUAUUAAUGUCCAAUUCAUGAGUUGAUAGGAGUCUGCUCAAUACAAUGUGGGAGUGUGAUUUCAAAAUUAGGGUAAUUUCGAAAUGGAUUUUGUAUUCACAAGUUGAAUUUCAAAAUUAUUUUGAAAUGGUCUUUUAACUUUAAGCAGUUGUGUUCAAAAGGUCAUAACUUCUUCGUUUCAAUUUUGAUUUACACAUUGUUUAAAACAUUGGACUCUUUACUUCCCGAGCUUCAAAACGAUAUAUAGUAUGCUCAAAAAUGACAUCAGGAUUGGUUCAAAUUUCAUCUUGAUAUUAGAGUACAUGUUGUGAUUAGAUUUUGAGUUCCAAAUUUCCAUGUAAACUUGAUUGCAUUUGCUUCAAACCUCCUUCAUUAUGGUUGCUUGCCCUCUAUCUCACUUUGCAACAUUUGUUACUAGUAUUUUAUGUCCAUGACUUACUCAUUUCAACCUUUCUUGGAUUCUUCAUGGUUCACAAAUUAUGGAUUCUUCAUGGUUCACAAAUUGAGUCUUUCAAUUAUGCAUGUUUAACUCCUAUUUCCUUGGUUGAUAAUGACUUUUACACUUAUCAUUUUCUUUUAUUCUUUAAACCUGAAUUUAGACUUACAAAAAAAAGUUAGAUCCAUAACUAGGGUCUUAGCAUCAAUUUGAGUUAAGUUGGAUGAUUUGAAAAUUUUAUAUUACAUAAAUCAUAUCAUACAUGUGCCAUUGGAGUGCACAUUUUGGCUCUAAUCAUGUUCCAACCCAUUGUUUUACUCUUGCAUGAAGUAUGUGGCCAUUGAUUUUAAUUUUAUUUGCGAUUAGGUUCAAAAUGGUGCUUUUGUGUUGCUCAUGUGUCAUCAGAAGAUCAACUAAUGGAUUCUCUAACAAAACUACUACAUCAUAGUCAUUUUUUUUUUUCUUAAGACCAAGAUUGAGAUCUCCAAUCGGAGCCAACUCCAUCUUGGGGGCAUGUUAGUGAAAGAUAAAAUUUAUCUUUAAUUUAAAUAUUAAUAUUUAUCAGUUAUUAGUUUUAAUUAGAGUAAAAGAUAGAGUUUAAAUUGGAGUAGGAGAUAAACUUGUGUUUGAACUAGAAUAGAAGAUAAAGUAUAAAGAUUUAUGUUUGAAUUAGAAUAAAAUAUAAAGUUUGAAUUAGAGUAGAAGAUAAACUUGUUCUUUAUUUGUAUAUAAAUAUUCAUCAAUUCUUGAGAAGAAGAUUAUUUCAUAGUUUUUCUAUCUUCUUUUUUCUUCAUACAUAUCUGCAAGAAAUUGAAGAUUUCAAGUAAAAUAUUUUCUGUUUUAAAUAGUGAAAAAAGCUAGAAAUUCACUUUGUUAUCUCUUGGGGUAAAUUGACAAGGUUUAACGUUAAGAAGGUGAAUUAUUUUUUCAGAAAAACUGAAGUAGCUAGGAUAUCUGGCCAGUUGUGAUCGAUAAAAAAGUUGUAAAAUCUCUCAUAUACUAAACAGGUUUUGGAUGUUGGUAUGGUAAAUCCAUCUGCAGUCAUUCGUCAUCUCAUCUAGUGAGAUGUUUGGGAGGUGGUGACCGCCGGAUUGGGUUUCAUUUGGUUAAAUCUGUCAGUGGGUUGGCUACUACCCGAGCCUCUUGCUUUGGGGGAGGUGGGUUCUAGAUAUAAUGUUCAAACCAUUUUAGUUAUCAUAUGCAUGACAUGUAAGCAUAAUCUCUUUAUCACUUCUUCAAUGGGAGUUCAUGGUUAGGAAUUGACUUCUUUUCUUCUGGGAUGCUUGGCAUGUAAUGGACAAAGUUACUUUUAUAUCGAUCGAAUUUCUAGUAUUAUAGUGAAGACUUACCCUUUUGACAUUUUAUAUCGAAUUAUAGAAGAUGAAAGGGACAUACAUGCAAUCGACUGACGCUUUAGUGAAUAUGCUGAAAAUAUGCUGAUGCUGUGGAGAUCGUAUGAGGACAGAGGAAAAAGAUAGAAAUGGAUAUAUAAUUAGACCUAGGUUUUUAUUAAAUGAGAUGGGGAACAUAGAGUGAGGGAAAAUCAAAAUUUUUGGCUGCAGUUCACAUUGGUGAUAUUUUGGAUUGACAAAGACUAACGACUUUUCUAUUUUUCUUUUCGGCCUGACUGGAUAGUUGGACAUGGACAAUACAGAAUCCACAGAAGGAUUGUUGGGACCGCUGAAAAUUAGCUAGAAGAAGCUGAGGAAGUAGUCUACGUAGUCAAAUACCAAACACAAAGAAAGAAAGAAAUGGAUAUCAUGGAUGCCUAGAGUUAUACUCCUAAUACCGUCACAGGUAUUUUUCUUUCCUCCUUUUUUUUUCUACGAUAAUUAGAGCAUUUCUCCUCCUCCUCCUCCUCCUCCCCCCACCCCACCACCAAAAAAUAAAAAAAUAAAUUAUUGCAAGUAACACUUCAAAUAUUAAUUUAUACAUUCUAAAGUAUAUAUUCAUGAAAUAACUUGAGUAUCAUACAUUAGUUCUCAAAAAAAAAAAAAAAAAAAAAAAAAAAUUACUGGAAGAGAAAAGUUUAAGAAAACAUAAAAAUAUUCAACUACUAUUUUAAAGAGAAAAUUUAAUUUUUACACUAUAAAUUUGAAGAGAACUUUUACAUGCAUCUUAUAUAAACUACCAUUUUUUGCUAAAAGGCUUAAAUUUGUCAAAAAUACCCCUUAGGUGCUUAACGUUCUGGUCAUAAUAUAAUUGGCAUCUUUUCUCAAACAUAAGGCCUGUGUGUGGGAACAAGAUUUAAUGUUAAUGAGCUUCGCCACCGACAUUUAGUUCCAGAAAUCAUUAUUUUAAUAGAGUGGGCUCAAUUUACAACUUUAAUUAAACUCUAACCAACUGCAUUGUGAAAUGAAUAUGUUUCUUUCGUGGUGAAUCCAAUGAGUUGGGAGUCAAACUUUGCUUCAUUGUGUAUAGAUGAAAUGUUAAGACUCCAUGUAACCUCAAACAUUUCCGCAAUNNNNNNNNNNNNNNNNNNNNNNNNNNNNNNNNNNNNNNNNNNNNNNNNNNNNNNNNNNNNNNNNNNNNNNNNNNNNNNNNNNNNNNNNNNNNNNNNNNNNUUCUUUCGUGGUGAAUCCAAUGAGUUGGAGUCAAACUUGCUUCAUUGUGUAUAGAUGAAAUGUUAAGACUCCAUGUAACUCAAACAUUUCCGCAAUGAGCGGGAGUUCUAAAUUUAAUAAUUGAAAUUGUCAGUGGAACCAGUGGACAAGAGUUGGUUUGUGGUUGACAAACUUAUCCGUUUGAUCUUUACUUGAACAGUUCCAGUGUGUGGAUGGGUACUGAUGAAGUGUGCGCAUUUAUUUUGAGAAGCCUGCUUGUUCGCAUAGAUUUUAACGACAUGAACAUUGUGGUAAGGUUAGAGAGUAAUGCGAAUGUAGGAGCUUAUAUUAGAAAUGACACAAACACGUAAAUAGAAGUAAUCUAUAUAUGAUAUUACUCAUGGACUACAAGCAAAGAAGUACAAUACAUGGAGUAAGUGAUGAAAUGAGCAUUCCUCACUACUACUGCUUGACUGAUGGAACAUGAUGCACGAGAUAGCAUAAGUAGUAGUAGGAAGCAGCUCUUAUUUGUGGCGUCGGUAUACAUCAUACUAGGUAGAUGGUUCAAUUGGCAUGGAUGGGUGGUGGAGCCUUGAAGUGCUUGUGAUGGGGAGCCCACGGCUUCUUCUCAGGAGUUGGUGGCUUCUUGUAUGGAGUUGAUGGAGGUGUUUCUACUGGAGGGUGGCCAGGGUAGUGACCCUGGGGUGGUGAAGGUUCUUUUGUCGGUGGUGGCCUCACUAUUAUUGGCGGUAGAGUUGGUGGCUUGGGCGUUGGCGGUGGUCUCACUACUCUUGGGGGUAGAGUUGGUGUCUUGUGUUUUGGUGGUGGAGGUGGCUUAACAGGAGUUGGUGGCUUGUAUUCUGGGGGUGGUUUCUCCACCGGAGGUGGCUUAUAAACUGGAGUUGGUGGCUUGUAUUCUGGGGGUGGCUUCUCCACUGGUGGUGGCCUGUAAACAGGGGUUGGUGGCUUAUAUUCUGGGGGAGGCUUCUCCACUGGAGGCGACUUAUAAACAGGGGUUGGUGGCUUGUAUUCCGGGGGUGGCUUCUCUACGGGAGGUGGCCUGUAAACAGGGGUUGGUGGCUUCUCCACCGGAGGUGGCUUAUAAACGGGGGUUGGUGGCUUGUAUUCUGGGGGUGGUUUCCCCAGUGGUGGAGACUUGUAAACAGGAAGAGGUGGUUUGUGCUCAUAUGGGGGUGGCUUGUGGUCAUUAGCAAGUGAGGGAGUGGUGAGGACCACCAAUCCAAGGAACAACACGAGUGAGCAAGCAGAAGACAUGUUUGGGCUCUGGUGAUGCACAAGUAGAAGAAAUGGGAACCAUUUAUAAUGCUUCGAGACCUUGGUUAGCACCAAAAUAUGUCAAAAUCUUGAUUACUUCAUUUCAUACAUAGAUUUAAAAUUAUUUCAAUCAACCAUGAUCCUUAAUUUUCUGGGUGGUCCAUAAAUGUAAUGGGGUCAAUUUGGGACCUAACAAGCUGAGAAGUUUGACAAUGCUGCAAGGCUUCAUCCGAAAGUCCGGGGAAGAAUAUUAGGAGUUACACUCCGUUUCCUUUUUUGGGUGCAUUUUUCUCCUUUAACAUUCUAUUCCCUUUUACAUUAGCAUUUGAUCUUAGCUCAUUUCAAGUACAAGUUUCUUGAACCCUAUACCAUUGUCAAAGUUGAGUAACCAUCUCUACUUUGCUCAAGAAACAUAAAAGACAAUGACAAUAAAGAAAAAGGAGAGAGACCAUACGUGACUUGGUUUAUAGGUGGCUUUGUGUUGACAUUUGAGUAUGGAAGCCGACAUGCAUCUUAGCUUCGAUUUUAAUUAAAUUUGUACAUUAGUGUCUGUGUCAUUCAUUUUGGUAUAAAAGGUCUCUUGAUUUCGUAAGUUUGGUAAGAACCGUUGAAAAUAGCAGUAGCAGCACAUGGUCCACUUUCUUUCACAAAAUAAUUUUAAAAGUUUAGAAGCAUAGGAGGUAACAUUAGUGGCCUUGUGGCUCAGCCACGAGUACUAUGUGGUGCUCGAGAAAUUGAGUUUAAUUUCCUUCCGAUAGUUCAUGAUAAGGUCCGUCACUGUCCUGAGACAGAUUGCGUUUUUUCUUUUUUCCUUUUUUAGUGUUUUAUUGACUAGCUAGGUGUGACUUUUCCUACUUUAAGGCACGAGGCAGAAAAGAAACUGGGAUUUAGUGCUUAAGAAGGCAAAUUUAAUUCGAUUUGGAUCUAAAAUUUGCCAGCAACAUGAGAUUUUCCAGCCUAUCGUUGCUCCACAUAUAGACAAGGCACUUGUAGAAGUGGCUUGUUUGUAGCCAUUCCCGAUAUUUGGACUCACUUGAUUCACCGGACACUUUGAUAAAAUUUAAUAUUUAUUAUUUAAUAAUUUAAAUUGAUUUAAAAUUAAAUUAUACCGAAGUUGUGAUUUAAAAAUUAUUAUUUAAUUCUUACUUUUAAAUAUGAAGAUUAUUUGAUAAAAAUAAUUUAAAAUUUAUUAUAAAUUAUCAAAUUAACAUAUUUAUCCUUAUAAAUUAUAAUUAAAACAGAAAAGGUCAAAUGAUUUGAGUAUCCAUAGAUGUGGUAAAAUAAUAAAAAAGAUUAUAAAAACAAUUAUGAUAAAUAAAGAUAAAAAGUAAAAUGAAUAUGUGAAUUUAAAGAAUAAAUUAAUUAUUUUUAUUUAUUACUUAAAAUUAUUUUUGACUUUAAAUUAUAUUAUUAAAUUAUUUUACCAAACAUACUUAAUUUAGUUAAUAAUUUAAAUUUAAUUUAAGUUAUUAAAUUGAUUCACCAAAUACCCACUUAAUCAAAGACUGAAGUAUACAUUAUUUGGCCAAAUGCAGCUAUUGAAAUUUAACUUUUUCCAAACUUAUUCAUUUUGUGGAAAUAUUUUUAGAAAUGAUUUUAAAAAUGCACUAUUCUGUGUGUUGAUUUUAUAUUUUGGCAUUAAUCCAACAUAGAAAACGGUUCUUAUUUUCGCUGUUAAAUAGGUACCAGAUCCUUAAUUAGUGCCGUGAAUCCGGCAGCUUCCAAUGAGUAAUUUGGACUUGGGUAUUGACAAUGUGUGGCCAUGCUUCUACUAUUUUAUUAUUCUUGAAACAUAUAUGAUAUAUUGGACUUUAUACAGGGAAAAAAAAAAAAAAAAGUCUUCACCAAAAAUGAUUCCUCCUAAAAAAUAGACUCCACAAACUAGGUUUAACAGGAAAAUGAUUCUAAUCUAGUAGUUUCCAGCCACAUGAGCAUUUACGUAACAAUAGUAUAGUUGAUAACGACUUUUAUUUUAUUUAUUUUUAAAUAGUUAAAGGGAUAAUUUUUGAGCUUAAAUUUUAUUUUUUUAUUUAGAAACAUUUUACUUUAUUUUUUAAUCAUAAUUCUAUUAUAUUAAUGUUUUAUUUUCUAUUUUUUAAUAUAUAAGGAGAUACUAAAUUUAUGUGAUUAUUUUUUAAAAAUUUAGUAUAUGAAAUUAAAUAAUUGGAUAUAUAUACAUAUAUCAUAUAAUGUUUUUUAAGUGUGAUUUUUGAACUUUUUAGUCAUUUUAUAAGUUUAAGCUUUUGAUUUUUUUUUUUAAACUUUGGUAUUUUUUAUUUUAUAUAAAACUAUUUUGAUUUAAUUUUAUUAAAAAAUAUUGGUAUUAUAAAUUAUUGUAUUAAUUAUUUUUUUAUAUUAUAAUGUAACUGGUAUAUACUAAAAAAUGUAUGCAAGUUCAAUUUAAGUUUCAAAUUAAAAAAUUUCAUUUAAAUAUUUAAUAACUUGUUCAUAAUAAAAAAUUAAACAACAUAAUACAAAUGAAAAGAAACAUAAAAGAAAAAGGAAAAAAUGGUCCUCUCUGUGUGUCACAUUACUAGGUCAUCCUCUUUUUCUAUGACCCUUACAAUAGAAUGGCAUAUUUGUCAAAUCUACUUAUGAAAGUUGGAAUGUUUCUACAUGUGUAGGGUCCAUUGGAACUAAUGGAGGAAAGGCUUAACGUCUAUGUAAAUCACAACGUUGCCUAGGUGGGCAUAGAUCUAGUUGUGUAACAUGAGAUGGUGUGAGAGUACAAUAUAUGCAUUGUAGUCUCUAUGGGAAGAGAGAUAGGUAAUGGUAGGGUGGUAGACGGUAGGGUGAUCUCUAAUAUAAUGACAUUUGAUGUGGUGGCUUCUAAGAGAGGAGAUAUAAGAGAUGGUAGAAUGACAUUUGGUGUAAUGGUCUCUAGUGCAAUGACAUGUGAUAUGGUGACCUAUAAAGAAGAGAUAUAGGUGAUGGUGAAGUGGUAUGUGGUGUAGUGACCUUUGAGAUAGAAAAUAGAGGUAAUGGUAGGUUGGCAGGUGGAGUGGUCUUUGGUGUAGUGACAUCAAUUAUAAAUGUCUCCAAGGGAGGAAAUAAAGGUGAUGGUAGGUAGUAAAUGUUGAGGUGGUCUUUGAUAUGUUAUGCUCUAAGAGAGAAGGUAUAGGUAAUGAUAAUAGGGAAUUUGACAUAGUGGUGUUGGAAAUAAAAAGUGAAAGUGACCGUAGAGGUGAAAGGGCAAGUGUAAAAGCCUCAAGUACGAAUGGAGUAAUUAAUGUGGAUGGUGCUAACAUAGUCUUAGGUGGAUACACAAAUAGUCAUAGUCAUCAACUAGCUUGCCCACCAUCUGUCUUUCUGCUAGUGAUAGGUUACAUCUUAAUAGUAAUGGCCAACAUAAGUGGUGUGGAUCCGAUUUUUUUACGUGUGUCCCCACUCAAUCGACAAGACUUAUUUUUUAUUAGUGAAAAAUUAAUUUUGGAAAAGUUGGAGUCACCACUUAUUUUAUUUUAUUUUAAAAAGGAAAGUAAAACAAGAAAGAGAACUCUAAAGAAGUGACUUCAUAGUUUUGGAAAAGUUAGUCUUAAAAAAUCCAAGUCUUGGUCCGGAGAUCAGGUUACUUAUUGGGAAGAUACCUCUAAGAGGUAAUACCCCUCUAAACCCUAAAGAAGUCUCUAAUGACUAAGUUGAGGAGAAUGUGGUAAUUAAUUAAUUGAUUGAGGGUACCUAGGUAGACUAAGGUGAUUUCAGAAUUAACAUACCAAGCUAGAAAGUCCAAUCAUGAUCAUAAAAGAGAGUCAAAGUAUGUACCUGAACUGCUUCUCAAACGCUAUCAUAAAACAUCAAAGUUAGUAUAGAAAUAUAACACAUAAUAUUUGUUUUAUCCAAGCAAAUAAAGCAUACAUCUAAGCACCCAAGAAUCACAUCAAGUAUGGAUAUAGUCAUCAAUAGCAUACGUGUCCAUAGAACUAUCGAAAGUAAAUGUGGAGGAGCGUAUCUGGACAACAUAGAUAACUUAUAAUGUGCUUCCACAAGACAUGGGGGUUAGAUAAAAGUUAUAAUAAUAAUUAGUAAAUGAAAGAAUUCUAGCAUGUUUGGUAUCUAAAUAACAUAGCAAAAAUGAACAAGAGUACACGAAAACAUCAAUUAUCACACGAGUCAUAUUGGCUAGUAUUUAAUCAAUAAACCAACAAUAAAUGACUAUAAACAUAUAAAAUGACAUAUUCAAAGAGACCCAAACAUAAAGAGCCUAGAACACAAGCUUACACUAAAUUUAGAAAACUAAAACAUGGAAUUUUAAAAGCAUAAAUUAGCAAACAAAUUGAUGGAAACUAAAUUUAGAUAACUUAAGAAUAUUUUUCUUAUCCUUCAAUUUAAAUCAGUAAGCCAACAAUAAAAAAUUAUAGAAACAUGGAAUAUCAAGAUCAAUGGGAUACCUAAACUAUAAUUUUUAAAAGAAAAUAAACUAAGCAUAAUAUCUACAAAGCAACUAAACUAACAUUUUUUUAAAAAUAAAUUAAACAUGACAUUAAUGGAGUAACCAAACUAAAUUAAAGUAAACUAAAAACAUUUAUGAAUUUUCAAACAUGGAAUCAGCUUUCUUAGUAAAUUAAAAUUAUUAAAAUAAAAUCUAAGCUUAAAAAUGAAUUAAAUACUAACUAAAGCAAAUCUAAAACCAAAUAUUUAACACAUAGGAUCAAUUAUAUUAACAAACUAAAAUUUUAUAAGAACACUUAAACCUAAAGUUGAAUUAAAAACUAACCAAUUUUUAAAACUAGAUCUUUAACCCAUAGGAUCAAUUAUAUUAACAAAUAAAUAAUAAAUAAUAAAUAAAUAAAACUCAAACCUAAAGAUGAACUAGAAAUGUACCAAAGUAAAUUCAAAACAAGAUCUUUAACACAUUAGAUCAAUUAUAUUGACUAACUAAAAAAAAAAAAAAAAAACACUCAAACCUGAAACGAUGUAUUAGAAACUAACCAAAGCAAAUUUAAAAUAGAGUCUUUAACACAUAGGAUCAAUUAUAAUCACUAACUUAAAUUACAAUUUUUGAAACAUGAACUAAUUAGUGUUGGAUUAAUUAAACUAAUUAACUAAAAAAAACUAUAAACUAGAAUACGGUGAAUCAAGAAUUCAAAUCAACAAACAUAAAAUAUGGGUACAAUGAAAUGAAAAUCUAUUAAACUAAUAAGACGGAAAUAUGACAAACUCAUGAACCCACAUUUUGAUCAACUAGGAAAUAGAAAUUAAUAGACCUGUAGCAUGGAUACAAUGAAAUGAGAUCAGUUAAAUUUAUUUGCCGAAAUUCUAAAAAACACAUACACUCAAAUAAGAUCUAAAUCUAAGACCAAGCAAAACUCAAACUUUCUCAAUCUAAUGCAAUGAAUCAAAACUAAAAUUAAAUAGAAAUCAAACCAUUUUUUUUUUAUCUAAUAUAAUAAAUCAAAGCUAAAACUAAACAAAAUCGAAUUUUCUUAAUUUAAUAUGAUGAGUCAAAGCUAAAAUUGAACAAAGUUCAAACCUUUAUAUAAUGGAUCAAAGUUAAAUCUAAAUGAAAUCCAUACUUCCACAAUUUGAUAUAACAAAUCAAAAAUAAAACUAGAUAAAAAAAAAGUCAAAGCCUUUCAACUUGACAUAGUGAAUCCAAACUGAAACGAAACAAAAUUUUAACUUUUCCAAUGAAACCCAAUAUAGAAAAAAUUAGCUUACCUUCUUUAGAAUAUAUGUAUGGGCCAUAAAGAAGUCACCUUGGUGCAUGUGUUCCUCACUUUGACGCCAAUGGACGACUUUCUAUGGUAGCAAAUGGAGAUCCUUUUUGGUGGUAACUUGCGUGUGGAAACCUAUGGUACAACCAAUGUCAUCUUUUAUUGUGCGUGUGGACCAAUUUCUUCUCGAGAACUCAUGUGUGUUGUGCUCAAAAUAUGUUGCCUGUGAGAAUCUAUUGGUAUACCCCACAUAUGGUUUCCUUGAGAGAAUCUGUGGUUGUGUGUGGGCGUUUUCUUCAUGACAGCAUGUGGAUGUUCCCAUCUAUGGUAGAUUGGUUGUGAUGCUUUAGUGCAUGGUCUCCAUAGGAAUAGUGUGUUAUGGAAAUUUGGUUUUUUUAUUGGUGCAUGUUGUCUAGACUUUCCCAUAUGCGUGGACUGUGUGUUCAUGCUUUUCUUUUCGGAUGGUCGCCUGUGUUAAUGUGUGGCGGUGUCUACAAUGAAAGAUACAACCCUUUCUCUCCUUCUGCGUGAUAGAAAAGUCAAUCCCCCAUGGUGCGACUAUGUUCCCUCGUCCUUUUUGAAAAAUUUUGGUGUUUUCCCCCCAAAAAAUCCCCUCCAAAAAUCUAAUUAUAAAUGUCUGCUUUGGCCUAAUGUGUGUGCUACUUUUUUUUUCCUUCUUUUUAUGGUUGUGCGUGCUUUUCUUGAUACGUGGCUUAUUUCUUAAGGAUAUGAUUCGCUCCCAAUUGGUGUCUCAGCUGAUUCAUGUCCUUUCAAUGGUCCCUGACAGUGGUGCCAUUUGAUUCGUGUCCAGCUGGUGUCCCUUGAUUGUGGUCCUCAGAAGGGAGUAAUCAAUAAAAUUUAUAACCUAUUACACCAUGUAUUAGGAUAGCCUUAGCUAGCAUAGCAUAGUGGCUCUAGGGUCGUUUAUUGGGAUGAGUUUUCACUUCACAAUUGAUAUUAAUUCAAGAGCUGAAUUGGUGCCUUUUCAUUUCAAGGUUAGCUUUAAAAGAAAACAUAAUCUUUGGUGGAAAAAGGUUUGGUUUUAAACUAACCAAAAAUAGUAACUGAUUUUACUUACAAAGAAAAGUGUUCUUUGGAGUUUAGAUCACUAGGCUCAGGUUCCUCAUACAAAAAGGAGAGUUCCGAUCAUUUGUUUCUUUUCCUCGCAUUAGAGAAUUAACAUAUAGUUAAUUCUCUAACCGGUGCGGUACAUAUGCUUCCCAUUAAUGGGUUCAAACACUAAAUACCUCUCACUGAUGCACCUUGCAAUGGCUCGUGCCUCUCACCUAGCAUUUAUCAUUCAAGGUGAUCUUUAACCUUGGAUUACCCAUCAAAAGCUCGCAAGAGAUAACUAAAGGAUGUCUCCUUAGAGUCCAAAAGCUUACCAAGUGUUGGUUAUUCUAGAAAAUCCUACCUUCAAACCACCUCCCAAAGGCUCGCAAGAGAUAAACAAGUGCAUCUCAAUGGAUGAAGAUCACUUGCCUUACCAAGUUUUGGCCCAGAUGAUUUAAUGACAUUUUAAGUUAACUAAAAAGAUAAAAACCAUUAACGGGUCACACUUUCUCUUCAUUAAAAACUAAAACAACAAAACUUCCAAUUUAUGCAUGAGGAAACUUACCUGGCUUUCUUCACUUCAAGAGAUGAAGAGCCUAGCCACUCAUCAUUUGAGGAAAAAUCCUCAGAGUUUGAUUUGCUAGAAAUAAAAAUAAUGAGAAAACAAAAAUAUAUAUAUGAAAAACAGAGCAAGUUCUCUGUAAUAUAUUUUUCUUCCUUAUACAAAAGGUUGUCUCUAAGAACAAGUUCCCGAGAUCUAUCUGAUUGUAAAUAAAAUUACAACUAUAUAUAAGAGGUUAUUCACCCCUUUGUUCUUUCUUAAAGACUAAGGAAUCCUAUGAUAGGUGGGUUACAAGGAGAGUUUGGGGAUUUAGACAUCAAAUAUCUAAAGCAAAAUAUCUCAAGAUGUUAGUCGGAAAUAUCAGGAAGCUUCAGGAGAACACCGCGACACUGUAUACUGAGAGAAAAACUCUCCGGGUAAGCUCUAUCAAAGGAUCCAGACAUGUCUGACUGGGAAAGUUGAAACGUCCUUCUCUCCCAUCCGGAUGUGAGAUAUCCGGAGAAAGUGAAAUGUCGGUCGGACAGAAUUCUUUCCCCGGGUGGAAUGAGUUGUGUUGCGCGUCGCAAGGGGGACCGUCUGCGUGUACAAGUUGUAGGGACCCCUCUCCCGGAUGACACCGAGCGCGUAAGGCUAUCCGGAUCAACUCCAUUCGGAUUCCCCAAGAGGACAUGUGGCGUGCUCCCCUAUCAGGACUCCCUUAGGGAGAAGCACACGACACUCGUGAACAUCAUACCCGGACGAUAGCAUGUCCUAUCCGGAUGUGUUGUCCGGAUCAUUGACUAAAGUGAGCAAGCCUUGCUACGUCAUUCGGACAGCUUGCCACAUACCAUGUUCCGUCGCCAUCUGAUGGUGUGUCCGAACGCCUUGUCCGGACAUCUUUUGCUCCUUGCAUUCCGGAUUUGCUUAUGACAAAGGACUUCAAAGCUUCGGUUCUUCAUGUUUCUGAGCUUUCCAUUGCUUUGCCAUGGAUUCCAAAGAACUCUCCUUAAUCACGGAUUGCUUUGGUGAUCAAAAAGUUAUCAAAACACAAAAACUUAACAUAGUUUGAUUAGAAUUGAUUGCAAGGGUUCUUAAUAUGUUAAUUGGGUUAAAAGGUGAUAACUACUACUCAAAAGUGUUUAUAAGAAUUAAUUACAAGCUAUGAAAUAACACUUUUUGAGUAGUAAUCAGGAUACAUCCUAGUUUUUCAUGGAAUUGAUAGUGGGUUGUUGUGCAUGAAUGCCACCAUUUCAACUAUGCUGUUGUUAUUUUUAAAAAAAAUAUGGAUUAUGCGCGAGUGGCAAUUCUCCACUAUGGAAAGUGGAUUGCUCCUUCAACCCAUGCAUGGCUACGUAUUCCUAUGUCUUUCUACUUGUGUUUGAUCCUCCAAAAAAAAUUUCGGUUUAGUGCUAGUAGAUUUUAAGUGGUGGAUCCCCAUUUUUUGAAAAUGAAGUGGCAGCCUCCCAUUUCAAGACAAAAUGGUAGCCUGCCUUUAAUCUUUGGAGAAAAAUCUGUGCAUGACCUUUUUUUUUCCCAAAAAAUCCGUGCAUGGUGUCCUUUAAUAUUUGGAGAAAAAUCUAUGUUGGAUCUUUUCUUUUCUAGAAACAUUUGUGUGGUCUUUUUUGUUAGCCCAAGGGUUCUUCUAAUCAAGUUUUGAUGAUAACAAACCAUGGUUAAGUGACUAAUUGGUUUAAUGAUUAAGAAUCUCAAACAUAAAAUCGAAAAUUCAUCAAAGGACCAAAUGGAUACAAGAUCGAGACGCUUGGAAGACUUGUAAUCAUAGGAAACUAAUGUAAGAUGAAUGCAUGAGUGCACUUAGGAUUUUCACACGUUUCAUGCAACUUAGAAAACCCAGUUUAUUCUUUAAAACUUCAUCCCAGUUUAUUCUUUUUAUGGUUGUGUGUGCUUUCCUUGAUACGUGGCUUAUUUAUUAAGGAUACAUCCCAGUUUUUCAUGGAAUUGACAGUGGGUUGUUGUGUGUGAAUGCCACCAUUUCAACUGUGCUGUUGUUAUUUAAAAAAAAAAAAAAUGGAUUGUGCGCGAGUGGCAAUUCUCCACUAUGGAAAGUGGAUUGCUCCUUCAACCCAUGCAUGGCUACGUAUUCCUAUGUCUUUCUGCUUGUGUGUGAUCCUCCAAAAAAAAUUUUGGUUUAGUGCUAGUAGAUUUUAAGUGGUGGAUCCCCUUUUUUUGAAAACUAAGUGGCAGCCUCCCAUUUCAAAACGAAGUGGUAGCCUGCCUUUAGUCUUUGGAGAAAAAUCUGUGCAUGACUUUUUUUUUCCCAAAAAAUCCAUGCAUGGUGUCCUUUAAUAUUUGGAGAAAAAUCUAUGUGGGAUCUUUUAUUUUCUAGAAAAAUUUGUGUGGUCUUUUUUGUUAGCCCAAGGGUUCUCCUAAUCAGGUUUUGAUGAUAACAAAUCAUGGUUAAGUGACUAAUUGGUUUAAUGAUUAAGAAUCUCAAACAUAAACUCGAAAAUUCAUCAAAUGACCAAAUGGAUACAAGAUCGAGACGCUUGGAAGACUUGUGAUCAUAGGAAACUAAUGUAAGAUGAAUGCAUGAGUGCACUUAGGAUUUUCACACGUUUCAUGCAAUUUAGAAAACCCAGUUUAUUCUUUAAAACUUCAAUUUCAUUAAAACCCGAGUUUUUAACUAAUGUACCUUAGGCAAAAUGUUUUAUAAUUGGCUUAAUAAUUCACCUAAAUACAUUUUCUAAGUGUUAGAAAAGAAAGGAAUUAAAAAAAGGUUUUCGGGGCAAAAAAGGCUCAACCGGUCGAGGCUAUGGUCAACCGGCUCAACCGGUUGAGGAACCAAUCGAUCGGUUGUGCUUGUCCGAUCGAAGACCAAUCGAGGGAUGCCAAAAAAUUUCUCUCUCUCCUAGUGGCCUUCUCUUCCCGGUCGAGGUUCGGUCUAGGCAACGGUAACAUGUCAAGCAUUAAAUGCUCCGACGACUAGUGAAUCGGUCGACCCCUAGCCCGAUCGGACGAGGUUGCCUUUUGCUGUUUUUGACUCCCGAGCUUAGAAACCUAUAAAUUGAGAGCUCCACUUCAUUUAUUGAUAAAAGAGAACACUUGCAUUCAAUAGUCUACCUACCUUUUCUUGAUCAAAAAGCUCUCAUUUCCUUCAUAGUGCAUUAAAUCAUCACUUGCAUAUCCUUUAGUGCACUAUUGUGUGUCAUCCUAGCUUUGUUUUGUAUUUGAGCUAUCCUUAAGCUAGGUUGAGGGAUUAUUUCUUAUAAAAAUCUGAGUGUUAAAGCCUUCAAGAGAUUUGAAUCUUGAAGAGAUUGUGUAAGAGCCCAUUGGAGCCGGAGUCCAAGUGUAAGAAGAUUGGAAGCUUGGUUGAAGCUUCAAGUUAGUGGAACCCUCACUCGGUUAGGAGGUUGAGGAGAGUGGACGUAGGUAAGGAAGUGUCGAACCAUUAUAAACCCGAGUUUGAAUUCUCUAACUCUAUCUCUUUAUUUUGCUUAUAUUGUGUUUGAAUUUGUUGUGAUUGAAAAGAUUUUAAAAACCUAAUUCACCCUCCCCCCUUUUGGGUUUUUUUUUCUUAAUUAAGCAUAACCUUUGUUUUCUAAUUUUCUUUUUAGGAAAAUCCAUGCGUGGUAUGUCCAAACUCUCCAAGUGGCAGUCUGCCUUCUUCUAAAAAAUUUGUUUCUAUUUCUUUAUUCGACUACCUUCCAUGUCUUCCUAAUGAGUGCUUGUGCUCAAUGGUCAAUCCCUGGUGGUUGCCUCCUUUUCCCAUAUAUACGUGUUGCAAAAUCAACAUCCCACUAUAUGUGGGUUGCCUCUAUGGCAAGUUCACAUUUCCCACAUGAAACCUAUGAGUUUCCACCAAAAAUUGCCAUGAAAAAGUCUUUAUAUGCAUCUCAUGCAAUAAAAAGUCAAGCCAAUACUCAUCUUAUCUCGAAAAAUAAGUAACCAAAAUCAAGAUCAUGCCUAAGUGAACUAUGCCAAAAGAAGUGUCCAAGUGACCUAUUAUGAAAAAAGUGCCUAAGUGACCUAAGGUGAAUGUGUGUAAGCUGGAAGGUGUCUAGGAUGUUUAGGACAAUGCCUAAGCCUAAAAUAGGGUUGCCAAGGGUCACAAUGGGGUUAGAUAAAUCUCUCAAUCAGAGUCUCCAAGGUGGCUCAUAAAAGAUAAGCUACACGAGUAAUGAUGGGCCACCAGGGAAUUAUUGUAAAGCACCAAACGAACACAUAAUAGGACAUGUGUUAGAAUGAAAAAAUGGAGGGUUUACAAGUGGUCUCAUGGAUGAGCUUGAUAAUUUAAAUGACUCACAUAAUGAACGUAUGUGAUGUUUCUCUCCAAUAACAAGCAAAACAUCACUAGCAAUAUGAUGAAUGUCUCCUAAAUCACUUGAAGUAGUCCUAGCAAAUCAAUUAGAAAAAUCACACAUAUUGCUCUAAUGUAAUAUUAUAUACAUCUGUCAAUGAAUGGGAGAACUAAUGACACAACCAUCAUGUUGAUAUCUCGAACCCUCUAAUCUCAUAUGUAGGUGGGAUCACACUUAGAAACUCAUAACACAGUAAUGACCAAUCUAAGUCAAAAUGUGUUGGUGAUCGGAGGCCCAUGAAUAUGAAGUUCUAGGAUGAUAAUGACAUCUUAUAAAGUAAUGAUCAUCUCCUUAAUAGAUAGGUGAAAUGUGUGUGUCUUAGGACACCAUCUCUCAACAAGACUUGUGAUCAAUCCCCAGUCUAGUGUAACAUGCCUAUUAUGACAUCCAUCGUAAAAUCUAGACUAGAUAAUAUAAGGACAAAUGUGAGGGUUCAUCUCCCUUUCCCACAUAAAUUUAAAAAAUUAUUAUUGACAAGUUAAGACCAAACUAAGUUGCAAAAUAUAAAUAAGUCCAUUAGAUAACAAAUUUAUGUUUUCUCAUUUUCUCAUUUUUAAAGAGAUAUUAUGUGCUUCCAUGUACAUACAUGCUAAAGUCAAUUAUACGAGACUUAUAUCCAUCUUGUAGAACCAAAUCGAACCUAUCUAAUAGAUCCAGAUUAGAAGUAUGUCCUCUAUACUCCAUAUUUAUAACACAUUUAUAAAGAUAAAUGCUAAAAAAAUGUUAAAGAUAUAAAUUUAAUGAACCAUACUUUAUGAUUUUAAUUCUCAAUUAUUGUUCAUAUUUAUAAGAGAAAAGUUAAAAAAAUUGAUAGAGUUUUCCCUCUAUCAUGGACAUUAUCCCAAAUAAAAAUAAAUUGAUUAUGCAAAUUACAUUAAUAUUUGUAACCAAAUGAUCAAUAACUAUCUUGUAUCAAUUUAGUAAAUAAAUUUAAGUAUAUCUUUUCAUUUAUGACUAACAAAUAACUCAUACUUGUCCAAUAAAAGCCACACCUAAUUUCUAAAAUUUUGUCUUCACCUCAAGUGAGUGUUACAUUGAGAAAGAAAAAAUAUGAAAGAAAAAAUGAACACCUUUUUCUUUUAAUAAAAAAAGGCCAUAACGAAACAUUAAAUCUCACUGUUACACCUAUCUUCAAUGGAAACAUGAGGAUGUGAAUGGUGGCGGUGAUAUUCUUUGCUUGAAGCUCAUAAACAAAUAUUCCUUACUAAGCCUAUGCCAUUUAGUAUUUCAAUAGUGGACCCCCCCCCCCCCCCCCCCCCCCUCCUUGCAUUUCAGAUUUAGCAAACUUAGAACCAAAUAACAAAGUGCAUUUGAACCCAUAAAGAAGUAAUGAGACUCUCCUAUAUUGGCAAUAGAAGAAAUUUUUGGAGGUAUAGGAGAUUCACGGAUGAAGAAGUUGGGCCCCAAUUGAGAUAAGACCCAAGAAAAGAUGGGGUAGAGAGGGAUGGUUGGAAAUUGUAAAGUAAGAUUUUCAAAAUGUAGUUGAUGACUAAGAUUUUGACAAUUUAAAAAAGGUUUAAAAAUGUAGUUAGCAAUCGGGGUUUUGUAACAUUUAAAAAAUAAAAUAAAAUCUCAGGCCACAUGGUAGCCCAUGUGAUUCAGAAGCUUGAGAAUUAUUUUAUAAGAAGACUUAAUUUGUGAUUUUUUUAUAACUAUAUUAUUUUUUUUCUUAACACACGAAAAAAAUUAUGAAAUAAGACAAUUUUCCUAAGAAAGCAUGUAAGUGACUCUUGGUUAUUUUAUUUAACUUCUUCUAGUUUGGAGAGGAUUAAUACCUUUGCUUUUACUCACUUGCUUGGAUAUGUACACGUUGUUCAUGUCACUUUUCAUUUAAUUUUCUGAUUAAGGGAAUUGGAACCGUACGUAACUGUCUUUAUUCCCUCUGAAACUUGGACUUGGAGUUGGACUUUCAAUCUCAUCAGUCGUGUUUCCAUAAAAAAGAAGAUGGAUUAACCAAUUUUCCUAUGCCUACUAAUCAUACACAAAACUCCACUUCCAAAUAAAAAGGAAUGGGAUAUCACUUGUUAAUAGUGGCUAAAGACUAUUAAUAACCAUGCAAAGAAAUGUCACAUUUUUUGUUCUACGCAAAUUUUAUUCAUCAACUACUAGAACCAUUUCAUACAAUAGUAGCUUUUCGAUCCUUUGAUAAAUGGACACUUGAUGUGAUAACACCAACUACACCUAUAUAUUCAAGCAAUCAUGCGUAUAUAAUAGUGGAUAUGGAUUACUUCUCUAAAUGGGCAAAAGUUUUGUCAUUCAAGGAAAGUGAACGAGGAAACACAAGUUUACUUUCAUCGGAACUAAUAUUAUAUAUUGAUAUGACUUCCCAUUAUUACUUACGAUGGAAUAUGCUUCCAUAAAAUGGCCUAGAUGAACAAACUAUCCAAGAAGUUUGGGAUCAAAUAAUAUAUAUAUAGUUCAUGUGUGAUUCUUUGGUUGACAACCUUGUUAAGGGGUGAGUGAAGCACUUUGGGCAUACCACAUACUACAUGCUAGACUUCCACCCAAGCUACCCUAUAUUCCUUAUGAACAAAGUAGAAGUUGUCAUCUCUCUUGAAUACCAAAUCCUUUCACCUAAUAAUGCUAUCUAAAAAGGUCUUAAAAAGGAUAAAAAUGCGCAUAUUUGAAUUUUUGAAUUAGGAGUGCUACUUAAAAAGAAGCUAGAUAUACAAUAAUAGAAUGUUAUCAAGCAUAUCUCUUCAAAGUUUUUGACCAAAAAAUAUAUGAUUUCUCAUUUUAGGUAGGAGACUUAGUACUCACUAUUCAAAAACCAAUUAUCAUUACUCAUAAAAACUAAUAGAAAGUUUGGGCCAAAGUAGGAUGGACCUUAUAUUAUGCAACAAUUAUGCCUAUAAAAUUGUUGCAAAAGAGGUUUUAGAAUCAAAUCAAUGAAUGAAAAAUUAUUAAAGCAUUACUAUGCUUGAAGGCUAGUCAUUUUCCCUUAAAGUGCAAUAUUAAGUUGCAUAGUACUAUGUGGAUCCGCAUUUUUCACAUGCGUUCCCACUCAUUGUCGAGACUCACUUUUUAGAAGUGAAAAAUUAGUUUUAUUAAAGUCGAAGUUGCCACUGGGGAUUUGAACCCUAACAAAAGGUUCAAUUUAAGGAUAAAAAUAUCGAUAAUCACAUAUAUAUAUAUUGGUACUUUGAUUUUAUGAAUAUAUUGAAGAAAUAUGGACAAAUAUUUUGACACAAAAUAUGUACAAAAUAAAAAUUAUAUAAAAAGUAAAAAUAAAUAUUUUAAAAUUAUUUUUUUAAAUAUAUAUAUAUAUAAUUUGACAUAUUUGAUAAUAAUAUAUAAGGGUCUCCAAAAAGCCCGUGGCCCGCUUUAGGCCCGGUCCGACCCGACAGGCUAAAGCCCGGCCCAAGCCCGCCGGGCCCAAGCUCGGCCCGAGCCCGUUUAUGGGUGGGCCGGGCCGCGAGCCCGUAGGCCUGCUCCUUUAAAAAAAAACUACAAAAAUAAAAAGUAUUAAAAAAAAUAUUCAUUUCAAAAUUUUAUUCAUUGAAUGUAUAAUUACAUUUGAAAAUGUGGGAAAAGUUUACAUCACUACAAAAUAAAUACAUCCCAACUAGGUUGGCACCUAUUUAUUUGUCAAUCAUCUGUAUUUUUCAACCACAAAAAAUAAAAAUAAAAAUAUAAUAUACAUUUAGUCAUUAUUUUCUGGCGGUGAUGGCGAACUAUCAUGCAUCCAUGAAGAUCUUGAUAAUUUUAAAGAUUCCAUAUCGGUAAGCAUCUUUGUUUCUCGAAUGGAAUCAUACAUCCUUUUAUCUGCUAUUUCCCAAUCUUUCACACAUAUCCCUGCUUUAAUAACAUCUGACGCUAAGUUGCAUCGUUUUUUACUAACUACUCUUCCACCUGCACUAAAAGCAGCUUCUGAUGCAACUGUACUCACAGGAACUGUUAGUACAUCACGAGCAAUUAUAGAAAGCACAGGAUAUUUGUGUUGAUGUGAUUUCCACCAUAUUAAAAUAUUAAAAUCUUCUUGAUCUUCAAAUGAAAUUAUAUCAGUAUUAAGAUAUUUAUCUAAAUCAGAUGUAUUAUUUGGAGAAUUAUUUGUUGUCUUUUUUCGACUUUUCAACAUUUCUAGAGCUCCUUUAUAAAAAGAUGAGGAGUUUGUAGAUGUAGGUGGUAAUUUAAUAGUAUUAAUAUCAUUACCAUAUUUUUCUUUAUAAUAGUUAUAUAAAUUAUAUAAUAAUGAAUUUAUUUCAUUUUUAAUUUCUUCAAUUUUUAUUUGGUCAUUAAAAUAAAUAAUUGUUAACCAUUCAUCCAAAGCUUCAAAUUUCAAUCUAGGGUCCACAAUUAAAGCAAUAUAAAAAAUUAAAGGUAUUUCUCCCCAAUAUUUUCUAAAUUUUUAUAUCAUUACAAAUAUUGUAUCAUUAAAUAUUUCAAAACUUAAAUAUUUUUGAAGUACAAUAAAAAUAUUAGUUAUUUGCGUAAUAACUCGAUUUGAAGUUGGAUAAUAUACACCACAAAAAAUGUUUGUUGAAGUAUCAAAAAUUUCAAAAAGAUCUCUUAAAACAUCCGCAAUAUGCCAAUCAUAAUCAUUUAAUGCAUAAAUAUCUGCUUCAUAAUCAUUGUUAAUUAAUUGUAUUUCAUAUAAUUCGACUACUUUUCUAUAUUUUGUAAUAUUUUCUAAAAGUUUAUAUGUGGAAUUCCAUCUAAUAGCCAUAUCCAAAUUUAUAUUUUUUCUUUUCAUAUUUAACAUUUUGCAACAAUCAAAAAAUAAUUCAUGUUUUGCUUGAAAACUAUUAAUACUAUAUGCAAUGCCUCUAAUUUUUUUCCAAUGUACUAUCAACAUUUUUUAAUCCAUCCUUUACAAUUAAAUUUAAAAUAUGUGCACAACAACGCACAUGAAAUAUUUUAGCAUGAUCUUCUUUUACUUGCCAAUAUCGUUUUAGUCUAUGUAUUGCUGCAUCAUUAUUAGCAGCAUUAUCUAAUGUUAUUGUCAAUAUUUUAUCACGAAUGCCUAAAUCUAUAAUUUCAUCAUUUAUUAAAGAUGCUAUAUUUUUACCACUAUGUGGAGUAUUUAUUAAUUUAAAUAAAAUUAUUCUUUUAUUUAAUUUCCAUUCAUUAUCAAUGUAGUGAACAAUUAUAUAUAAAAAACCAGUAUGAGUUAAAGAUGUCCAAAUGUCAGAUGUUAAACGAAUAUUUCCUUCAAAAUUUGCAAAAUUUUUUUUUAAAAUUUCUUUUUGUGUAUAAAUUUUUUUCAUAAUAUCUCUUUUAACUGUAUUUCCAGAUCAACCUUUAAAUUGAGGAUUAAUACCUCGUUGAAUUGUUCUUGCAAAAUCAUGAGUUUCCAUCAUGUUGAAAGGUUGUUCUGCUCUUAUUAUAUAAUCAAUCAUUUCUUCACAACAGUUAGAUUCAUCAUAAGAAAAUGUUUUUAAAUUUCCACUUUCAUUUUUACUUAAUUGCAUAUAAUUUCUAAUAUCUACAUUAUUUUUAGUUUUACAAUUUUCAUGAUGUCUUUUUAAAUGACUUGUAUCUGCAUUUGAGCCACCAGUAAGAAAUUUAUUACAAAUUUUACAUUUUGCUUUUAUUUUUUUUUUAUUAUUUUCUAAAAUUAUUUCUAUUCUAUCAAAAAAAUUCCAUAUAUUUAAAGUAAAUUUUUUGUUUGAUGAUAUUUCAUCACAUGGACUAGACGAAGAAGCACUUGUCAUAUUAUAAUUAUUGAUAAAAUAUUAUGCCAAAAAUAAUAAAGUAAUAAAUAUAAAAAAAAAUGUAACAAAAAAAAUAAAGUAGUAGGGGUGAAGUAUGUUACUCAAUUAGAGAACCUAUGCAGAAAUUCCUAGCAAAUUUGAACUCUUGGAGCCACCAAUGCUUGUUUUGCACCAUCAACAAUAUUGUAUAAUUUGAGGGAAAAAUAAAAGAAUUUAAAAUAUUGUAGAAUGUGAGAGAAAUAGAGAGAAUUUGAUGAAAAAAUGAAAAGGAAGAAAAUGUAUUUAUAGGAAGGUUAAAAAUAAUAAUAAUAAUAAUAAUAAUAAUAAUAAUAAUAAUAAUAAUAAUAAUAAUAAUAAUAAUUGGCCAUGUGACCGUUGGAGGCUUAGCUCCAACGGUCACAUGGGCUGGAGCUAGGCUCCAACAGUCACAUGACCGUUGGAGCCUUUAAUUUUUUUUUUUAAAAUAAUAUACUUUAUUUUUAUAUAUAUAUAACUAACUCAAUUAAUAAACAUAAAAAGAAUAUAGUUCAGUUGGUUAGAACCUUGAAGUUUAAACAUGAGGGGAGGGGUUUGAAUCCCUCCCUCUCCCUUAGGGGCUUUUUUAAAAGCCAUUUUGGCUUAUUUCAAAAAGCCUGUCGGCCCGACCCGCCCUGCAGCCCGCGGGCCUAGCAUUUUAGCAUGGCCUGGUCUGUUGACUAGUCAAAUGGCUCAUAGGCUCGGCCCGAACUGGGCCGCGGGCCUCUUAUUUACGGACCGGCCCGACCCGGCCCGCCCGUUGGAGACCCUUGAUAAUAUCUUCUAUAUUAAGUUACAUUAUAGUUUAUUUUACAAUAUUAUUAUGAUAAUAUGUCUAAUUUUAAAAUAUAUUUAAUAUUAAAAUUAUGAUCUAUUUUAAUUUAAAUGUAUUCAAUGAUAUCAAAUAAAUAAUAAUAUAUGUAUAAUUCUUUUAUUAUUUAUAUUUAUUAUUUUUAAUAAAUAUAUAGAUUAUAUAAAAAAGACCGGAUAUAUCUUUUCAAAUUUUGUAUCGCUCUCCAAGGAUAUUAGAUGUAUGGGAAUUUGUAUUGCUAUCUACGGAUACGUUGAUAUAUGGGUGAUUUAUCAGGAUAAUUAGAAAUUCUAAUUAUGUAAGCAGGUACGGAGUUCUGUGUCGGUGCGAUCUUGUCGACAACAGCUCCAAAUUGUGCAUCUUGCUCAUAGAGAGUAGCGGAAUGCACCAAUCGUAGGCUCAGAGUACCACUGAGUCGUCUGGCAGAGACCCAACUGAAGGUGCCUGUGUUGUUCCUGAUCUGAUCAGGCUUCAAACUACAAGGUGGAAUACUGGUUCCCCUAUAUCAGAAGCUGGAGAUACCCACCCCAUAUGCUCGUCUGGAUGUGCUCCUACCCUUUGAAGCCUUCUUCCGAGUCAAGUCCGAAUUGAUAAGGCUAGUGAGUUCCCAACCAACUGUACUCAGCAUGCUGCCAGGUGGAGACCCUCCAUAUUUGAUGGCUUCCUAAUAUUAAAAUGCUGACCACUGGUCUUCAUGUUCCACAGGCUUAAUUGUGUCCUUUGCUGAAAGAAUGGAUAGUGAUCCAUUUUAACACAUGAUUCACGCCGUCUUUGCCAUUCUUCAUGGUCUAGCCCUUUUAUAUAUAUGCUUCCUGAACUGUUGCUAUUAAUAAAAUGUGGUAUCUAUCCCGUACACCUUCCUGAUGGCCAGCGAAUGCAGAAGCUACAGAAACGGUUCCAUCUUUUGCUUCCGCCACUUUGGCAUCCUCCAUGAUGAGAUCGAAGGUGAAUAAUCAUAUUCUGGGGAUUUAUGUCCUGGAUAUUCUCAGUAAUGCCCAAUUUCCUGGUGCCGGCCUCAUUUCCAUGGGAACUGAUGGAUAACUUAAGGCUUCUACCAUCUGCGUGGUUCGCUUCUAACACAGGAAACUUCACGGCUAAAAGCAAGAUACCAAGAACAUCAAGGCUGUGACAAAAAUUAGUAUUUUUAACUUGUAGGAAUUUGAAAGGCAACCAACCAUCUAGCUCUGUUCUUAAAGCUCCCAUAGGAGGAUCAGAGGCUGGAUUGCUCAAGAUGAACUCAUCCAUUGUUGCACUUAAAAAGAAUUGGCAUGAAUUGUGGCCGCUCUAAUAGGUUCCCUAAACCAUCAUCCAAGUGGGCUUGCGGAAGGUAGCGAGUUUAAAACACCUAGGGCGAUGAACAGUGGACUGUGAUGCUCACAAAAGAGAAAAGGAAGAAUUCAAUAAUUCCUAAGAAUCCAUUUGCCUGUCAUCCAAAUUUUUAUAUUCUCUUCAGUCUGACGCGUUAUGCCAUAUAUUAAAAAUAGCGGCUUCUUCCAAGCCGAGACAGACUGUGCAAAGUUCGCAAGGCCAAUCAUCACCAUAAUCUGAAGUUGGCCUCCUCAAUCGCAGCUUGUAUCCGAAUGCUCACUUCACGGGAUGGAUUGUAAUGAAAACUAAUCUCAGUCCCAGCUAUGGCAGCAUCCUCACUUGACAGCAUUUUCUGCAUAUUCUAGAACAAAGCAAUAAACCCUCAAAGGCUCCUUCGGAUCAGAGUUAGAAGACUGUCCCUCAGGAACGUGAACACUAUGGUGGUUCUGAUAAGCAGUGAUAUUGCAUUAGAGCCUUUUGGAACAAGAGGAUCUUUUCAGGUGGAAACUGUAAAC
RNAcentral lists this long non-coding RNA (88329 nucleotides) under Vitis vinifera (wine grape). RNAcentral's name for it is "long non-coding RNA (VVIN_LNC001392)". The stretch from base 20616 to 20687 matches the Rfam family "tRNA". The record is from RNAcentral. Lineage: Eukaryota; Viridiplantae; Streptophyta; Magnoliopsida; Vitales; Vitaceae.